GUGGUUGGAACUCAAAGUAACCCACCGCCAGAAAUAGAAGUGGACGACGAAGCUGAGUCUAGGGUUAACGAAAACUCUACUCGAACACUUGAAAGUGAAAAAGUAGAAGUCGACUCACCAGAAGAAGUGCUUAACGCUAGGGUUAACGAAAACCCGAAUUUAGCACACCAACUAAUAGCUCAAACAAUUCGCCAACUGGCCAAAGCUCCGACAGAACAACCGCCAUUGUGCAUCGCGUAUCCUACUAUGGAUACUGAUUUUGAGUUGAAGUCAGGUUUAAUCCAGUUAUUGCCAACUUUUCGUGGGUUACAAAAUGAAAAUCCCCAUAAGCAUUUGAAAGAAUUUCAUAUGGUUUGUCUUAACAUGAAAUUAAAUUGUGUGCUUUCUCUUUCUCCCUAGCAGAUUCUGCUAAGGAAUGAUUAUUUUAUUUACCCCCUGGAUCUAUUACAACUUGAGCUGAUCUAUCUCGUUUGUUUCUGAAUAGGUUUUUUCAGCGUCUCGAGCAGCUGAGCUAAAAAGAGAAAUCGUUAGAAUAAGGAAAAAAGAAGUUGAGUCCCUUUACGAUUAUUGGGAGCGGUUUAAGAAGUUGUGUGCAAGCUGCCCACAACAUGGUAUAACGGAGCAAUCUCUCUUCCAAUACUUUUACCAAGGUUUGAAGCUCAUGGAGAUGAAUAUGGUAGACGCUGCUAGUGGAGGAGCAUUGGUCAACAUGACUCCCCAACAAGCGAGCGACUUGAUCUCCACGAUGGUUGCAAAUUCUCAGCAGUUCUGAGCCAAUACUGAACCCCCUAGAAGGGUUCACCAGCUAAGUAAUUCAACCUUAGAGGAUAAAGUUGAUAGACUUACUAAUAUGAUGAACUCUAUUAUUGCAGAAAAAGUGAAGACAACUCGGUUAUGCGGAAUAUGUGCUACACCUGAUCACGCAACUGAUGCAUGUCCCAGUUUGUAUAAUGAUACAACGGCCCAUCUGGAUGCUGUGGGAAAUUUCCCUGGGCCGCCACAAAGGUAGUACGACCCCUACGCUAAUACCUACAACCCAGGGUGGAGGGACCAUCCUAACUUAAGCUUUGGGGCCAAUCCACGAAAUAACCAACUAUACCAAAAUCGGUUUCCGCAACAGUCGCAAGGUUCAGGUAAUUUUCUAGAAACCAUGGUUAAUAAGUUAGCAGCUAAUGUUCAUGAUUUUCAGCAGCAAAAUCUUAAUUUCCAAAAAGAGAUGAUGAAUUUCCAACAGAAAACCGAGGUGUCCAUCAGAGAGUUGACUACAUCGAUCGAGAAAUAGACCUCUCAAGGGAAGCCGUCGUCACAAAUAGAACCAAACCCUAGACAAAAUGCAAAUGCAGUGACGUUGCAAAGUGGAAAGGUACUAGAAUCGAUUCCUGACAGGAAUCUUGCCCAAGAAAUCGCCCAAGAAAAACCGGAGAAAGAUAAAAAGGUCCGAUCGAAGCCUCCAUUGCCUAAAAUUCAACCUCUAUUUCCAGAACGAUUCAACCAGUGUCGAAGAGGUAAAGAGGACAAUGAAUUUCUUGAAACAUUUAGAAAUGUCGAGAUCAAUAUUCCGCUGUUGGACGCCAUCAAGCAAAUACCGCGGUAUGCCAAAUUUCUUAAAGAGCUUUGCACCAACAAGCGAAAAUUACCGAGUAAUGAAAGGGUGAAUGUUGGUGAGAAUGUAUCUGCAGUGUUACAGUGGAAAAUGUCGGUAAAAUGCAAGGAUAGGGGCAUGUUUGCAAUACCAUGCAAAAUAGGCCAUCUAGGACUUAAGAAGGCUAUGUGUGAUCUAGGGGCUUCUAUAAAUGUAAUGCCGUAUUCUAUUUAUGAAUCACUUAACGCAGGUUUUUUGACAAAAACAAGUGUUAUAAUUCAAUUGGCGGACAGGUCUGUUGUGCAUUUAGAAGGAGUCCUUGAGGAUGUUCUGGUAAAAGUUAACGAGCUUAUUUUCCCUGCAAAUUUUUAUGUGAUCAAAAUAGAGGAGGAUAGCACUCCUGGAUCUUCAGAUCUCCUGUUGGGUCGAACGUUCCUUAGUACAACAAGUACUAAAAUUGAUUUUCGAAGUGGAACUCUCACGAUGGAGUUUGAUGGGGAGAUUGUAAAGUUUAAUGUCUACAACGCCAUUAGCCAUCCAAGCGAAAUCUUAAGCGUAAAUCGUAUUGACAUAAUUGCCUCUUUGGUGGAAGAGAAUUUUGAGUCAAUUUAUGGAGAUAAUUCUGAACUUGAUGAAAUUGAAUUUGUUAAUGAAUUAUUAUCUCCAAAUACUAAAUUGUUACCUUCUGUUAUACAGGCACCAGAGUUGGAGUUAGAACCCGCAGAACAGGCAAGGAAAUUAGACAUCCAAGAGUUAGAAGAAAUUCGCAAUGAUGCCUACGAGAAUGCUCACAUUUAUAAAGACAAGACAAAGUUGUUUCACGAUAAGAGAAUAGCUCAGAAGCAUUUUUUGGUAGGACAAAAAGUUUUACUUUAUAGCUCCGUGUUAAAGUUAUUCCCAGGUAAGCUUCGAUCACGAUGGCAGGGGCCUUUUAUUGUUACUAAAGUGUUCACACAUGGAGUGGUUGAAAUAGAGAGUGAAGAAUCUGGAAGGCGAUUCGUAGUCAAUGGCCAGCGGUUGAGGCCGUUUUAUAAGAAUUUUCAAGCCCACACGGUUAAGAAAAUCCAUUUGGAACCACCAUAGAACCAAUAACGGCGUCGAGCUAACGACGUUAAACAAGUGCUUGUUGGGAGGCAACCGAAUUUUUAUUUUUAUUUUUACUUUAUUUAUUACUUUAUUUUAUUUUAUUUUACUUAUUUGGAUAUUAAUAAAAUUUUCUUCUUUUGCUUAGAUAAAACAGAGCGAAAAUGCGAAGAAAACCGUUGAGCAACGCUUAGAGCGCAUUGAGGCCCGACUUGAAACCUUUGGCCAGCAACUGACCAAGCUCAUUGCCAUCAUUUGCGAUCGACAGUAACAACACGGGGAGUUUUUCUAAACUUUUCUACCUAUUUAUUUCUUUUCGUCCACAUUGAGGACAAUGUGCUUUCAGUAGGGGGAGGUACUCUUCGUUAUUACUAUCAUUUUCUGCUGUGAUUUUGGUUAUUGUUGCUGGUGUUGCUGCUUGAGAUUUUAUUUUGUCCAUAUUUAUUUUUUUGGAAUCUCCUGCCUCUUUUCAUUCCCAAGAUUUUUACCAGGAAUUGCCUACUAUUUGACCUACAAGCAUGAUUCUUGUUUUCUGAGAAAAUUACGAAUUUUCCAUAAUUGAUGCCAUCUCCAUUGUUUUAUUCUUAUCAGACUAAAAAUAAUUGUGAUUCAUAAAGAUAAAUUUAUCUUGCUUUUCGUAAAAUUGAUCAAGUUUAAAUACAAAGUAGACACUUAAUAUGUUUGCAUGCUAAAAUAUGUUGAUGACUAUUAAGGUAAUUACUGAAACUUAUUUUUGACACUUGAUUAUUUUUCUCUAAAGUCCUCAUAAAAAAAGUUAUUAUUAAAAUCUCGUUUAAUGUUUUCGUGGUUAUGAGUGCAGCUUAAAAACGUGACUGACUAAGUAACCGGGGUAGGGUGCUUGAGUUGUCAUCCUAUUUUGCGUCAAAAGGUUGAGUGACGUGUUAGGUAAAACUCCGCUAACAGGAAUUAAUUUUUAAGAACAUGUUGGGCUGAGUAACUGGGGUGGGGUGCUUGGCUGUCAUCUCUCUUCGCGUCAAAAGGUUUGAUGUGUUCUUAAGAAAAAUUAUAAUAAAUUAGGAGUUUGCUGGGCUGAGUAACCGGGUUGGGGUGCUUGGCUGUCAUCUCUCUUCGCGUCAAAAGGUUCAGUAUAUUCUUAAAGCAUAAAAAAAGAGAGAAAAAAACAAAAAAAAAGAAAAAAAUAAUUUGGGGACUAAAGGAGGAAACAAAUAGAGUGUCUUGGUAGGUUUUGGUAAUUUACCUAAUUUUCAUUAAAUAAUUCAAGUUGAUUCUAAUUUUUGUGUGUAUUAAUUAGAAAACUUUUUCUGUUUUACUUAAAGCAAGCUUAAGGAUCUCUUUAUUUUUCAUAUCCAUUUUUGACUGAUUUUUAUAAAACUUUGGAGUUGUAUUUCUUUUAUGGCAGAAUCUAACUUUCACAGUAGAUAGGAACCAUACUUGAGGGCAAGCAUGGGCUAAGUAGGGGGAUUUGAUAACACUCUAGAAUAACGUAUUUUUAUGUAUUAAUUAUGUAUUUAUUCUGAGUAUGAUCCUGCUAAUUUGAGCUAUUUAUAAUCUAUUAUCUCAUAGGGACUAAAUUUGAGGCAAAAGCAAAAUUAAGGCCCAAAAGCGUGAAUUUAGAGAUAAAAUGGGUCAAUGUGCGACACAAGGAAAAGUUAGUGCCAAAAGUGCAAGCAUGGAGGACACAAGGGUUGAAAUGCAAAAAGAAGAGAUUUUAUUCUGUUAAACUGUAUUUUAAUUAUAUUAGGAUAAUUAAUAUUGAGAUAAUUAUUAAGGAUUAUUUUUAGGAUUUUAUUUUAUCUUUAUUUAUCUUCAAUUAAAUGUAUUUAUCUUUUAGGAAUUUAAGUAGGAUUAGACUAUCUCCCCUAGCACUAUAAAUAGGGGGUGAAGAGACUCAAAAGGGGAUCCCAUCUUUUUCUGUAAACACUCUCUCCUCAAAAGUCUAGGCUUUUUUUCUUUUCAUAUUUCUUUUCAAUAAAAUCUUUAUUUUUAUUUAUUUAUUUUUUUUCUACCACAACCAUGAGCCACUAAACCCAUCUAGCCGAAGGUUGCCAAAAAUCCCCAAAAGGGUUCAUGAGGCUUAGAAUCCAUACUUAACCUCCUUGCUGAGUAUUCAUCGUUUCUCUGCACUACGGGGCUGACGCUUCCGUCCAUGUCACUUAAGAAGUAAGCUUUUCAACGUAUGUAAAGGCGGCCGCUUUGUAUGUUUUGGGAAGGUUGCACAGUCGGUUCGUUAGCUUACUGCGUCAGAGGUUGGCGAGCCCAAGAGACAAAAUGGCGUGGGAUUCGCCAUUGAGAAUCAUUGAUCUAGCAUAAGACGAUCCCACAGAAGCGAUUGUUGGCUAGAGUCAGGUUCCGCCACAUUGUAAGUCUAAAUCAUUGGAGCUGGUAGUCAUAGGCGUCCUCUUCCACUAUAACUGGCUUAUUUGGUUUGGGAAGAAUCAUCUAAAAGCCGAGGAUUGAACCCAAGGCGGAAUGAGACAACUGGAGGCUGGAAUCUCCCAUAAGAAUUUCCUUUCUUUUAAUUCUAUUUUUAAUUUCUCAAAUUUUUGAUUCAAUAUUCUUAAUUCUGUUUUUAUUUUAUUUUUCGUUUCCAGAUCCAACCCUUUAAUUCUGUUAUUGUUUUUAUUUUAUUUUUUUCAGGCACGCAAGUUUUCUUGGGCAAGAUUCUGCCUAGGAUUUCAUGGAACAAGAUAUUUUGCAAGUCCAGUCCCUGAGGAUUUGACCCUACUUCCCUUUUACUAUUCUUUUUCAUUAUUUAUUAGGGAUAGGAUAUUUUUGGUUCUUUCAACGACUGCAUCAAAUUGACAUAACUUAUCGAGAUUUAUUAUUUUCUUUUAUGUGAAUUUUCACAUUUGGAACUUGUAAUGAGUUAUCCUUGUUGAACUUUUGGUUCAAAUUAGUCUCCGCCAUAACUCAUUACAAGUUAUUAUUUCUCUCCCCUUAAUGUCGGGAAAACUAUUGAAUCAAAAUAGUUAUCACAAAUCAUGUCAUAAUUGAAUCUCCAAUACAUUUAAAAUAUAUAAUAAUACAAUGAGACUUAUAAUUAAUAUAUAUUCCCAACUUUCUUUGAGGAUUCACUCAUCUUUGUACGUUUUGGUGGAGCAAUUGGAACAUAUACGCACAUACAAAAAUUUAAAGAUGAGAAAUAUUUAGCUCUUGACCAAAAACCAAUUGUAAUGGGGAGUGUUUAUAACUUAUUAGCUUAAUGUGUACAACACGUAAAUCAACAUAAUAUCAUGUUGAAAUAGGAAGUUUAUUUCUCGUAAGUAAUGGUUUAGAUACUAAUCAGAGCCGUUCAAUCAAUAAUUUCUCUAAACUAUUAUGCGCAUAAAUAAAAAAAACUUUUACAAAAGUUUUUCAAACUCAAUCAAUAAAAGACUAAGAUAUAAGAUCAUCAGUAUUAACAAGAUGAGCUGUCUUAAUUGCAUAAUCUAAAAUUAAUUAUUUAAACAAGCAAUCUUGCAAAUGACAGGUUGCAAGUUGAUAACACAUAUGUGAUUAUUUUGUAGAUACAUCUACCAAAAUCAUAUAAUAUCAAAACCAUCCACAUGGUGGAUGAAUGAGACCAUAUUCAUUUUAGAAAUAUAAGACAUUAAAUCUCAACUUUAGCUAGUGAGUUUCUAAUAAGCAAUUUUCACUAAGAACAAGCAACAAAUGAGAAUUAUUUAAAUUAAAGAAUAUUAUAGUUCUUUAAUGAAUGUCCAUAUGAAUUUUCAAUUAAUUUUUGCAUCAUAAUAAACCUGGGAUGGCCUAACCUGUCAUGGCAAAUAGUAAAAGUAUUUGGUUUUACGAACUUCAAGUUUGUAGUAACAUGUGCCUCAAUUGCACUAAUAUGUGUAUAGUAUAAACCUGAUGAAAAACAGAUAGUCUUUCCAAAACAUAUUUCUUUUCACAUUCAACAUUUAUAAUAUAUAGAUAUUCAAUAUUUUUCUUAUUCAUAGUCUCAAUAUGAUAUCCAUUAAUAUGAAUAUCUUUAAAACUCAAUAUAUUUCUUUGAGACUUAGUGGAAAAUAAAACAUCAUCUGUAACACCCCUAACCCUUAUCCGUUGCCGAAACAGGGUUACGGAGCAUUACUGGACUUUUCAGAUCAAAUACGAACAUUUCAUAUCAUUUAACAUAUAUAUCAGAAGCUAAUCAUAAUCACUCAUAUUGUCCCUUAUAUGAGCCCUCAAGGCCCAAAAUACACAUUUGAAAUAAAUCGGGACUAAAUUAGGAACUCAGAAAAAUUUUCAGAAAAUAUCAAAAAUUUUCAAAUGAGCACGGGACACACCCUCGUGUGGCUAGGCUGUGUGGCUCACACAAUUAAGAGAGUCGCCUGUGUCUCAGCCGUGUGGGCAUUCAAGAUUGGGGCACACGGUUGUGUCCCAGCUCGUGUCCAAAUUAGAGUUCUUAUUGACUUGGGUCACACGGCCAAGCCACACGCCCGUGUGCUAGGCCUUGUGAGCAUACUGACUUGUAAAAUUAAAGUGCAGGGGUCACACGGCCAAGCCACACUCCUAUGUGCUAGGUCGUGUGAAUAUUUUGAGCAUUCUAUUUCUCAAUUUUAAAGAUACAGGGGACACACGGCUAAACCACACGCCCAUGUGCUAGGUUGUGUGUCACACACAGCUGAGACACAUGCCCGUGUCUCUGCCUGUGUGGACGAAAAUAGGCCAUUUCAAGGCCACAUUUCUCACCCAUUUAGGUAUCAACCUAAACACAACAUUUUAACACAUCAAUAUUCCACAACAAAGCAUUCAAAACAAGCCAAAGUCAUGUAUUAUAUACAAUAUAUCAUCACAUCUACCUUAAAUACUCAAACUUACCUAUUUAGUCUAUUUAGCAAAUUUUAUUAAGGUUUACUACUAACUAAAUACCUAUAAGCAUAUAUCCAUCAUAAUCACAUCACAAUUUACUUCAUUUCCAAACCAAAAUAUAUAUCUAGGUUGAUUAUGUAAACAAAACAUCAUUCAUAACAUCUAUAUAUGUCAACUUUAAUCUAAUCCAUAUCAAUCCCUAUGCAUGCCAUAUAAGUCAUGUUGAACGCUUCAAAAACUACCGGAAUAAGUUGGAUAGUGUGACUUGGUGUGCUGAUCUGAUCUUCCGACCUCACGAAAAUCUACAAAGACAUUAAACCACACAAGUAAGCUUAAUAAAGCUUAGUAAGUUUGAUGGGUUAAACAUAAAUCUUACCGAACCUACUAUAACACAUCAAUUAAAUAAAUUUAUUCAACGUAAACUCCCUGCCAAUCACAGCUUCAAUCGAUGAAUAUGCUUAUUUCAAAUCAAUACCAAUAACAAACAAUAUGUCUUUCAAUUUCAAUUACAUAGUUACUUACCAAAUCUUCCUAAAUCGGAGAACGACUUACAGAUAAUAGUACCUCCUUUUCAAAAGCCCAAAGGCUAAUCAGAAGCUCAUGAGAGCUAAACAGAAACCCAUAAGGGUUGAGCGGAAGCUCGUAAGAGCUGAACGAAAACCCAUAAGGGUUAAAUAGAAGCUCAAUGGAGCUGAACGGAAACUCGUAUAAGUUAAACAGAAACUCGUGAGAGCUAAACGGAAAGUAAACAUGAAAUUUCUCAAAAAAUGCUAAACCUCGAUUUACUUGGGUAAUUUGCUGUCAUUUUCCUCCAUUGCCGUCAAUUCGCCGAACGCCGAAUGUACUCAAAUCCCGUGUUCCAUUGAAUUUGAGUAUUCAAUUCAAAUUUAUAACUUUAACAAUAUUUUAUUUUCAACAAUAGAGUAAACACAUAAUAUCAUUCAUCAACUCAAUAUAAAUAUUAAAGUUUAAUCGUAUGAACUUACCUGGGUUAAAUUUGUAAUAUUUGCAGAAGUUUAGGGACUAUUUAGCUAAUUUCUCUUUUUCACGAGUAUCUACAAGAUCUUGAUCUAAAUUAUAAAAUUACUCAAUCAUUAGCAUAUAUUUCAGUUCUAAUUCAUUUCACAAUUAAUACCCUUCAAUUUUUUUCAAAUUUACAUAAUUACCCUAAACUUUCACAACUUUUGCAAUUUAGUCCUUAACUAAUUAAUCUUAUCAAAUUAACUAAUUUUUAUCAAUUAAUAAUUUAUCUAAAUAUUCUAGGCUAUCAUACAACCCUUGAUAAAACAUGAAUUUAAUAUCAAACCCUAAUUCUUUAAUUCUUCACAAUUUGAUUCUAAAAUUAAUAUUUAACAAAAUCACUUUAUAAAAUCAUCAUAAAACAAAAUUAAAGCUCUAAAUCCAUGUUAUUCAUCUAAAACAUCUAAUACUCAUCAAUGGCAACCUUCAAAAUUUUCAAUAAAAUCAAGAACUAAGAUAAUAUUAAGUUGGACUUAAUUGUAAAAGUCUCAAAAACAUAAAAAUUACAAGAAAUAGGAAAGAAUUGAACUCACUUGAAGUAAAAAUAUGGAAAGCCAUCUUAAGGAGCUCUCCUAUGGCUGUUUUGGCUGAAAAAUUGAUGAAGAAAUUGCUUAGAAACCUUUUAAUUUUCUAAUUUGUAUGUUUAAUUUCACUAAAUUUACCAUUUUGGCAUUAAUUCACAUUAUUUUAUUAUUUUUUCACACUUAUGCCGCCUCAGUCAUCCCCUUUAGGCUUAUUUACUCUUUAAGUCCUCCCUUAUUUACUAUUUAAGCCAUUUAAUCACUAUUUCUUAUAAUUCAUAAGUUUAUCACCUUUUUUAAUUUAAUCAUUUUUAAUUAAUUAACUAUCAAAAUGUUAAAAUUUUUCUAUCGAAACUUUAAUUCUACUUUAAUGACACUCCGUAAAUAUUUUUAUAAAUAUUUACGGCUAGGUUUAUAGAAACGAGGCCUCAAUACCUCAUUUUUUUAAAACCACUUAACCUAAUUAUUAUUAAAUACAAAUCACUAAUUCAAAAAUCUUUCAAAAACCAUAUUUGACUCGUAAAUACCAAAUAAUAAAAUUUACGAACUUACUCGUCGAAUUUAGUGGUCUCGAACCACUGUUUUCGACACCACAGAAAAUCGAGCUAUUACAUCAUCAAUGACAAAUUUUGUACUUUAGGUAAUAAUAUAAUAGCUCUUCUAGAGCCUUCAACUAAUUUUAUAGUAUCAAAUAUUGGAAUAAUAUUUGUUUGUUUCAGUACCAAAUAAGAUAAAAAAUUUCUAUCUGUAAUGAUAGAAUUCAUUACUGCAUUCUCAUAUCCUUCCUCAAAGAAUAUUAACAGAAACAAAAUAUUUAGGCAUACGCCACAUAUGUAGUCAAUAAUCUUUCAUAUCACAUUGAUAACAUAAGUUAUCUUUACCCUUUGAAGAGUUAUCUUGAGAACUCUCAUUGUUCUCUUAUUUAUUACUAUAUUCCCAUUUUUAGUGGAUCUUUUAUUUUCUUUAUGUUUGCAUUCACUUCGGGGAAUGCAACAAAUCUAGUAUGACAGACUUCUAAACGUCUCCAUUGAUUCUUUAUUUCAUAAUCACCAUCGCAAACAUAUGUGAAUUUCAAAUCAGAAUCUAUUUAUUCAUAUUGUCAUGAUUAGUCUCCAAUUAUCAUCGUUACAACCCACGUAAUGAUUAUAUAAAUUUCUUUGCAUAAUGAUUACCCAUAGUGAGAAGGCCCCACUUGAAGACUGAAAUAAUAGUAGCUCUAAAAGGCAAUCGACAACAGCUUGAGCAACAAAUUUGGAGCGAUCAUAUUAUAAAAUAAAAGAGAAUCGUGCUAAUAACGUGUUAUAAAAAAAAGACAAAGAAAAUAGGAGAGUAAAAGAGAGAAUGUAUUUAUUGAUCAAUGAGAUAAUUACAAUGUUUCUUCAAAGUCUCUAUUUAUAGGCAUAAGAAGUAUAAAUAAAGUAGAUAUCUAAUUCUAAUGACUAUUAGAAUUUAAAGUAAAUCAAAACUUAUCUUAAUCUUAAUGGAUAUCCACUAAAUCAGAUAUUCAUAACAAAAAUUUACUUUUCAUAUUUUUAUUAUUAUAAAUUUUAGCAUUUCUAAUAGUUUAAAUAUUAUGUCAAUAAUGAAUUUGAACACAUAGAUACCCAAAUUUUAAUCCAGAAUGAACCUAGAUAAAUAGAUGUAUGUUUAAGUGCCAGACUUGAAUUUUUUUUAAAAUUUUUUUUAAUUUUGCAUUAUAACAACUGACUCAAUGACUAUUAACGGUUAUGUCAAUAAAAUAACAGUUAAUGAUAGAAAGAGUUAAUCAAGAGAUGUAAUUGACAAAAAUUUUAACAUUCGAAGAUUCAAUUAAUGCGUUACUUCGAAAUAUUUUAAUUAAAUUUUUUUUGGGUAAAAGUUCAAUGUUUCUAUAUCCUUGAAACUUUUAAAUAUUAUAUAUUUUAUGAAAUUUUAGUUUGUAGGUAAACUAAAAUGGAUUUUUUGACUUUGUUGACGUCAAAUCGAAAGCUAAGUACGUUUUUUUUUUUCUUUUUCCUUCAAGGGGAAUAUGAUUUUUAUAACUUUUAAGGUUAAUUAAUUAAUUGAAUCUCGUGUGUUGGCCUAAUAAUUGGGGUGUUUAUUAUUCUAGAUGUAAUCUAGGUUUGAGUCGCGUUAGUCGUAUUAUUGUUAGGGCUUUAUCCUUCUUUUAUAAUUCAUCAAAAGAAUUAAUUAAUCAAUCAAUCAUACAAUAAAAUAGUAAUUAGUUUUUCUAGAAAAAGACUUGAUUAAUUAGUCAAAAUUCAAAAAUAUUGAUCUUAAACAAUUUAUAUUUACAUAAAGGAGGGAAAUAUAUUUAUUUAUCUAGUCAAAGUCAAAGAAUUUUAUCUUAUAUAAUAUAAAAAUUGUAUGCGUGUACUCUUUUUUCUCCCGGAACAUGCGCGUGCUGCUUAAGGACCGGUAUUUUUUUUUUCUUUGAAAAAAAAUAUAGUAGAGGUUUUCUCCAAGGAAACUAAUGGUUCUUGGUGUUGUCUUUUGGAAGAAAAAUUUUGAGGUAGUAAUUGAUUUGAGUGUAAUUCUGUGUAAUUACAUUGUGAUGACAUAUUUGGGUAAUCAUUAUAAUUGGUAAAUCUUACCGAAUUAGAUGUAAUUAGAGCAUCUGGGAGGUGAGAAUUGAAGUAAUUAUAUAGGUAAUUAUACUCAAAUCCAAUUCUUAGGAGGAUAGUUUCAUUUUAGAGUAGGUAGGUAAUUGAUUUUUAAAUUUGUUAAUUAUACUAAUAUUAAAUUUUUGAUUGAGUUGGUAUUACGAGUUUUUUUUUAACAUUAAUCUCAUUAUAGGUUCUUAUCAUAUUUGCUCUUUUUGAUAUAAUGCCUAGAACUAUCCACAGCGCCUCCCCAAUCUUUAAAUAGGAGGAUAAUGUGCUUCAGCGCACUUAAACGCAUGUCCUCCUACACUGGCAAUAAUACCAAUGCCAAUCGAGUUAAGAGUUAACCGACUGGUAUUAUGAAUUAAUAAGACACCAAUUUUGUAUGUUAAAUGUCAAAAAACCCAAUUUAAUAAAUGAUGCUUGGUGAUGCUUUUUUGUGGUAGGUUGAUGCAGUCAUAAUAGAUUGUGUGAUGAGUAAACUGCAAACUAAAAUGAGAUUAAGAGUGUUAGAAUUAGCACUCCGAAGCACCUUCCGAUAGAUUUGAUAAUGAAAAUUAUAGUAGAGUAAAGGUGGCUAAGCUGAAAAAUGGCCAUACCUACAUACAUGUUGCAGCAUAAUAUUUGUAAGGACUUUGGGGUUGCCCUGACUUGCCCAUUUACAUGCUCAGAUCUAAUUACUAGUUCUCCUUUGUUGAUCGUAGCGCUUUGUCCUUUUAGGCGGCCACUCAAUUUAUUGCAUGCUUUGCUGAAGGUGGAAAUCUGUGUAGGGUCUUCUCUACGAGAAAGAAGGUUAUUAGAUGGUGUCGUAUUCUAUUUCUUAAGCAUUUACUUGGUGCUUUGGGCUCGUGACAAGUUUAAAAAAUAUGAAAAUUUAUAUAAAUUUAUAAAAAUUAAAAAAAUCAUAAAAAUUUAUAAAAGUAAUAAAAACAUAUUUAAAAUAUUUAAAAAUUUAUAAAAACGUAUUAAAAUUCUAUAAAAAUCAUAAAAUUAUAAAAAAAAGUAUUAAAAUUGACAUAAACUUAUAAAAAUUAUAAAAACAAUAUAUACAAAACUUGAAUUGGACCGGAUCAGUCGGUUGGACCGCUUAGACCGAAAUCGACAAGGGUAUCGGUUCAAAGAAAGCCGUUAUACCAGUUGACUUGGAAAUCGGAUGGUUGAACUGAUUUUGUUUUUUAAAAAUAUUUAAAUUUUUUAUUUUUAUUUAAUUGAAUUAGACAAAUCAAUUGAAUUGGCAUAUUAGUGGCCUAACUAGUUUGAUUCUGAAAAACUUGGUCAGAAUAUUUCAUUCUGACAUAUGGUAAUAGUUGGAUGUUGAAAUUUUUGUUUGAUAAAAAAUAUUAAAAAAUAAAAAAAUCGGUUCCACCGCCCGGUUCCCAGGUCAAUCAAUCUAAUGGCUUUCCCUAGACCGGUACCCUUGCUAAUUUCAGGCUAAUCGGUCUAGUUCAAGUUUUUAUGUUUUCUUUAUAAGUUUAUAUCAAUUUAAUAUUUUUAUAAUUGUUAACAAAUUUUUUUAAGAACUCUAAUACAUUUUUUAUUUUAAAUAUUUUAAAUAAUUUUUUAAAAUUUUUUAAAAUUUAUUUUUUAUUAGAGUUUUUAUAUUUUUAUAAUAUUUAUAUGUUUUUAUAAUUUUAAUAAGUUUAUAUCAAUUUUAUUAUUUUAUUAUAUUUUUGUGAUUUUUUAUAAUUUUUUAAAGAUUUUUAAUCAUUUUUCAUGAAAAAUAUUAGAUUAAACCGAAACUUGCCAUUUAUCACUAUCUGAUUGGUCCGCCAAUUUAUUUUAACAGUCAACUUAGUCAAUGGCGAAAACCCUUAACGGAGGGGCUUAAUUGAUUAUUUUAAUUAAUGACAACAGCUUAAUUAAGUGCGAAUUUAAUACAAGAAAAUUUUUUGACAUAUAAGAAAAAGAAAAGAAAGUGUCAAUCUUUAAUGGUGAUGCUUGGACAUGCUUCAAAAUAGAACUAUCUUUUAUGAGUAGGGAGGAAGGGUGAGGUUGGUUCUUCCCAACAUAGAAUUUGAAUUUGAAACCUAAAAUUCUAUGAUUUCCUUUUGAGAUAAAAUGCAUGUUCUAUUAUUUUAAUUGGUAAUACAUCAUUUAAUUUUUAGAUAAGUUUAGGUAAUAUGUAUUUUUUUAUUAUAAUUAUUUGAUCAUAUGGUUUUAAUAAGGUUUUCUAUGUAUAGAUGUCAAAUAUUAGAUAUUUAUUAUUAUAAACUUAUUUUAAGAUAAUUUUAUAAUUUAUUGAAGUAACCCUAAUGCGAAAUGCUGAUAAAGUAUUUAUCUUAGUCACUAUUUUUAUAUUUUAUAUUAAACAUACAAUCAUUUUCCUUAAAUUAUGGCAUCCACGUUUGGUGUUAGGCAAUUGGAGUUGGAAUAUAAUAAUGAUUGUGAAAAUUAUGUUAGCUGAUGGUGCUGGUGUUAGUAUAUUAUUAGAGUAAUGUUUGAUUAGUUAAUUUUUAUGUUGAAGUUGAAAACUUCGUUUUCGACACAUCUUUAAAAAACAUAACAGAGUAGCUGAUUGGAUAGAUAAAUCUGGAAAUAGGAACUAUAAUGGAAUACAGGUAUAUGAGAAGACCCCAACCUUAUUACGGGAGCGUGUUAAAUCUAUUAUACUAUUAUUAAAUUUGGUAUUGUGAGUUAAAUCUUACAAAUGAUUCAAAUAUCAUUUUUUUUAAAUCAAUAAAUUGUAUUAUAAAGGGUUUUUCAAUUAAGCUGGUUUACAUCAACUAAUAGGUGGGAAUUAUUCAACUUUCACGUCUCUAUAUAUUUUUUGCUGUCAUAUUAUUUUCUUUAUAUUUUACUUUCUCUAUUUAGAAAAAUGAAUAAAUUAAUCUUUAUACGUUUGAUCAAAGAGUACAUUGUCUUCCUGUUAAAAAUUCCAUCCAGAUCUACCAUUAAAAAUUGAUUAAAAACUGAUUCUAUACUUUAGCAUGAAGUACACGUGACAUGUCACGUGCCAGUGUUUGAUUAUUCUAUCAGCCAUGUCAUGUUUUUGCAAUACAAAUGGAUAAAUUUUUUAACUAAAAAGACCAAUUUUACUUUUUGAUCUAAUAUAUAAAAAUUAAUUUACCUAUUUUUAUGUAGAACACGAGUAACCUGUCAACUACAACAUGCAUUAGCAUAUACGUGAGCAUGACAUGUGAUGGAAUAUAUAUAAGCAAGAUUAUUGUUAAUGGCUUUAUCGCCAACACUAACACACACAGUUGACAUUUUUACGUAAUAUUAUGAAUGUCAAAAUGCCAAACAUUUACGUUCCAUACUUGAAAUCUUCUAGGUCAAACUAUUCGGUCUUGACCUAUCUUUUUAAAUAAUUUAUUUAGUAUAAUGCCUUACAAGUUGAUUACACCCAAAAAAAACUUCCCUAUAAAUUCCUUAAAUCUUCUCACUUCAACACAAAACAAUUCAACAAAAUUCAUCAACAUGGCAAUUUCAUGGCCUCUUGUUGUUUCACUUCUUCUUUCAAUUUCAUCCCUUGCAACUUCUGCUUCAAAUUCUGAUUCAGUCCAUGAAGCUUUUGUUCAAUGUCUUUUAGACAAUUCACAUCCAUCUCACCCUAUUAGUGAAGCCAUUUUCACACCUCAAAGCCCGUCAUAUGCCACAGUCUUACAAUCCUACAUUCGAAACCUUCGAUUUAAUGAGACCUACACACCCAAACCCUUCCUUAUCCUCACUGCAUUACACCAAUCCCAUAUCCAAGCCGCCAUUAUUUGUGCCAAAAAGGGCAACAUUCAAAUGAAAAUCCGAAGUGGUGGACAUGAUUAUGAUGGUUUAUCAUAUGUUGCCACUGUUCCUUUCUUUGUCCUUGACAUGUUCAACCUUCGAUCCAUUGAUAUAGAUAUGGAAACCGAGACUGUUUGGGUUCAAAGUGGAGCAAUUCUUGGUGAACUUUAUUAUAGAAUCUCUGAGUUGAGCAAAACACAUGGUUUCCCAGCUGGUGUUUGUCCUACAGUGGGUGUAGGAGGUCAUUUUACUGGAGGUGGCUAUGGUAAUAUGAUGAGAAAAUAUGGUUUAACAGUUGAUAACAUCGUGGAUGCUUAUUUCAUUGAUGUUAAUGGUAGAAUUCAUGAUAGAAAAUCAAUGGGGGAAGAUCUUUUUUGGGCUAUUAGAGGUGGUGGAGCAGCUAGUUUUGGUGUGGUCCUUGCAUAUAAAAUUAAGUUGGUCCGUGUACCUGAAAUAAUUACUGUUUUUCGGGUUGAGAAAACAUUGGAAGAUAAUGCCACUGACAUUGUUGAUCAAUGGCAACAUGUUGCAUCUAAACUCCCUAAAGAACUCUUCGUUAGGCUCGUCAUUGACGUCGUAAAUAGUAGUACUCGUACCGGUGGAAGUACCGUUAGGGUUUCAUUCAUUUCCUUGUUCUUAGGAGAUUCCAAGACACUUGUUUCAAUCAUGAACGAGAACUUGCCUUUACUUGGUUUAUCUCAAUCGGAUUGCAUCGAAACAAGCUGGAUUCGAUCGGUUCUUUUUUGGACCAACAUCACCAUCGAUAGCCCAACCGAUGUUUUAUUGAACCGAACCCCGUCGUUGAGUUAUCUCAAAAGGAAAUCAGACUACGUAAAACAACCGAUCCCGAAGACGGCAUUGGAAGGUAUUUGGGAAAAAAUGAUCGAACUACAGCCGGCGCAAAUGAUAUUCAAUCCAUACGGUGGGAGAAUGGCUGAGAUUGCGUCCACAGCGACUCCAUUUCCACACAGAGCUGGCAAUUUAUGGAAGAUUCAAUACUUAGCGAAUUGGAACCAAGGUGGGGCUGAAACAGCCCAGCGUUACAUAGAGUUGACAAGGAAGCUUCAUAGGUACAUGACACCCUUUGUGUCCAAGAAUCCAAGGGAGGCAUUUCUUAAUUAUAGAGACAUUGAUUUGGGUGUCAAUCAUAAUGAUAGAGGAAGCUAUUUGGAAGGGAGGGUUUAUGGGAUCAAAUAUUUUAAGGGUAAUUUUAAUAGGUUGGUCCAUAUUAAGACUAAGUUUGAUCCUACUAAUUUCUUUAGAAAUGAACAAAGCAUUCCUACUCUUCCCUAUUAAGAGAAGACAGAUAUAAUUAUUAAUGUUUAUUCAUUUUAAGUUUUAGUUCAAUUAGUUUCAUUGUUGUUGUAAUAAUUAGAAAAAUAUGAACUCAAAUGUAUUGAAGCAUGUUUUUCUUUCAAUUUAAAGCUUGUUGAACAUAUGUUUGUAUUUUUUAAGAUAUAAUAAUAGAUUCAAUAUGUGUAAUUAAUAAAUUUUAUUUUAUUAGGAAUGUGAUUUAUGGAAACAAGAAAUAAAUAUUUUAUUUUGUUAAAUACUUCAUCAAAUUUGUGGCAAAUCUUUUAUCAAAUCCUGAAUGAAAACAACAUAUCAUCUAUCUUAACUUAAAUUUUUUAAUUGGGAUGAUAUUUCGAAUUAAUAAAUAGGUUCUAAUCAUAUCUGUUUUUUAUACAAUGUCUAAAACUAUUCAUAGCUUUUUCCCAACUCAUAAAUAAAAAGAUAAUGCACUUCACUGCAUUCGAACCCAUGUCCUCCAGGGUUAACAAUAAUGCUUAUGUCAAUCGAAUUAAAACUCAAUCGGCUUACAAUUUAAUAUUAUAAAUAAGAAAACUGAUGUUUACAUUUUUAUAUUUUAUAUUUUAUUUUUUACAGGAUUUACAUGUUUACUUAGAUGCUGCAAUUAUGCAAAAUGAUUGAACAAAAACAAAAAAUAAUUUACUCUUUGACCUGCUCAAACAAAUACGGCUAUAUGAUGCUUGGGCAGUUAGGUUGCCUUCUUCAUGUGGUUAGCCGAGAGGAGUUGAAUAACAUCAACUCAAUCGAUUCGGCAACUUAAUUGAUCUUUUAUUUAUUUAUUUUGCAGUAGGGUGUUGAUUUUUGUAGUAGCCUCCCGUUUUAGGGAUUUUAAUAAAAUAUUUAAUUUGGCAAGAAAAAAAUAACUUUAUUAAUAAAGGUGAAGGCACCAUACAAGAGUAUUAAAAUAUAAGGUAAACUAGGGGUGAGCAAAAUUUGAUUUGAUUUAAAAAUUCGAUAAAAAAUUAAUUUUUGAAUUAAAUAAUUCAAGUUAUUUGAGUUAAUUAAAUUAUUCGGAUAAACUCGAAUAAAAAAUUAAAAUUCUUGGUUUAACUCGAAUAUAAAUUACACAAUUCGAGUUAUCCGAAAAUCUGAAUAAGAAAAGACAAAACUACGUUGUUUUGAUAAAUGUUUACCUUUUCUAAAGUUAAAAGUCAAAACCAUUAUAUUGUAUAUGUAGUUAAAUAAUCUUGUACCUCAUCAAUUGAUUAAAUAAUCGAUUCAUGUAAACACAACAUUGAGUAUAAAUAAUAGGAUUCGUUAGCUCGACUCGACUCGAAAAUUUUUUACUCGAUUCGGUUCAAUUCAAAAAAAAUUCAAAUUGAGUUUCGUUGCUAAAAUAUGAUUCGUCAACUCGAUUAACUCAAAAUUUUUUGACUAGAUUCGACUCGACUCGAUCGGAUACUCACCCCUAACGUGGAAUAUUGGAGGCUUUCUUAUAUUGAUUUGCCUUUCAUCUGCAACAUAAAUGGGAAAUUUUCAGCUAUGGUAGUUGUGCUGUAACUUAAUAUUAUCCAUUUGAUUAUUGAAGGGCAUGCUCAAAUUAUUUUCUAUAUUAUAUAUAGAGAGAAGGGGAUAAUAUUCGGUUAAAUUAUGCUAUUUCUCUCUGUACUUUGUAAAAGUUAUGGAUUUAGUCAUUGUACUUUUCGAAUUUUGAAAAUUUUAGUCCCACCCCAAACAAUGGUUGUUAAAUCUGUUUGUUUAAAUCUAAUUACUAGUCCUGUACAAUAUGUAUAGUUGUAGAUUUAAUCCAUAUUUUUCAAUUAGAUCAUUCUGAGUCUCAAAUUUUGAAAUUUCAAUCUUGUCGCAAAUGACAGUGGUUAAUCCAUAAACUGAAUUUUAGUGAGUGAUAUGUGGAAAUAACAAGCAAACAUGGCAUUACACGUGAUAAUAUGUUUGGCCCAUCAGAUUUUAGAAAUAACAAAACUUAACUUAAUGAAUUUAACAAUUAUCAUUUAGUGAUGACUAAAACUUUAAAAUUUGAAAAGCACAAGAACUAAAUCAACAACUUUCACAAAAUAUAUAAACUAAUAGCAGAAUUAAACCAUAAUAUAUUGAUACUUGUCUGAAUGUGAGUCAAAGCUUAAGUUAUCUUACUUUGUUCGGAUGUAUGUGUUGGAUACGAUUGUAAAUGGACACAAGUGCAAGUGUAUAUGUUGAUUUUUUAAAAAAUAUUUUUUUCCUUAUAUUUCAAAGGUGCUUUAAGGAUAUGCCUUCAUACACAUAUAAGUGUACUGAUUUUGAAGAAAUUAUUUUAUGGACCCUUCCCACCGCACUAUUCAUGGUCCUUUCCAAUAAUUUAAUGACAUUUUAGCAAAUUUUUCAUGUCAUUAACACAUAAUUUUGGAAGUUUUUACCUUGAACCCCGAACCUCGAAUAUUGAACCCUAAACCAUGAACUCCAAACCCCGAACCUAAACAACAAACCCUGAACAUGAACUCGAGGUUCCAAGUUAGAGGUUCAAGAUUCGAGUUUGGGGUUCGGGGUAAAAAAAAUUACCAUUAUUAUGUGUCAAUGACAUGGAAAAAAUUGUUGAAAUGUCAUUAAAUAACUGGAAAGGGACCAUGAAUGAUGUGGUGGGAAGGGUCUAUAAAAUAAUUUAUCAUUGGUUUUGCCUUCUAGUUGCACAUUUAGUUACAAUUAGCCUUAUUUACUAACUGUAUAGAAAAGGAGAUGCACAUUAAAGUCUGGUAACGUAGUUCGGAAAUUCCCUAUGCAUGUUUGGUCUUGCCCAAAGAGUAGCCCACUAUAAAGCUAUUUGUACAAUAUUUGAUUUAAGUCUAACAUGCUCAUCGAAUUGCAAUCUCACUCGUAUACAUAAACUAUAUCACUCUCGACUUUCCCCUAGUUGAAAAUUGAACAACGAGAACAAAUUACAACAAUUUUACACUAAAAUAGAUUUUUCAAGCGAACAGGUUAAGUGCUCUCUCAAUCUCGUCCAUAAGACUAAAAUAAGCCCUCUUUUAAAUAAGCAUACAAUGACUUGUUAAAUUAUAAUUAAUGCAUAUAUCUGUCUCAUCGAAUUCAUCUUAAUAAAGUCACCAAUAUGGAAUAGAUUUAAAGAUAUCUUCUUGGUAUAAUGGUUUUGUGAAAAUCAAAUCUCUUCAAAUAAGAAAUUUUCGAUCACAUUAAAAGUCUUCAAACAAUUUUUGCUUAACUUAAUUUUCACUUUUUUUUUUUUACUUCUAUAAGUUGCAGCUAAAACUUUUCAAAGAUGUGCUAAAAUAAAAAAUCUAAAAUUUUUCGAUCAAAAGAUAUCACUUAAAUAUGACAAGUCAUCUUAACUUGCAAAAUGCAAAUUAAGUUGCAACUGGAGUUGCAUCUAUAACCCAUAUAAUUGUAACUAAUAAUCUCCUUCCUUGACAUUUUUAUAAAAACAUUGCAGCACAUUACACUCCCCCUUAAUCAAUCAAUUCGUCUAUGAAACAUAACUAUGGAAUCAACCAUUCAUGCAAAGAUAACAAAAAGCAUUAAUAAUCAAACUCAUAGAACCAUAGCAAGAGGCCACUUCAAGUAAAUGCUUCAAAUCCCUGUAUUCUUCAUACAUUUGUAAUCUAAUAUUCUUACUUUUAUCUCAAGAAAUUUAGUUCCUUUACUAAAUUAAAAAUGUUAAGUUCAGUUUUUAACAUUGUUAAACUUUUUCAGUUAAAUUCAAGUUCAACGAAUUAGAUAGACGAAUUUUAACGGUAUUAAUAAUCAUACCUAAAUUUUGAAAUCUAAAAAUAGAGAAACUAAUUUUUUUUAACUAAAGAUAAAUAAACUAAAUUUCAAAUAUAUAAAAAGUACUACACAUUUAGUGGAGCACAUAUAUAGUUGUUUAAAAGUUAAAGUACCAAUGUUCAAAGAUUACCAUUAUCCAAAGUCCAAUUAUUUGGAAAGGUUCCUAAAUAAAGAGUAGGGGUGAGCGUUUGAUCAAACUGAGUGAAAAAAAUUUUGAGUUAAUCGAGUUGACGAGUCAUAUUUUAUCAUCUUAACUCGAUUUGAAUUUUUUUUGAAUCAAGUCAAGUGAAAUGAAAUUCGAGUCAAGCUGAAUCGAAUGAAAUUGUUCGAGUUAAAUUAAAAAAUUAAACAUUUCAAAUUAAAAUCUUGUUACAAAAUAAUUAAUUUCACGUUAGAGCAAAUAAAUUCGAAACCAUAUAUAUUUUAAAACUUUUUCAAAGCAAAAUAAUAAAAAAAUAAGAUACUUUAGUAUUAUAAACUUAAAUCAUUAAUGAACUUAUUUAGGUCCCAAAAUUAUUAUUUUAGAAAAUUUUUAAAUUUUUAACUUUCUUUAUAUAUUUUUUAGAUUUUUUUUAAAAUUUUAUAAUUUUUUAAAAAUAUAUAUAUAAUUUAGAAUUUUUAUAAAUAUUUUUAAUUUUAAAAUUUAUUUUGAUUUUUUGAAAAUUAUUUUGAAUUUUUUUUUUGUAAUUUUUGUUGAAAGAGAUCAAUUUGCUCAUUUUUAAAAUUGAUAGGGACUAAAAGGGUAUUUACACCAAUCUGUUAUUCAAAUUAUUCGAGUUAUUUAAAUUUUAAAAUUUAACUCGACUCAAACUCGAAUUACUUAUUCGAGUUGACUCAAGUAAUUUAAAUAACUCGAUUUGAUUAACUCAAAAUUUAAAUUUUUUUUAUUUUUUUCAAAUUAAAUCGAAUUUUAGUGAAUUGCACGGCCAAAAAGGUUAUAUAACAAACGUCAAUUAUCAAGGCUUGCAAAAGAGUUGGGUUUGGAUCAUUAGCUAAAAUUUUGCAAAGGAUCCUCGGAAUCCACCAGUAAUUCGAUAUAAAAAGUUUAGAUGUGGAAUUUAUAUUUACUUAUUACUAUAGAAACAUUUAUGUUACCCAACAGAAAUAAAUCGGAUUUCUUUAUUUUUUAAAUGUGAAAAAUAAAAUAAAUAUAAUUAAAUCAAAAUUAAAUUUUUGAGUAUAAUUAUAUCAAAUCAACAUUCACAUAUCAAAAGCACAUUGUAUCGAUAUAUAUUUUUAGAUUUAGUCCGUUCUCUAUACAUUAAAAAGAAAUGAAUGCAGAUGCCGCAUGGGAAGAGCAUGCACACAAGGUGAUGCGGUCGUUGAAAGCACCAAAAAUAUCUUAUCCCUAAUAAAUAAUGAAAAAGAAUAGUAAAAGGGAAGUAGGGUCAAAUUCUUAGGGACUGGAUUUGCACAAUAUCUUAUUCCGUGAAAUCCCGGCAGAAUCUUGCCCAAGAAAACCUGCGUGCUUGGAAAAAAAUAAAAAGAACAGAAUUAAAGGUUUGGAUCUGGAAAUGAAAAAUAAAAUAAAAAAAGAAUUAAGAAUAUUGAAUCGAAAAUUCGAGUAAUUAAAAAUAGAGUUGAGAGAAAGAAAAUUCUUAUGGGAGAUUCCAGCCUCCAGUUGUCUCGUUCUGCCUUGGGUUCAAUCCUCGGCUUUUAGAUGAUCCUUCCCAAACCGAAUAACCCAGUUAUAGUGGAAGAGGACACCUACGACUACCAGCUCCAAUGAUUUAGACUUACGAUUUAGUGGAACCUGACUCUAGCCAACAAUCGCUUCUGUGGGAUUGUCUUAUGCUAGAUCAAUGCUUCUCAAUGGAGAAUCCCACGCCAUUUUGUCCCUUGGGCUCGCCAACCUCUGACACAGUAAGCUAACGAACCAACUGUGCAACCUUCCCAAAACAUACAAAGCGGUCACCUUUGCAUACAUUGAAAAGCUUACUUCUUAAGGGACAUGGAUGGAAGCGUCAGCCCCGUAGUGCGGAGAAACGAUGAAUACUCAACGAGGAGGCUAAGUACGGACUCUAAGCCUCAAGAACCCUUUUUGGGGAAUAUCAACAACUUUCAGCUAGAUGGGUUUAGUGGCUCAUGGUUGUGGUGGAAAAGAAAAUAAAUAAAAUAAAAAUAGAGAUUUUAUUGAAAGGAAAUAUGAGAGGAACAAAAGCCUAGACUUUUGGGGAGAGAGUGUUUACAGAAAAAGAUGGAUCUCUUUUGAGUCACUUCACCCCCUAUUUAUAGUGCUAGGGGAGAUAGUCUAAUCCUACUUAAACUCCCAAAAGAUAAAUACAUUUAAUUGAAGAUAAAUAAAGAUAAAUAAAAUAAAAUCCUAAAAUUAAAUAAUCCUUAAUAAUUAUCUUAAUAUUAAUUAUCCUAAUAUAAUUAAAAUAGAAUCUGAUAGAAUAAAAUAUCUUCUUUUUGCAUUUCAACCCUUGUUUUCUCCAUGCUUGCACUUUUGGCACCAACUUUUCCUUGUGUUGCAUGUGGGCCCAUUUUAUCUCUAAAUUCAUGCUUUUGGCCCGUAAUUUUUCUUUUGCCUCAAAUUUAAUCCCUAUGAGAUAAAAGAUCAUAAAUAGCUCAAAUUAGCAGGAUCAUACUCAGAAUAAAUACAUAAUUAACACAUAAAAAUACGUUAUUUUAGAGUGUUAUCAAAUUCUCCCCUACUUAGCCCAUGCUUGCCCUCAAGUAUGGUUCCUAUCUACUGUGAAAGUUAGAUUCUGCCAUAAAAGUAAUACCACUCCAAAGUUGUAUAAAAAGCAGUCAAAAAUGCAUAUGAAAAAUAAAGAGAACCCUAAGCUUGCUUUAAGUAAAACAGAAAAAGUUUUCCAACUAAUACACAAAAAUUAGAAUCGACUUGAAUUAUUUAAUGAAAAUUAGGUAAAUUAUCAAACCUACCAAGACACCCUAUUUGUUUCCUCCUUUAGUCCCCAAAUAACUUUUUUUUAUAUGAAGACUUUAGAGAAAACAAAUAAUCAAGUGUCAAAAAUAAGUUUCAGUAAUUACCUUAAUAGUCAUGAACAUAUUUUAGCAUGCAAAUAUAUUAAGUAUCCACUUUGUAUUAAACUUGAUCAAUUUUACGAAAAGUAAGAUAAAGUUAACUCUAUGAAUCACAAUUAUUUUUAGCCUAAUAAGAAUAAAACAGUGGAGAUGGCAUCAGUUAUGGAAAAUCUUUAAUUUCCUCAGAAAACAAAAAUCAUGCUUGUAGGUCAAACAGUAAGCAAUUCUUGGUAAAAAUCUUUGGCAUGAAAAGAGGCAGGAUAUUCUAAAAUAAAUAUGGACAAAAUGGAGCCUCAACUAGUAACACCAGCCAAAUAUAAUCAUAGCAACAGCAACAACAACCAAAAUCACAGCAGAAAAUUAUAGUAAUAACGAAGAGUACCUCCCCCUACUGAAAGCACAUUGUCCUCAAUGUGGACGAAAAGAAAUAAAUAGUUAGAAAAGUUUAGAAAACUACCCGUGUUGUUACUGUCGAUUUCAUAUGAUGGCAAUGAGCUCGGCUAGUUGCUGGCCAAAGGUUUCAAGUCGGGCUUCAAUGCGCUCUAAGCGUUGCUCAACGGUUUUCUUCGCAUUUUAGCUCUGUUUUAUCUAAGAAAAAGAAGAAAAUUUUAUUAAUAUUCAAAUAAGUAAUAAAUAAUAAAAUAAAAUAAAAUAAUAAAUAAAGUAAAGAAACUAAAAUAAAUAAAAAAUAAAAAUUGGGUUGCCUUCCAACAAGCUCUUGUUUAACGUCAUUAGCUCGAUGUCGUUAUUGGUUCUAUGGUGGUUCCAAAUGGAUUUUCUCAAUCGUGUGGGCUUGAAAGUUCUCAUAAAAUGACCGCUGGCCAUUGACUAUAAACCACUUUCCAGAUUCUUCACUCUCUAUUUCAAUCACUCCAUGUGUGAACACUUCAACAACAAUAAAAGGUCAUUGCCAUCGUGAUCGAAACUUACCUGGGAAUAACUUUAACACGGAGUUAUAAAGUAAAAAUUUUUGUCCUACCGAAAAAUGCUUCUGAGCUAUUCUCUUAUCAUGAAACAACUUUGUCUUGUCUUUAUAAAUGCGAGCAUUCUCGUAGGCAUCAUUGCGAAUUUCUUCUAACUCUGGUGCCUGUAUAACAGAAGGUAACAGGUUAGUAUUUAGAGAUAAUAACUCAUUAACAAAUUUAAAUUCAUCAAGUUCAAAAUUAUCUCCAAAAUUGACUCAAAAUUCUCUUCCACUAAAGAGUCAAUUAUGUCGAUACAAUUUACACUCAAGAUUUUUCUUGGAUGGCUAAUGGCGUUGUAGACAUUAAACUUUACGAUCUCCCCAUCAAACUCCAUCGUGAGAGUUCCACUUCGAACGUCGAUCCUAGUACUAGCUGUACUAAGGAACGGUCAACCCAGCAGGAGAUCUGAAGAUCCAGGAUUGCUAUCCUCCUCCAUUUUGAUCACAUAAAAAUCUGUAGGGAAAAUAAGCUCGUUAACUUUUACCAAAACAUCCUUAAGGACUCCUUCUGGAUGCACAACAGACCUGUCCGCCAAUUGAAUGAUAACACCUAUUUUUGUCAAAAAACCCGCGUUAAAUUAUUCAUAAAUCGAAUACAACAUUACAUUUAUAGAAGCCCCUAGAUCACACAUAGCCUUCUUAAUUCCCAGAUGGCCUAUUUUGCAUGGUAUUGCAAACAUGCUCCUAUCCUUGCAUUUUCCUGGCAUUUUUCGCUAUAACAAUGCAGAUACAUUCUCACCAACAUUCACCCUUUCAUUACCUGUUAAUUUUCGCUUGUUGGUGUAAAGCUCUUUAAGAAAUUUAGCAUACUGCAGUAUUUUCUUGAUGGCAUCCAACAGCAGAAUGUUGAUCUUGACAUUUCUAAAUGUUUCGAGGAUUUCCUUGUCCUCUUUACCUCUUCGACACUGGUUGAAUCGUUCUGAAAAUGGAGGUUGAGUUUUAGGCAAUGGAGGCUUCGGUCAGACCUGUUCUUCUUUUUCGGGUUUUUUUGGGCAAUUUCUUGGCCAAGAUUCCUGUCAAGAAUCAAUUCCAGUACCUUUCAGCUUCGCAACGUUACUACAUUUGCAUUUUGUCUAGGGUUUGGUUCUGUUUGUGACGACAGCUUCCUUUGAGAGGUCAAUUUCUCGAUCGAUGUGGUCAACUCUCUGAUGGACGCCUCGAUUUUCUGUUGGAUAUCCUUCAUCUCUUUUUGGAAAUUAAGAGUUUUCUGUUGAAAAUCAAGAACAUUAGUUGCUAACUUAUUGACCAUGGUUUCUAGAAAAUUACCUGAACCUUGCAGCUGUUGCGAAAACUGAUUUUCGUAUGGCUGGUUAUUUCGUGGAUUGGACCCAUAACUUAAGUUAGGAUGGUCCCUCCACCUUGGGUUGUAGGUAUUAGCGUAGGGGUCGUAUCGCCUUUGUGGCGACCUAGGGAAAUUUCCCACAGCAUCUAGAUGGGCCGUGGUAUCAUCAUACAAACUGGGACAUGCAUCAGUUGCAUAAUCAGGUGUAGCACAUAUUCCGCAUAACCGGACUGUCUUAGCUUUUUCUGUAAUAAGAGAGUUCAUCAUAUUAGUAAGUCUAUCAACUUUAUCCUUUAAUGUUGAAUUACUUAGCUGGUGAACCCUUCUAGGGGGUUCAGUAUUGGCUCGAAACUGUUGAGAAUUUACAGCCAUCGUGGAGAUCAAGUCUCUUGCUUGUUGGGGAGUCAUGUUGACUAAUACUCCUCCACUAGCGGCGUUUACCAUAUUCAUCUCCAUGGGCUUCAAACCUUUGUAAAAAUAUUGGAAGAAAGAUUGCUCCGUUAUACCAUGUUGUGGGCAACUUGCACACAACUUCUUAAACCGCUCCUAAAAAUCGUAAAGGGACUCAGCUUCUUUUUGCCUUAUUCCAACGAUCUCUCUUCUUAGCUCAGUUGCUUGAGACACUGGAAAAAACCUGUUCAGAAACAAACGAGAUAAAUCAUCCCAAGUUGUAAUAGAUCCCGAUGGUAAAUAAAAUAACCAUUCCUUAGCGGGAUUUGCUAGGGAGAAAGGGAAAGCAUGCAAUUCAAUCUAAUCCAAGGGAAAGCACGCAAUUUAAUCUGAUCCUCAGUUACCCCCUGAGGUUUCAUGCUAAGACAAACCAUAUGAAACUCUUUCAGAUGCUUGUGGGGAUUUUCAUUUUGCAACACACGAAAAGUUGGCAGUAACUGGAUUAAACCUGACUUCAACUCAAAAUCAGCAUCCAUAGUAGGAUACGCGAUGCAUAACGGCGGUUGGUCUGUCGGAGCUUCAGCCAGUUGUCAAAUCGUUUGAGCCAUUGGUUGGUGUGCUAGAUUCGGGUUUUUAUUAACCCUAGUGUUAAGCACUUCUUCUAGUCAGUCGACUUCUACUUUUUUUCUUUCAAGUGUUCAAGUAGGGUUUUCGUUAACCCUAGACUCAGCUUUGUCGUCGGCUUCGAUUUCUGGCGGUGGGUUACUUUGAGUUCCAACCACCGCUGACUACUUUUUUCACAACUUUGUCUCCUUACGAUUGGCUCUAGCAGUCUUCUCAAUUUCUGAAUCGAACGCAAGAGUACCUGGAGCAGAUCUGGUCAUAAGAAACAAAAAAAACAAGAUUAGUACGUUGCUAGUCCCAGGCAAACGCGCCAAAAUUUGAUGCGGUCAUUGAAAGCACCAAAAAUAUCCUAUCCCUAAUAAAUAAUGAAAAAGAAUAGUAAAAGGGAAGUAGGGUCAAAUCCUCAGGGACUGGAUUUGCACAAUAUCUUGUUCCGUGAAAUCCCGGUAGAAUCUUGCCCAAGAAAACCUUCGUGCCUGGAAAAAAAUAAAAAGAACAGAAUUAAAGGUUUGGAUCUGGAAAUGAAAAAUAAAAUAAAAACAGAAUUAAGAAUAUUGAAUCGAAAAUUCGAGUAAUUAAAAAUAGAGAUGAGAUAAAGAAAAUUCUUAUGGGAGAUUCCAGCCUCCAGUUGUCUCGUUCCGCCUUGGGUUCAAUCCUCGAUUUUAGAUGAUCCUUCCCAAACUGAAUAAGCCAGUUAUAGUGGAAGAGGACGCCUACGACCACUAGCUCUAAGGAUUUAGACUUACAAUUUAGUGGAACCUGACUCUAGCCAACAAUCGCUUCUGUGGUAUUGUCUUAUGCUAGAUCAACGCUUCUCAAUGGUGAAUCCCACGCCAUUUUGUCUCUUGGGCUCGCCAACCUCUCAUGCAGUAAGCUAACGAACCGACUGUGCAACCUUCCCAAAACAUACAAAGCGGUCGCCUUUGCGUACGUUGAAAAGCUUACUUCUUAAGGGACAUGGACGGAAGCAUCAGCCCUGUAGUGCGGAGAAAUGAUGAAUACUCAGUGAUGAGGCUAAGUACGGACUCUAAGCCUCAAGAACCCUUUUUGGGGAAUAUCGACAACUUUUGGCUAGAUGGGUUUAGUGGCUCAUGGUUGUGGUGGAAAAGAAAAUAAAUAAAAUAAAAAUAGAAAUUUUAUUGAACGGAAAUAUGAGAAGAACAAAAGCCUAGACUUUUGGGGAGAGAGUGUUUACAAAAAAAGAUGGAUCUUUUUUGAGUCACUUCACCCCCUAUUUAUAGUGCUAGGGGAGAUAGUCUAAUCCUUCUUAAAUUCCUAAAAGAUAAAUAUAUUUAAUUGAAGAUAAAUAAAGAUAAAUAAAAUAAAAUCCUAAAAUUAAAUAAUCCUUAAUAAUUAUCUUAAUAUUAAUUAUCCUAAUAUAAUUAAAAUAGAAUCUGAUAGAAUAAAAUCUCUUCUUUUUGCAUUUCAACCCUUGUGUCCUCCAUGCUAGCACUUUUGGCACCAACUUUUCCUUGUGUCGCAUAUUGGCCCAUUUUAUCUUUAAAUUCACGCUUUUGGCCCUUAAUUUUACUUUUGCCUCAAAUUUAAUCCCUAUGAGAUACAAGAUCAUAAAUAGAUCAAAUUAGCAGGAUCAUUGUAAUAGCCAAUUUUGGAUGACCCGAUACAGAUAAUAAAUAAAACCAAAAUAAUAAGUCCCAUUAAUUUCCAUUUACAUCUAAAACCCAUACCCAAAUACAUAGCCCAAAUCAUUUUAAGCUAAACUAGACUAACCCAAAAGACCCAACUAAAACCCAAACCCAUUAAGCCUAGCCCAGCAAACCAACUCAGUACAAAUCCCAACCCGAUUGCAGAAACCCUAGCAACAAACUACUUCAAGCGCCGCAGCCACCAAGGCCUUCCUCCACUCGUGCUGAGCCUUUGCCCUUGCAUGCACCUUCGUACUCUCCACGCCACAGCGCCUCCGUACGGCCGUACCUCCAGCACGCAGACAAAGAAACAACAAAAAAGAAAGAAACAAAAAUAACAUAAAAGAGGACUUUGUAUUUUUUUCUUGGGAUUUUUCUUCUGUAUUUUCGGCUAUAUAAGCCAAGAUUCGAGCACUGUAUUUUUUUACGGAGAUUUUAUAAUGAAAAAUACAAAAACAAAACAAAGGUGAUUUUUUUUCUCUUUGAUUCAGUUCUUAAGUUUUUCUUUUCGAUUUUUUUUCCAUCGAUACUUUGAUUCUUUUUCUUUGUUCGUUUACUCAUUAAGAAAAGAGAAACUAAGGGAGGAUGGUUUACCUGUGUAUUAAAGCCUCGAAUCCCUAUCUUCUCUGCCGUAAUCGGAGUCCAGAUGGGGACGACGAGGUGUGUGGCGGCGCCACCUACGAGUAGAGAAGGGGGCUAGGGUCGGAACCCUAGCAGAGAAAUACUCAACUUUUUUUUAUUUUUAGGUCCACAACUGUUUUUUUAGAGAAUUUAGUUUAAAUAGUGCCAUCAUACUGCACCGUUUUGAGCAAGGGCUCAUAAGCGUUGAAACAACGCCGUUUAGGCUAUAGCCCGCGCGUGACCCGACCCGAGGGGGAGGAUCCGCGCGUUUUGUCCCAGGGGUCAAUUUGCGCGAAUGGUCCUCUCUCUUUUAAGGUGUGUUCAAAUCAGUUUUUGCCAUUUUUUUUAUUUUUCGCCCUGCAUUUUUUUUUUGGUUUCAUUUUGGCCCAGGUUGAAAUGCUACGUUUUGGAGGGAAGGGAAUAUUUCCUAUUUCAGUCCCCCAUGUUAUUCGCGCAUUGCACAUUGGCCCUUAUUUGGCUUUAUUUAUGUUUGUUCCCUAGAAAUUCUGUUUUAGUUGCAAUUUAAUCCCUUUCGUAUUUUCUUCAUCAAUUAAUUUAAUAAUAUUACUAUUAUUUAUUAAUCAUAUUAUUAUUUGUAUUAUUAUUAAAAUUUUCAUCCAUAUGUAAUGCUUAUUUAAAUUAAUAUGUGUACAUUAUGUUAUGAAUUUCGAUUUUAUUCCAAAAAAUGCAUUUAAAUACUAUUAUUUAUAUAGUGUUUAUUUUAUUAACUUUAUUUUGAAUCUAUCAUGAACUCAUAUAUAUUUAUUUUAAAAUUUAGUGCUUAUAAUUUAUUGACUAUCAUUUCUUCUCUUGUUUUCAAUAUGUCUUUUAAGGUUGAUUAUUAAUGCCUCUGAUUUUUGAAUGUUGUAUGAUGUGAGACGAUUGCUAUUAUGCGUAUUGUGUUGCUUGUUCCUAUUAUUUGAUUAUUUGUCAUUUAUUAGUAUACAUUGUGGCUUAUGAAUUAUUAUUUUGCGUCAUCCAUUUUCAAUCCACCACACUUUAUUCGUUUAAAAGGGUAUAUCUAAUAUCGUUUAAAUAUCAAAAUCAUUUCAUUUAAAAGUUUUUAAGAUAACGCAAUGUUCGGUAUUUGGGAUCUUCGAAAGAAUUGGGCCCUAACGUAUUGGGUUCCAAUUUUCCUCGUUGAGUCUAAAUAAUUGAGAAUAUUCGCUAAUCAAAACGUAAAUAAAAAUCUCCCUCUCGGGAAUUUGAUACGUUGUGUCCUAAUGUAUUGGACAUGACAUGUUGAUUUUUCUCGAGACGAAGAUUUUUCUGAAAAUAAAGGCAAUAUUCGAUACUUGGGAGUUUUGUGAAAUCGAACCCUAACUUACUGGGUUUUGAUUUUCUCAUUUGACCUAAAUAAUCAGAUAUCCUUCUCAAAAUGCAUAGGUUUUAAAAGUCAAAAGAAAAACUUAAUUUUUGAGGAUUUGAAAUGUUGCACUCUAACUUACUGAGUGUAACAAUUUAAUUCUUUGAAAUAACUGAGCCUUAUCAUCCAAUUCAUUUUAUUCAAGAUAAAAGGAUCGUAUUUUAAAAUCUUUUCAAAAUUUCGACACUAAGACAUUAAACAAUCGAUUCGGUACCAAUUUUGGGCGUUACGAGGGUGCUAACCCUUCCUCGUGCGUAACCGACUCCCGAACCAGUUUUCUCAAAUCUCGUAGACCAAAAUCGUUUUAAGGUGUACCGAUCACACCCCAAUAAAGGAUCGGUGGCGACUCCAAUUUUUUUUUAGUUGACAGCUAAAUUUUUUGUUUUUCAAAAAAGUGGUUUCGACAAUCAUACUCAGAAUAAAUACAUAAUUAAUACAUAAAAAUACGUUAUUCUAGAGUGUUAUCACAAGGCCAAGCUUAGCUUGGUGGUAAGUAGAACUGAUCAUGGGUCGGGUCAGGCUGAUGCAAAAUUUUAAGCUUGUUUAUUAGGUUUGGGUCCAACCUGUCCCGAAAAUGAACUUAAAAUUCUGCCAAGCUCAAUCCAAAUUAAAAAGGCUAAAUUGAGCUCGACCUAGCCCACCCGUAUUAUUAUUUUUAGAUUAUAAUUUCUAUAAAAAAUAAAUUUUAAAAAAUAUAAUACAUGAAAUACACAAAAAGAUUAAAAUAAAUGUUUCCCAACAAAUUGAAAAUACAUUUUUUAAAAAAUUUAUACUUAAAUAACACUAAGAUAGUUUCAACUUAACAAGCAAAUGCUUCUAAAAUAGUAACAAAAUUAACAAUAAAAUAAGAGUUAUACAAUAUCCAAACAGUAACAACAAAAUAAAAGUAAUAUAAAAGCAAAAUGGCAGCAAAAUAACAACAUAAAAGAAAGUUUAGGUUAAUUCAGGUCGGGCUGGGCUGGGCUAGGCUAGGCCAAUUUAGAAAGCGGGUCUUAUUUUUUUCUAAGUCCAUUUAUUGGGUUUAUAUUUUUGUCCAAACUCUCUUAAUCAUCAAGCAGGCCUUCAGACCUAGAUAGAGAACUUGACCCAAUUGCAAGGCUUAGAGUAAUUUUCUCGGUGUUUAGAGAUAUAAUUAUUGAAUCAAAUUGCUAUGUUGUAAUCUGUAAAUUUACCUAUGAUACACUCAGUAUUUUAAUUCGUUGAAAUUUGUUUAUACUCAUAGAUCAGUCUAUAGGCUUGUCGAUUCUCUUAGCUGCAUGGGUUUACUUGACGUAAAUGAUGUUCGAUUUGGUGUGGACUACCCAAACGACAGCGGAUAUUAUUUGAAUUGUUGAAUGAAAUUGCAGUUUUCGACCUUUGUUGAUGAGUUGAUUCUCAAGCAAAUCCAGCCAAAUGCUCUUAUUUAACUUAGCUUGUAGCAAAUUAAAGCUCUUGAUGUGUCCCUAUUCCUUUGUCAUAUCAUAUAUAGAAUCCGAUUUCUCUUCUUUGGAAAGCUCGCUCAUUCUCUACCAAUACCUUUCUAAGCGGAGAACCCAAUAUAUACUUCGUUGAAAUUUGUUUCAAGUGUUUGAGAUUUAAUCUUGAAAUUUGAUUCUAAGGGCCUUCCAUAAAUUUAAUAUUGAAAUUUGAUUGUGGAAAUAAAAAUAACAUUUCGGAUCAGUUCAAGAUUAAAGUCAUGAAAAUUUUCUUAUUAAAAUUGUAUCUUAAAGAUUAAAUUGGAUAUCAUCAUUCAAGAUCAAGUCAUGAAGGAUUUUGAAUCCAAAUUGUAUUGAAAAAUAAUAAUCUAAAAACCCUCUACUUUAAGAGUAUGAUUAGAGAGUGAAGUAGACUACUUCAUCGAUUCAAAACUAUGUUGUCAGGAGUCGAAUUUAAAUUAUAAAUUUUUUAAAGAACUAAAAAUGUAAAUUCAUUAUUGUAAUAAUGUAGAAUUUUACAAUUUUUUAAACUAUAAAUUUUACAAUUGUACCAUUAAUUAACUUAAAAACCCUUCAUUUUCUAAAAGGACUAAAUGGAUAUUUUUGGUGGGGAGUACAGCCCUCCUCUAGCUUUGUCCUUGUCUUGUGAAAACACUUGGAUCAAGAGUAUGGUUGUCCAUGGGUCAAGUCAAGUCGAGCCAGGUGAAAAAAUUUAGGCACGAUUUUUAGGCUCAGGUCCAGCCCAAAAAAUGGAUCUAAAAUUUUGCUCAAACUUGGUUCGAAAAAAAUGCUAAAAUCCGAGUUCAGCUUGGCUUGUCCGUAUUAAAAUUUUUUCUACUAUUUUUUAUAUAAAAAUAAAUUUAAAAAUAUAAUAUAUUAAAUACACUAAAAACAUUAACAUAAAUGGAAUUUUUAAAAAAAAUAUACUUAAGUAACACUAAGAUUGAUGCAACUUAGCAAGCAAAUACCUCUAAAAUAGUAGCAUAUUUAAUAAUAAAAUAAAAUUUAUACAAUAUUCAAAAAAUAACAACAAAAUAAUAGCAAUAUGAUAGCAAAACAAUAAAAUAAUAACAAUAAGCAACCGUAUUUUUUUUUUCAAAUUCGAGUAGAGUCCGGGCUAAAAAAAGCUUACUCGAGAUGUAGUCUGUUUAAAAAACAUGCCUUAUUUUUUUGUCCAAGCCCUUUUUCGAGUCUAUAUUUUGCACAAACCCUCUCACUUCUCGAGUAGACCACCUGUCCUGACCAAUGGACAAGUAUAAUUGAGAGAGAUUGUAACUUAAAUGUUUCCUAAAAAAUAAUUAUUUAUCUUCGAAUUUUAUUAUUCAUAUUUCACAAAAAAAAAGGUUAAAAUGAUAUAAACAUGUAAUAUGCUAAAGAGUUAAAUAAAUUAAGUAUUCUAGAUUUGGCUUCAUUUGGAAAAUUGAUCCUCUAAGCCUCUACUCUUUAUAUAAACACCAUUGUAAAUUCUUUGAAAACAAAAAUGAACUCUUCAAGUUCUAAAUUAUUCAUUCUUUCAACAUCUUUCCUAUUAUCAAUUUCAUCCAUAACGUCAAAUUCAGUUCUUGAUAAUUUCCUCCAAUGUCUUCCAAUACAUUCCAACACUUCAAAUCCAAUUACAAAUUCUAUAUACGUUCCCAACAAUUCCUCCUUUCAAUAUUUAUACGAAUUGCGUGCAAAUAACCUUAGAACCAUAUCAUCUUCCACAAUAUCAAAACCUUUGGCUAUUUUAACUGCCCGACAUGCCUCCCAUGUCCAAGCUGCUGUCAUUUGUGCCAAGAUCCAUAGUAUCCAAUUAAGAAUCCGAAGUGGCGGCCAUGAUUACGAAGGCUUAUCGUACGUAUCCGACAUCCCGUUUGUCAUCCUCGAUUUGUUCAAUCUUCGGUCGAUAAAGAUCAAUAUCACAAGCGAGACGGCGUGGGUUCAAGUCGGGGCGACGACGGGGGAACUUUAUUAUAAGAUAGCUGAGAAAAGUAAAGUCCAUGGAUUUCCAUCGGGAGUUUGUACUACGCUUGGCAUCGGUGGACACUUUACCGGAGGUGGAUAUGGGAAUAUGAUACGAAAAUACGGACUUUCAAUCGAUAAUGUAAUCGAUGCUUGUUUAAUCGAUGUCAACGGUACGAUACAUAACCGUAAAUCAAUGGGAGAAGACGUGUUUUGGGCUAUCCGAGGAGGUGGUGGAACUAGCUUUGGUGUUAUCCUUUCAUGGAAGAUCAAAUUGGUUCAUGUUCCCCGUAAGGUCACUGUUUUCAAAGUGCAAAGGACAUUGGACCAAGGUGCUACGGAUAUUGCAUAUAGUUGGCAACAUAUUGCACCUAAGCUGCCUAAAUAUUUGUUUAUAAGGCUUCAACCUGAACCUAUAACAAUUGGCAAUGGAAACAAAACAAUUCGAGUUUCUUUCAUUGGCCAAUUCCUUGGAAGAAGUAGAAAACUUAUGAAUCUGAUGAACGAGGAAUUCCCCGAAUUGCGUUUACAACAAAAUGAUUGUAUCGAAAUGAGUUGGGUCGAAUCGACCCUUUUUUGGGCCGGGUUUACCAAUGGGACCUCCAUUGAUGUAUUGCUUAAUCGUGUGGUGGAGAAUAAAGUGUUCUUCAAGACCAAAUCUGAUUACUACAAAAAUGUGAUUCCCAAACAAGGACUGGUGAUGUUAUGGGAAAUGUUGAUGGACAUAGGGAACAUUUUCGUGCAACUAAACCCUCACGGUGGACGAAUGGACGAGAUUUCAGAGACUGAAACGGCGGUUCAUCAGAGAGGUGGGUACCUUUUUAAGGUCCAAUAUACAGUUUACUGGUCGGAGUCCGAUGGAGGGAUCGGUGCAGCCAAGCGGUACGUUGAAAUGUCGAGGAGAUUGUACGGCGCAAUGGCUCAAUAUGCGAGUAGUGACCCUAGGGAGGCGUUUCUUAACUAUAGAGAUCUUGAUAUUGGUUGCAAUGAAAGCAAUGAUACGGAUUUUGGUGUUGCGGAGGUUUAUGGGACUAAGUAUUUUAACAAUAAUUUCAUGAGAUUGGCUCGUGUGAAAGCCAUGGUAGACCCUGAGAAUUUCUUCAAAAAUGAACAAAGCAUUCCACCGUUGCCAUCAUCUCAUUGAGGUGCUUAGUUCUCACAUGAACCUAUAGAAUCAGUUGAAACGAAAUUUAAUUUUCUGAAUUUUCUUAACUUCUUUGGCCAUAUGCAUGAAUCGACUUCUUUCCUUUUACUUUUUGUCAUUGUUACUAAAACCAAUUUGUUGGUACUUUGGAACACGAGGAGGGAUCGAGAUUAAAUUAUAUAUUUUUAUAGGAAUUAAAAUGUACUUUUCCAUUUGUAUUGGUUUAUAUUAUUAUGGGUUUCAAAAGAACUAAUUCAAAAUUCUAGCAUUUGGGAGGGGGGUUAAACUAUAAUUUUAUCAUAUAUUAACUUAGGAUUUUAUAAACUUUUAGAUUCUAAAAAAGGAAUUUUUCAUUUUAGGGGCAAGGGUCCCUACAAGCCCCUCCUUUCGCCCUUUAUUGCUAGGAGUGAUGGUUAUCAAUCCCGAACAUGAAUUGUAAAACUGAAAAUAUUUAAAAAAAAACGUAUUCAAAAUGUUACCUUUAAUUUUUUUUAAAAACAAUCUCAAUAUAGGUUCUGAUCAUAUCUACUCUUUUUAACAUAAUGCCUAGAACUACCCAUAGCUCCUCUCUAACCUAUAAAUAGGAGGAUAAUGUGUUUCAUUGCACUCAGACCCACAUCCUCUUGCAUUAAAAACUAUUCUUAUACCAAUCGAACUAAGACUCAAUCGGCUUAGCUUUUAUUUUUUAGGUUGCAAGGACAUGGAUUAUUUAAUGGAGCAAACUUCAUUGUUCAAUUUCUGAAUUUGAAGGAUUGAGAUUUUUUUCUAUUGAGAAUAAAUAUUUUAAAACCUUUUCCAUUUUAUAUGUAUUAUAAUUCCUUGCCUUAAUGUUUGUAUCUUGAGCCUUUAUUUGAUUUUAAUAUAUUCAAUCUAGUAUACAUGUCUCAAAUUAUGAACAUAAUCGAUUGAAUUAUCUAAUUAAUCAUACAAUUGAAUCAGAAUUUGUUCACCCUUAAUUCAUAUACACAUCUCUCAAAUUAAGGAUGUAUUUGAUUGAAUUAUCUAAUUAAUCUUAAAAAUUACAAAUAAUUAUUUAACCUUUUAACAUUCUAGUGCAAGAAAUAUACUUGAGAGAUCGAUCAAUUUAAAGAAACGAUAAGACUGCAUUAAGAAGUUCCUCUUUCUUUGAUAUAAAAACUCAAAUCAAAAUAAUUAAUGCUAAUUUUAUACUUCAUAAAAACAUAAGAAUGUAGAAAGAUAAUAAUUCAGUUUCAGUAGCGAUUGAUUUAAAAUCACGAAAUUUAGUCGAUCAAGAAAUAAAUUAAGCUAAGGAUUGAAGAAUAAAUUUCAUUUAGUAAAUUUUAUAUAUGUUUCUUUUUGCAUUCUUCAAAAUUUUAUUUCAAUAUUUAUAAUGCUAGCAUAUUUCCCACCCCCAAUGCUAAUGCAGAACUAACAGAUAUCAUAUAUGUAUAUGACAUACAUGCUUUUUAUAACAGAUUCACCAUGCUUAGCAAAUAACAAAUUAUAAUUACAUAAUACAGAUCAAACCUAGCAUAAACCUUAUUAAUCAUGCGUAAAUAACUCGUAUUUACCAUUAACAGAACAUCAGAAAUGAGCUUAUAUUAGUAGUUGAACCUAAACAUGUCCUUAGUCUAAUUGGAAAUGUACAAACCGAUUGAAAGACUAAUAUGUUGUCUACCAAGUCCAAUUGGGAAGAUGCUUUGUCUUGGCCAUCGGAGCGAAUGACUCCAGAAGAUAGAGAUAUAGACAUGACCGGCUGGACUGACAGUACAUUAGUCUGGACCCAAGAAGAAUAAAACCUGAAUCUAUUUAUAGAUUUAUUUACUAGUGACGUUCAUAGUAUGAGAUACCUAAAUCUUGAGCGGAUGAUAGAUUACGUAUGUGUGAUUCGUACACUUUAAUGUAAUUAAAAACCUUAGUUCGAAUAGAUAAGGAAUCAAAAGCUGUUGCGUUGGGUGUAUGACUUCUGUAGUAUGUAACAUCAUUCACAAUAGUGGGAUUCAUAGCCCGAGACAUGGGUAAAUGAUAUCCUCUCAUUGGCAUUACAUGGUUGAUGAAAAGUGAAUAUGGCCACGGGUCGUUCGUCUCUGUGAUAGAUGACUUGAUUACUAUUUGAUAGUAAUUGACUUUUCAUGAAAGAAUAUAUAAUGGUUACCAUGAGAUAAAAUAGGAUCAUAUUGGCAGAACGAAUAUUACCCCCAAAAUAUUAAUGAUACCCUAUGAAGGUAACACACUUAUGACAAGGUUAGUGGACAAACACUGAUCGAGUUGCUUUCAUAAUGGUAUGCUGCUGGGAAGAGUUCAGACACGAUAUUAUAGUGGAAUAACUUUGUGACCAAAUAAGUUUAUAAUUAAUAGGCGAAAAUGGAAAAAUGGGAAACAUUUGGAGAUGAUUAUGGUUUUCUCAAAUAUGAAAAUGAAAAUGGAGAAAUAGAAUCAUUUGGAAAUGAAUGUGGUUUUCUCCUAAAUGAAAAUGACCUGAAAAAUGAAUUUAUGUUUUUCAAAUUAAAUGAAGUUCAAAAAUGAAAAUAAAUCAUUUGGUCAUUGUUGACACCAUUUUUUUGGAGAAAAUGAGGUCGACUUAGAUUUUUAAAAAGAAAACAAAAAUGGGAGUCGCCACCAAUCCUUUUUUGAUGAGGUGUGAUCGAUCACCUCUUAAAACGGUUGUUUUUAAUAAUCGAUCUAGAUUUAUUAAAACAAUGCUUUUGGUCUGUGAAAUUCAGAGAAAUAGGUUCGGGAGUCGGUUACGCACGAGUAAGUGUUAGCACCCUCGAUACGCCCAAAAUUGGUACCUAGUUGAUUAAUUAAUGUCUUAGUGUCGAAGAUUGAAAACUCGAAAAGAUUUCAAAAAAUACGAUCCCUCUUUAUAGUGUUACUUUAAGAUUACUUGAGCAAAUCAAAAUGGGAAAUGCCUCCUUAUCUCGAAGUAACAAGAUGUCACAUCCAGUAAGUUAGGACACGACACCUCGUAUUUUUGAGAGUAAGCUUGCCUUUUAUUUUUUAUUUAAACCUUAUUUGUUUUAAUUUUAAAAGGAUAUUCGGUUAUUUAGGACCAACGCGAGAAAAAUCGAAGCUCAGUAAGUUAGAACACGAUUUCUUGAAUUUUCUAAAUACGGAAUAUUGCCUUUAUUUUCGAAAUUUUACCCUUUAGAAUUUUGAGUACGAAUUAAUAGAAUAUUUAAAAACCAAAUGCGUGCAAUUUUGAUUAUAUUUGAAAAGAAAUUGUUUAAAAUGGAAAGGGUGCCGUACACGACCUAUAAUUGAUAUACAACAUACAUUUAAAAUCCUUAACAUAAUAUGCAUCAUAAAUAUACACAUAGCAUUGAUACUAAUAAAUCGAAAUGCAUGAAUAAUAAUGUAAGAAACAAUAUAACAAUAACAUUAAUAUGAUAACAAAACAAAUACAAUCCUAAUGAGUCUAGAUUUGAAAACAUUUGAAGAUAAAUGAAUAAUUAAGAGAAUGAGAUUGCAAUAAUAAUAGCAAAAUAAAAUAAAAUAAACAAGACAAAAAUUUUAAAAAAAAUUAUUAAUGAAUGAACAAAUAAAAUAAAGCUAACAUAAAUUUAACCAAUAAUUAAAAAUAGAUUAAUAAAUAAUAUUAAAUAGAAUAUUAAAUAAACUUGUUUUGUUUUUUUUAAAUAAUAAUAAUAAGUAAACUAGCUAGGGACAUAGUCGUAAACAAACUGAAAUUUGGGGGUCAAAAUCGUAAAUAAAAUAAAGGUUGCCAGGGACAAAAAUAGAGCGCUCUGAAAAUUCCAGGGAGCAGAUGAGCAAAUAUGACAGGCACCUUAUGGCAGCAUUUUAACCUAGGGUCGGCGUAAGGUUCAAGGACCGAAUUGAAACGCCAGCAAAAUUUGCAAUCCAAAUUAAAAAACUAAAAAAAACUGAUCGCGCCACGUUGUAAAAGUGGAGGGACUGCAUGCGCAAAAAACCCAUUUGUGAAAACGCGCGGAUCCCCCUGGAGCGGGUCGGGUCGCGCGUGGGUAGAUGCUAAAACGACGUCGUUUUGGCGCCUGAAACCAUGGCUCAAAACGACAUCGUAUGGUCCCUCUAUAAAUGUCAAAAAAAUUAACAAAAAAAUUUCUUUCAGCCUUUUUUUAAAAAAACAAAAAAAAACUCUGUAUUCUCCCCUCUCUCAACAGCCCCCCACAUCUGGCCAUAGGUUCCCCUGGCCUCCAUCGCGCCGCCGCCGUGGCCAGUGGGGGGCAUUGCGCAAAAUGGGCCUUUCGGCCUUUGCUUCGCAGCGCCCUCGAAGGCUAGGCCUUCUCAACCCGAGAGACCGAAAGAAAAGGUCCCUAGACCCCUCCCUUAUUCGACUCCGACGAUGGCGAAUGGGGACUCCGACGCCAGGCUUACAGGCUGAUUCAGGUAAGUUUCUUCCCUUCCUUUUUUAUUUGUUAAAACAUUUGUAAAUAAAUAAAUAAAUAAAUAAAUAAUAGAUGAUUAAAAAGAAAAAAAGUAAGCGAAAGAUAAAAUAAUAAAAUCUCAACCUUUUUCAACUUCUAUUCUGUUUUUUUUUAUUGUUUAGUGUGUGUAAAAAAUGUACAAUGAGCAUAUCUUAGCUUUUAUAGCCCUAUUACAACUGUUCAUUUUCAUCUUUUUUGUUUUUUGCUCUUUAUUUCUUUGUAUUCUCCUGUUGCUUGCAUUCAUUCUUCUCUGCAGGUGUCAGACGAGGCCGAUGGCGGUGGCAGGGUGCGUGCAUGAGGGAGCCUGGCAGCAUGCGGCGCUUGGAGGCUUGGGGGCUAGGGUUUGCUGCUGCUGAAUAUUUUUGUUGUGGGCUGCGGUUGAUUUGGGCCUAGGGUAUUUUAUUUGGGCUGGUUUAGUAAUGGGCUUUAGUUUGGGUACUAGGCCCGGGUCAAAAAUUGGUCUGUACAGUCAUAAUUAACAGUUGAAUGAAGAAAUAUUAGAUAUAUUUUGUUAUAAAUUCUUUUACGGUAAAGUUUUAUGAUUUUAACGAAAUUAAAAUUGGGUUAAGAAAAUUAUUUAAUUAGAAAUAUAUUAAAGUUCAUUUUAGGAAAUAGAAAAACUAAUAUUGGGUUGGAUCAAAUUAUAAAGUAUUGGGUUAAAAGCCUGAGAAAUACUUGUAAUUGGACCUGAUAUGGAGAGGCCCACAAGCCCCUCAUGUUAAAGAGGUGGACGACAGACCCUAGUAACAUUAACUAAGGUUACCGCCCCCUAUACUCUUAUUAGAUUAGGAGUUUGUUUUUCUAGUUGAAAUAAGCUUUUACGAUGCAACAAAUAUCAUUAUUUUGCUAUUUACCCUAUAAAUAAAUGACACUAGUAGGGCUAUUUACCCAACUUUCAAAUAUCAUUAUUUUGCUUGAAAAUAGAGACACUUUUAUUCUUUAAGAAUUAAAUAUAUUUUCCGGAAUAGCAAUUCUAUCAGUUUCUAUUUGAGAAGAGAAUUUUCAUUUUCACAUUAAAGAAAAGAAAAUUAUUUCUAGUUUUGUGUUUGAUUUGAAUCUUUCAAACUCACACUCGAAGCAGUUCGUGGUACAAGAAUAGAGAAAAAUAUUGUUUGGUUGAAAGUCGAGAAUGACAAGGAUCAUUUUAUCGAAAAACACAAGUGCAAAUUUGGUCUAGUGUUUAUUGCUAUAUAUAUCAUAAACCGAGUCGAUUUUCAAAAUUUUUAUUUUUCGUUGUGUAAAAAAAUCGUCUUUAAAUCGAAUUUUUUUAAAAACUAAAACUGGGACCAUAUAGUAACUUGCACCAGACUUGGACUCUCUAGCUGGGUCUUAAAAACAGGCCUACUUUUACCAAAAAGAUGGUAUUGGAGCUCUUUCCAAAUUGGCAAAAUUAGACUGAAUCCAAUCAUCGUCACAAUUUGUUGAGAAGAAAGUAGACAGUUAGUUGGGUAGUUAGACUCUAUUAGUAUAGUUAGUUUGUUAAUCAGUUAGCAUGUAAUUUAUAAAACUAGUGAGUUUGUAAUUAUAGAUAGACUGGUAGUUUUUUACUGAAUGUACUAUUAGUUUUUUCCAUUCAUCAAUAAAUUCUUGAUCAGUUUUUCAACAUGGUUCCAGAGCUCCGGUGAUCGUUGUCUUUCGGCUAUUCGCGAUUGUCGUCUUUCCAGUCAUUCUUGGUUGUUUAGUACUGCUUCCGAUCAUUCCAGUUUGCUCAGUAUUGUAGGUUGAUCUUGUAUUUGUUUCUAGGUUCUAUAGGUUAAUAGACAAACCCAUUUCCUGUUGGUUUCUACUGGCCCAAAUACGUUUGUUGGACAAAGUCUGGUUGUUAAUAUAGGGCUUUUUUCAUUUGUGGUGUUUUCUUCCUGCUCUUACUCGUUGACAUUUUUUUUAUUUUCAACAUCGGAGUUUUUUUUAAUCAUGGUGAAUCCUUCUGAAUCGAUUAUUGAUUUUAAUCAUCCCUUUUGCCUGCAUCCAUCCGAUACUCCAGGUACCUUGUUGGUGUCUCACCAGUUGCUUGGAGUUGAGAAUUAUAAUGUUUGGAUCUGGACCAUGAAAAUCGCGUUGUCAGCCAAAAACAACUUGGGGUUUGUAGACGGUACUUGUUCUAAGGAUUCAUUACCAGAUGAGAUGGGCUAUCAAUGGGAGCGGUGUAAUGCCAUUGUCUUGUCUUGGAUUUUGAAUAUAGUUAGCAGAGAGCUCUCAGUAGGGAUUAUUUUUGCAUCUAGCACAGCAGCGGUGAGGAACGAUCUUGGUGAAUGGUUCCACAAGGUUGAUGGUUCUAGAUUAUUUUUUGCAUCAUGAAAUCACCUUCAUUUUCAAGGUACUGCUUCCAUCUUUGUGUAUUUUACUAAAUUACGAUUGUUCUAAGAUGAAUACGAUGCUCUUGUGCCCUUUUCUUCAUGUGGAUUUGUUCAGUUACAGCAAAAUGUUAAACAUGUUUUGCAACAGCAUCUAUUCCAAUUUCUAAUGGGAUUGAAUGAAACAUAUAAUGCGAUGCGUAGUCAAAUCUUGUUAAUGAACCCAUUACCAUCUGUCAAUCAAACGUACUCUAUGCUCGUGUAAGAGGAAUCAUAGAUGCAACAUAGUUCUAGUGUUGUUGGGUUCGAUCCAGUCUCUUUUCACUCAGCACACAUGGUACAAAAGAAACGUUUUACUGGAACUUGUGAUCAUUGCAAGAUUAAAGGGCAUAAAAGGGAAAGUUGCUAUAGGAUAAUUGGUUGCCCUGCAGAUUUUAAGUUCACUAAGAAGAAGGCAAACAAUGUUUUUGGAUCCGUAGUGAACAAUGUUUCUGUUAAUGAUAUUGUAAGUGGAAAUGAAAUGACUAGUGAUGUUGGUGUAUCUAGUCCACAAGCACAUGUGUUUACUCAAGCAUAAUAUCAGCUAAUCUUGAGUUUGUUGAACAAUGAGCCUAUAGUUGAAGCUACUGUAAGCCUAGCAGGUAUGGUUGAUGUAGGUCAAAAUUGGAUUAUGGAUACUGGAGUUACUGACCACAGUCUCUAUGAUUUCCAAUUCUUAGAAUCUCCUGUUGCAUGUGCAUCGCAUUCACAUUGUGUUCGAAUCCCAAAUGGCUAUUUUGUUUCAAUUACUCAUGUUGGCACCUGUACUGUUCAACCUAAUCUUCAUCUUACCAAAGUUCUCUAUGUUCCCAAUUUCCAUUAUAACCUUCUUUCUAUUUCUAAACUUACUAAUGAUCUUAAUUGCGUUGUUUCGUUUUGUCCUUAUUUUUUUGCCUCAUACAGUAUCUCUUAAGCGGAAAGAUGAGGGGGAUUGGUAGGGAGCGAGGUGGUCUUUACAUCCUAGAACCUUCUGGAUAGACUAGUGUAGCUGUGACUCCGUCUGUUGUAUCUGUUACAUCCAUUGAACCAUCAUUUUUUUGGCAUACUAGACUUGGCCAUGCUUCUGUUUCAAGAUUGAAUAAGGUGCUUAAUCUUCCCUGCACAAUUUUGAAUAGUGAUAGCAUACAACAAUGUCCUAUGUGUCCUCUUGCUAAACAAACUAGACUUCCAUUUCCCACAAGUACAUCUUGUGUCGAUACUAUUUUUUCUCUUAUUCAUAUAGAUUUGUUGGGGCCCUAUCGAGUUUCUACUCAUAGUGGCUAUAGGUAUUUUUUAACCAUUGUUGACGAUUACUCAAGAAUGACAUAAGUGUAUUUGUUAUGAUAUAAAAGUGAUGCUCUUGUAUAUCUCAAACAGUUCUUUGCCUUGGUUAAGAAUCAAUUUUCCACUAGCAUCAAAUUCGUUCGUAAUGAUAAUGGGUAUGAAUAUUUUAAGACUAAGUGCAACGAAUUUUUUAAUAUGUUAGGCGUUGUACAUCAAAGCUCGUGUGUUCACACUCCUCAGCAAAAUGGAGUUGCUGAGCGUAAACAUAGACAUUUGCUUGACAUUGCUAGGUCUCUCGAUUUCAGUCUCAUAUGCCUAGUAAAUUUUGGGGUGAGUGUGUAUUAACUACAUAUUUUUUUGAUAAAUCAACUACCUACUCCUCUCUUGCAUUAGAAGAGUCCUUUUGAACUUUUAUAGCGUAAACCUCCUUAUCUUUCUCGUAUAAAAGUGUUUGGAUGUCUUUGUUAUGCUACCACACCCAAUUAUCAUGAUAAAUUUUCUCCUAAGGCUAUUCCUUCUGUGUUUAUGGGACAUUCUACUGUUCAGAAAGGUUACUUGUUAUUCAAUCUUGAAACCAAAAUUUUUUUUUGUUAAUUGCGAUGUUGUAUUUCAUGAGACCAUGUUUCCUUUUGUCUUUCCCACAAAACAUUUUUUUUUAUUUUUUCCUAUAGCUGAUAGCUCUACUUUUCAUAAUCUGGAGCAUUUGUCUUCCAUUCCUAUCCUUUCACCAUCACCUAUUUUGCCAAAAACUUCUUCUUCCCAAACCUUACCAACUGAUACUACUUUACCUACUCAAUUUUGCAUCCUUCCUGAACCAAUUUUUUUCCCAUCAAACCCCUUACGACGCACCACACUGUCUGUCAAGCCACCUGCCUGGAUGAGAGAUUAUGCCUGUUCCAACCAAUCUUCCGCUUCCCUUACUACAAGUUCAUAUCCUAUUUCUCAUGUUUAUUCCUCGUUGCAUUUACCUGUUCACAUCCAAUUGUUUGCAACCUAUAUUUCUUCCCUGACUAAACCCCAAACAUAUGCUGAGGCCAUCUCGGAUCCAAGAUGGGUCUAUGCUAUGCAACAAGAAAUUCGAGCUUUAGAAGACAAUGGUACGUGGGAGGUCAUUUCUUUACCUGCUAGUGUUGUUCCUAUUAGGUGCAAAUGGGUCUAUAAGAUCAAGUAUAACUCUGAUGGCUCUGUUGAACGGUUUAAAUCCCAAGUGGUAGGGAAAGGAUACAAUUAGCAGGCUGGUAUUGAUUUUCAGGAGACUUUUUCCCCUGUGGUUAAGCAUGUCACUGUUCGGACUAUUGUUAGUAUGGUUGCCAUGAAUGACUGGCCCUUUUUUCCAAAUGGAUGUUUACAAUGCUUUCAUGCAAGGAGAUUUGUGUGAAGAGGUUUAUAUGAUCAUUCCAGAUGGUUUUCACAACAGGGGGAGCACAAAGUGUGUCGUCUGCUCAAAUCAUUGUACGAUUUGAAACAAGCUUCUCGGCAAUGGAAUUUAAAGCUUACUAAGGCAUUGUUGCAAGGAGGUUACACACAAAGCAAAUAUAACUAUUCCUUGUUUUCCAAAAGAGAAGGGGGUAACAUAGUCAUCCUACUUGUCUAUGUUAAUGAUAUGCUAAUCACAGGAAGUGACAUUGGUAUAAUAAAUGAGCUUAAAAAGGUCUUGCACCAAAAUUUUAAGAUGAAAGACUUGUAACAACCCGAUUUUGGGCCUAAUCGGAACAGUGGUUUUGAGAUCACAAAUCUGACGAGGAAAAUUUUAUUUUAUUAUAUUUUUAUGGUCUACAAUUUCACAGAAUAAUUUUGUGAAAAUUUCAUUCGAAAAUUUCGACAUUUGAGCACUCAAUUUAGUAAAAAGGACUAAAUUGUAAAAAGUGCAAAAAUUGAGUUCUACAUGUUAGAACUGUACAAUUGUUAUGAAAUUUUAAAUUGGAGAUCCUUAUAUGGUAAUUAGACCAUUGGUUAAGUUGGUGGACAAAAAUGGACAUGGUUAGGCAUGUUUCCAAAGUUUUUCAUUAAGGGUAUUUUAGUCAUUUAGUAAUUAAAAUGAAUUAAAAAGAAAAUUAAAAUCCAAUUUUUGUCCAUAUUUAAGCUAGGGGCCGAAAUUUUCAUGGAGAAACCAUGGCUAGGGUUUUUCAAGCUUCCAAGCUCGAAUGUAAGUUCGUUCUAGCCCCGUUUUUAAUGAUUUUCACGUUUUUGAAAUCCUUGUAACAUGCUUUAUUUAUUCCUACCAUUUAUUUGAGAUAUGAUGAAGGUCUAGGUUUUGACCCAUGUUAGAAAUUUGUGUAUUUUGAUGGUUAAUGGUAGAUUAUGCAUGUUUAUGGUUAGAGAAACAACUUUUACUAAGUGAUUUUCGGUGAAAAUGCAUUAAAGGACUAGUUUGUAAAAAGAUUGUAAAAUGUGUAUAAGUGUGUGAAUAAGUGAAAAUUGUGGACUGCUAUAGUUAUGAAAAUGGUUCGGCUAGGCCUAAAAUGCAAGGAAAUUUAAUAAAAAUUAUUUUACGAGUCUAGGGGCAAAAUUGUAAUUUUGUGAAAUUUUAGGGGAAAAAUUUAAUUUUGCCAAAGUAUGAUUUUUGGACUAAAUUGAAUAAUGUGAGUGUUAAGUAAGUUUGUAUGUGAAUAAUGCAUUGUUUUAACUUUAUUUAAUAUAUUGUUGAGAUAUGAUUGAAUAUAGAAUAAAUAUUUGACGUAGAUUACAAAAAUGUGGUUAAAUUUGAAAAAGUUGGUAAAAUAUUGUAAAAUAAGGUUCCCGAUUAAACACUCGAAUUAGACCAAGAUUCAUUGAAUGUAAGGGGUUGUUAAGUGCAGAUUCCUCGAAUCACUAAUCAAAAAGGGGUUGCUAAGUGCAGAUUCCCCGAAUCACUGAUCGAAAAGGGGUUGCUAAGUGCAAAUUCCCCGAAUCAUUGAUCGAAAAAGGGUUGCUAAGUGCAAAUUCCCCGAAUCAUUGAUCGAAAAGGGGUUGCUAAGUGCAGAUUCCCCGAAUCACUGAUCAAAAAGGGGUUGCUAAGUGCAGAUUCCCCGAGGGGUUGCUAAGUGCUAAUUCCCCGAAUUAUUGAUUCUAAAGGUGGUUGCUAAGUGCUGAUUCAACCGUAUCCUUGAUUGUGAAAGGGUUGCUAUGUGCUGAUUCCCCGUAUAACUGAAUAUAAGGUGGUUGCUAAGUGCUGAUUUCACCGAGUAACGGUUAAUAUUUCGAAGUGUUCAUCAGGGAAAUUGGACAAGUGAAAGUACAUGUGAAAUGAAUAAGAUUACGUGAUGAAUACUGAGUUCUAUAUUUAAUCAACCCUUGAGUAAGAUGAUAUGAAGAAAUGAAACUAUUAAAGAGUAAAUUUAGAAAUAAAAUAGUUUUGAACAACAGUAGUUGUGUGACUUUGAAAAAUCACCAAAAAUGGUUGAAAUUGAAUUAGAGGUUGAAUAAUAUAUGCAAUUAAAGCUGAAUGAGCCUAUUUUCACAUAAAAGAGACAGAGAAAACAAAAUAUUUUUAUAUUAUGAGAUAUUUGAAUUUUAGUGAGACAGGGCCAGAAUGAUUUCGAAAUCCCCUGUUCUAACUUUGGAAAAUCAUUAACAAUUGUAAAAAAAUAAUUAUGGGCUAAAAUUUAUAUGUUUAGAAUACUGAAUGAGUCUAUUUUCAAAAGAAACAAACGAGAACAUUAUCCAAAUUCUUUACAAUGAGAUAAUUAAUUUUUAGUGAAGAGGGGUUGGAACUGUCAAGUAGUGAAAUAGGGGAAACUUUAAAGAAUAAAUUGUACUUAUUAGCUAAGCCAAAAAUUCUGAAAAUUUUAUGGAAAAAAAGAUAUAUGAGUCUAGUUUUGGGAAAAAUUAACAUAUCUUAAUUUGGAGCUCUGUAGCUCGAGAUAUAAAUAAAUUAGUGACUCUGACUCAGACAGACAGCUUGAAUUUACAUACAGGAAAAUUGUGAAAGUAUGGAUAAUGUUGUUUAAGUGUGUUAUACACAUUAAGGAUGUGGAAUGGAGAGGAGGAGGAGGAAAAUUGGAAAAUAUAUGAAUUAUUUGUGUAUAAUUAGUCAUAUGUUCGGUUAUAAUUGAUAAACGAUGAAAUAGAAAUGACAUUUAUAUUUGUGCAAUUAUUGGUCAUGGUUUAAGCUCAUGUGGGAAAAUAAAGUUUCAUAGUGUGUGUGUAUGGUAUAUUGGGUAUAUGAUUUGACAUGAAGUAAUGUUAUGAAUGUUUUAUGAAUUAACUCAUGUUGGUAAGUUUGAUACAUGAACAAAUAUUGUGCUCAUCAUUGCUUAUAAUGCUUAUGCUAUAUGUUUAUUUGGCUAACAUAUUUGGAUAUAUGCUUAGGCUUUGGCCAAUUUGUGGCUGGAUUAUGCCACGUUAAACUUAUAAGUUAUGCAUUGAAAUGGUAAGUGCCUAAAUGAAAAUAUGUGUGUGAUCAAGAAAGGGGUGAUAAGAUUCAAAUUAUGUAAUCUCUAGUGAAAUAGUUUAUCAUGUGGUUAGUUCCAAAAAGAAUUAUGUUUAAAUACACUAGCUUGCGACUAUGGUUGAAUGAUAUGUUUAUGUCUUGUGUGAUAUGCAUAGGAAACGGGUAUAGAAAGGUAAUGAAAUAGUAAGUUCAUACUUGAAGUGUAAAAUAACGAAAAAGGGGAUAAUGAGUUGAAUUAAUGUUAUUUAAGCUAAAGUGAUAUUUUCAUUGCAAAAUUGAGAAUUUCAUAGAUGUGUUAAUGAAUGGUAUAAUCGAUAAACAUUGAGUUAAAUGGUAAAUACGUAUUAGUAUUGAUCUUAAUGAUAUUGAAUUGUAAGUGAAUUAAAAGGAAAUUGCUAGUGAUAUGAUUUGAAUUGUAAGCAUGAGAAAUUGUGAAAUGAAUGAAAAGGAAAUGAAGCAUUGAAUUGCAUGAGUAUGUAUCGGGUCUAGUAGUCCCUAUUUAUUAUGAAUAUAAUAUUUUGAGGAUAUAUAGUGAAGAACUAUAAAAGUAUGUUAAUAAUUUGAAAUUUUUAAUUUAGAUGAAAUUUUAUAACUAGGUUCAAUACGUUUACAAGUGUAUGUGUUCUGGUAAUGCCUCGUACCCUAUUCCGAUGUCAAAUACGGGUAAGGGGUGUUACAAGACUUGGGUGCAUUGAAAUAUUUUCUUGGAAUAGAGGUUUUGAGAUUAAGUGAAGGAAUUGUGUUGAAUCAAAGGAAAUAUGCGUUGGAGUUGAUAGCUGAUGUUGGGUUAGGAGAAGUAAAACCAGUGAGUACGCCCUUUGAACAAAAUCAGAAACUCACUUCGAUUGAGUAUGAUGAAUCUGUACAUAUGAGGGUUGAUGGCGAUGAAUUGAUUACUGAUGUUGCAGUAUAUUAACGACUUCUAGGAAGGUUGCUAUAUUUGACCAAUACACAACCAGACAUAUCGUUUGCAGUCCAACACUUAAGCUAGUUCAUGCACAAACCAAAAAAAUCUCAUUGGAGGCUGUUUUCUGGGUGGUUCGAUAUAUAAAAAAAAAUCCUGGUCAAGGUAUCCUGUUGGCUGCAUCUAGUAAACCACAACUUAUUGCAUUUUGUGAUUUUGAUUGGGCUUCAUGUCCCAUGUCCAGACGAUCCGUCACUGGUUUUUGUGUUAAGCUUGGAGAUUCUCUCGUUUCAUGGAAAUAAAAAAAAUAAACUAUUGUUUCUCGAUCGUUAGUAGUGGCUGAAUAUAGAAGCAUGGUAGCAGUAGUAACAGAGGUUAUUUGGUUGGAUGGCUUGUUGAAAGAAGUCUGCCUUAGUUAGCUUGACAAGUCUUUACUUUUUUCAGAUAGUCGGGCAGCAUUACAGAUUGCAACAAAUCAUAUCUUUUAUGAACGCACUAAACAUAUAGAAAUUGAUUGUCAUUUUGUACGAGAUAAAAUUGGAGAAGGUUUGAUUCAAAUGUAACAUAUUGGGACAACUGAACAGCUUGCAAAUUUGAUGACUAAAGCUUUUGGAAUCAAGCAGCAUGAAUAUUUGGUGUCUAAGUUGGGAGUUAAAGAUUUUUAUCACCCCUCAACUAGAAGGAAAGUGUUGAGAAGAAAGUAGACAGUUAGCUGAGUAAUUAGACUCAGAUAGUAUAAUUAGUUUGUUAGUCAGUUAGCAGGCAGUUUAUAAAACUAAUGAGUUUCUUACUUAAUAUACUAUUAGUUUUUUUCCAUUCAUCAAUAAAUUCUUGGUAGCUUUUCAACACAAUCAUCAUUCUGACUCAUCGUUCCAAGUGACAUUAAAUGAUUUGUUCUUUGCAGGCUUUUACUAAAAGUGCCAAAAGCAUUCAUAUUUAUGGCAUUUAUUUCCUUUUUCGUUUCGUCGGAAUUUGUGUCAUUGAAAGCAACUCUCCUUCUGCCUUUGCUAUUAUUGCUUUUUAAAGCUCAUUACUAAGAGAGCAAGUUGUUCUUAUAACUCUCCUACUGUCAUAGUUGUGUCAUUUGUGGUGCCUUUGGAGGUAUCAACUCCAACUUUCACACUUAGAGCUAUAUUAUUGCCUUGCUUAACUCUAUCUUUCUGUUCAUUUCAAAUCUCCAUAAUGAACCAAUUAGUUCGUUAAUGCUAUUACCUUCUUCAACAGCGGCCACAUUAGUCCCAAACUUUUCUCGAAAACGAAUAUUUUACGUGAAAAACUCUUAUUAAGAAAAUUACGAGUAGAGAAAGAAAAUUUUACUAAUGUUAAAAAAUAAUAAUACUAGAGGUUUUCGGCCCUUGGACCUUCGCCUCACAUAUCCCCAAUUUUACCCCUUUAUUUUUUUUUAAACAAGUGAGUUGUACAUCAAACCUUUCAAACCGGAUCAAAUGGGAUUUGGAUCACACAAUGCUAACAAUAUAAAUGUGUAUAAAAAACAUAAAUAGAUUCAUAUAUCCUAAAAUUUUCAAAGUUGGUGGUAAACAUUUGAAGUUUGGGCAUUUUAACCUUGGAAAUUCUUUCCUGGGUAGUCUCCAAAAUGUUCCAAGCUUCUCAGGGUGAGACACAUUUGGAAUUUCCUGUGAAAUCUUGUGGAUCAAUGCCAUUAAAAACAACAUACAAGUGUUUAAAAUUGUACUUGGCAGCCUUGUCUUCUUCUAGCUUGCUUCAGGCUUUAGUGUAAUUUUCCUAUGUUUUUUCAUAAAUUGAUUUGGUAAAAGUUAAAGGUUUUCUUAUAAGAAUAGUUUAGAUAUGACUUGUUUAUGUAUCGGGGUGACUCAAUUUAUUCGAGUCCAAAUCAAUUUAAAUAAUAAAAAAGUAUUUGUAUUUAAAUUUAAUGAUAAAAAUGUUAAUAUAAAAUACAUUUUCUAAUAUUUUGUACAUUAUAUUAACAAAGUGAGAAUUUAAGUUUAAAUUUUACGAAGCACCCUUAUUGAUAGGGCUUAAUUUUUAACACCAUUGACCUUGACAUGAAAAUCGAGAAAUCAAAAACUGAUUUCAAUUAAAGUGUUUUUAUAGCUUACAAAAUACAAAUUAAAACUCAAAUUUAGUAUAUAAAAAUAGAAAAUCGAACCGAAUUAUCAUGAAUAAUUUGAAUUUUUUUAAAAAAAGCCGGGCCGAUCUUUUAUUAUGUGCGGGCCUUUUGCUACUGUUUUGGUUUCUUUAAUUAUUUGUGUAGGGCUAGUUUAAGAAUUGUUAAAAAGCUUUUACUCAGAAAAAUAUUAAUUAAGUUUGUAAGGAAAAUAUAUAUAAUUGAAUUCAUCUGUUAACGAAAAUUGUUAUUGAUUGAUCUAAUUAUUUACAAAUACCGAUAAAAGUAGUGGGAAGAUAACAUUGGACACAUAAAAAAAUUAUUUAAAACACGUGCAGAAUGAACUUGGAUAAACGGAAGUCUAAGAUCAUAUUAAUGUGGAUACUUAUUUAUCUAUAUUCAUUUUAGAUGUGGUUCAAAAUAGAUUAUAUUAAAACAAGCAUAUAUAUAAUAAAUAUUAAAAUUAUAUUUAUAUUAAAUAAAAAAUAUAAACUAAAAUUAUCUUAAUGUUUUUUAAUGUAUUAUAUUAAAGUUAAAUAAUAGUUAAAAUUAUAUUUAUAUUGAAUUAUAACACAUUGAUGGUGUAGUGGAAAAAAUUGUUUAUAAAAAUUUUAUAUGAAAAAUAAAGUAGAGUUUGAUAUGAUUACUUAUUUUCAAAUCCUAUCAUGUGUCGAUAUGAAUUGAUUUUUAUAAAUUUUAUAUAAAAUAUAUAAAAUAAAAAAUACUCUCAAAAUAAUAUUUUUUACAUAAUAAUAAUAUUAUAAGGGUGUUUAUAUUAUUAUAUAUAUUUUUAUUAUAUAAAAUCUAAGAAAAUACAUUAUUUUUUUCAUCGUUUUUGUUAUUAAAUUCCACCUAAAUAUUAUAGUUGGGUUAUAAUCUAAUGUUAAUAUCCCUUCCUUCAAUGAAUCAAAAAGAAAAAAAAAAUUUCUCCUAAGAAAAAACAAACUUUUCUCCUAAAAAAAGUACGGAUACUCGUGUAUUAAAAGUUAAAUUGUAUUUUGUCAUAUUUACUCAAAAAUAAAUAAACCAGUCCCUAUAUGUUAGAAAUUGAUUCUUUUUAUUAAAAAUUUGGGUAAACCAUAAAAAGAGUCACUUUUGUUUGUCUCAGAUUUUAUUUUAGUCACUUAUGUUUGAAAUGUUACGUUUUAAUCACUUAUGUUAUCAUUUUUUUAUGAAGUGGUCAGUUUGUCGUUAUGCUCCAUUACCUCCCUAACGGCAAUCCUACGUGGCAGUUCAAAUGGGUUUUAAAUACCAACUGGGACGAGAAUAGGUUUUUAAUUAAAUAAAUUUAAUUAAUUGAAAAUUUUAAAUUAAUUACACCUUGAACUGGAAAAGAAAAAUCAUUCAUCUCCUUUUUCUUUUAGUUUUCUUUUCCAUUUUGACUGAAAAAACUAUUCUCAUCCCAGUUGGACAUCCAAGUCAGCAUUUAAAACUCAUUUGAACUGCCACGUAAGAUUGUCAUUAGGGAGGUAUGAAUCUUAACGACAAAGUGACUACUUCAUAACAAAAUAAUAACGUAAGUAACUAAAACGUAAUAUUUCAAAUAUAAGUGAUUAAAAUGUAAUAUGAGGCAAACAAAAGUGACUAUUUUUAUACUUUACCCUAAAAAUUUCAUCCAUUUCUACUGUUAAAAACUAGUAUAACUGACGGAAUAAUCAGACAGUUACACAUGAAAUACUACGUGUGCUUCAUGCUGACAUAUAAAGACUAAUUUUUAAUAAUAAAAAUGAAUAAUUUUUUUAACAGAAUAACCCUUUCUUCUUUCAUCUUGAUCUAGCUUACAUUAAUUAACUGGUGAUAACUUGCAUUAAUUAACUAGUGAGGUGGGGCAGACAAAAUACUCACAAAGCCAUAUGGGAUCCAAAGGAGACCUCAAUUCCUUGACAAUGGGAAGGGAACGUGGUGUAUGAGCAUUGAGCAAUGUAGGUAAAUUGAGUUAUUGACUCGAGGUAGGUAGCAAUUAAUUAAUCAGUGGGAAUUGGUUGGGCUGACAAUAAAGCAUCAAAUGUGCAUAUCUCUAGACAGCCCAAAUUCAGAAAUUUUGCUGUAUGUGUUUUCUUUUUCUUCUGAUGCGUACAACAGAAUCCCUCAGUAAUAUCUUAAAAGAUCACAUAGUAUCAUUUACAAAAUAAUAAAAAUGAUAUGGUGAUCUUUUUAGGUUAAAAUGUGCUACAAGUCCCUAUACUUUUCUUAAAUUUAAAAUUUAGUUUCUUCAUUUUUAUUUUUAGGUAUUUAAUCUCUCAACUUUUCAAAUUUCAAAAUCUUGAUCCAAUAGUUAACCUCCUUAAACAUUUUCUACUAAAUUCAUUGGGUUCACAGUCUGAAAUAAAGAAAUACCAACGUUGGUAACCAUGCAACAAGAAAAAUGAUGUUGUAAUGAAACUGGUUUUAAUAGAAUAUUGGAUUUGAAUGUUUACAUCUGAAAAGUAGUAUUAUUAAACUGAAAAAUUAAAUGCUAAAUUUAAAUUAUAAAAUUUGUUUGGUAUAUUAUUUAACAUUAAAUAUUGAAUAUAAUUAAAUAUUAUUUUAAUCACAUUUUAUCCUUGAAUGAAUCUGCCACCUAUUCUCAGAUCACUAAGAUUUUCCCACUAUCGCACUUACGUUUUUUUUUUUUUUUGUCUAAUCGACAUCACUUAGGGGUUUACAUUAAGCGAGUGGACAAUGAUGUCCAUGUUUAUCCCUAGAUUGUUUACUAUAGACACACGGAAAUGUCAACAUUGCUAUGAAGAAAGGUAGAUAGGAGUUGCUUGCCUUGAGGGUUAAGGAGCUUGUUAAUGCUCAUGGUACGUUCUGAGUUUUGUUAAUUGAGUUGGAGUAGUUCCACCUCCAUAGUUGAUUGUGCCAUUAGCUACGCAUGCUGUAGGUGAUUAAGAUCUUCUAGAGUUAAAGCUUGGUCAGAGAUGACAUGAGCUAAAUUUUCAAGUUGUUAGUGAGGGUCAUGCCUUGUCAGGAUAAAGCUGUGAGUAAGCACCGAUAUUUCGAUAUGAGAUGUUUCAAUAGGUAUUAGAAGGGUGCACAAGAAGUUUGGUAAUGGACAUUAGUGAGGCGCAUGCAAUGGGGUCUUGGAAAGUCUUUACCAUCGAAAAGAGGGGUGUUAGCUUCAAUGGUAGGAUUCAUGGCACCAAUUGUUUCAAUCAUUUGAGACAGAGAUGAGAUAAAGAGAUUAUGCGCCAAGGAUGAUCAAAGGCUUGCAAGACUAAGGGUAAAUUAUAGGGGUGCCAAAGCUUGUGCUCCUAGAUGUUGCCCGAUGCUUAAGUCAGAUAGAGGACACUUGUAGGCUUAGGAGAAUAUCUAGGCAGAGUAUAGAUAACACAUGAGCUCAUACUUGAGGAUAGAGCCUCUCCUUCACCUUGUAUCCUAUCCAAGAUUGCUAGUUCCUUCUAAGGUUUAUGAUCGUGGGGAGCAAUUCGUGGUCAAUAGAGGCGCAUGUCCUUGGUUUGUCAUUACUGUGCCUUCAACCUCUUUGUUGGCUCUGCCAUCUCACUCGAGUUUGCUUACAAAAUUGCACCUGAGUACAAAUCCUUAUAUGAAUAAUGAUAAUUGUUUUCUCAGUUAUCUUCUACCUAGAACAAGCAUAUUAUAUAUAAGAGUUUAUGCUUGCUAAGGUACAAAUCAAUUGCAAUCGCACUCUCCAUAAAUAGCCAAUAAAAUAAGGAUUGAGAUCUUUAAAAUAUUUUAAAGUUAGCAUGAUCUGAUCUCUUUAAACAAUGAAACUUAGAUUACAUUGAAAGAUUUCGAUCCGAUUUUGUGUGAUUUAAUUGUGCACAAUUGUACAUAUUUUGGAUUAAAAGAUUGUAUUAAAAAAAUACACAAAUCUCUUCUUUGCUAGAAUACUCGUCCCUAUUAUUUGAAAAUUAUUUAUUUAUUUUCUCGAGAUUUUAUAAAGGAAAAAACUAAACUCUAAAUAUGUUUAUAAAAAUAUCAUGUCAAAUCAUGACCUGAAUCUGUUUAUAAAAAUAUAAAUAUAUUUUUAAGGUGAUAAUGUGAACAAAAAAAAUUUAAGGACUAAGUUGAAAAUUUUACCAAGUUCAAGGGCUAAAUGAGUUUAUCCCAAAAAAAAAUGCAAAAUGGUUUAAUUGUAUGUUUAAUGGUUUGUCGGUUGGCUGGUUUAAUAAAUUGCAAAUGGAAAUGUAAAAACACAGCAGAAUAGGUCAAAUUUUGUUAUUAGACCAUGUACUUUGUAUACGUUGUAGAUUUAGUAUUUAUACAUUAAUUUGAUCAAUUUUAAUCCUAACCAAACAACAACAGCUAAGUAUAUUUAGUUAAUUUUAUUAUUAGUCAUGUAUUAUGCAUAAAGUUGUAAAUUUAGUCAAUAUUUUUCAAUUGAAUCAUUCUUAGUCGCUACAUAUUUCGAUUUUCAAAUUUUCAAUUUUUUUUCGAGCAAUGGUGAAAAUAACAAAUUGACAUGGCUUACAGAUGCGACAACAUGUUUACCACAUCAAAUUUUGAAAAUAAAAAAAUUAAUGAAUUUAAUAAGAACCAUUUGGUUUGAACUAAAAUUUUAAAAUUCUAAAAGUACAUGAAUCAAAAAUAAUCAAAUUAAAGUAUAAAAACUAAAUUUACAACUUAUGGAUAAUACAAAGACUAAUUGUAGAGUUUAACCCUACAGAAAAGGAUCUUCCGACUAUGAUGACAUUGAGGAUCGUACUCUCACAUUGAACUACACGAGAUAUCGGUUCAGUUCGAUUCGGCCGAGAUUUUUAAAUUUUUUAAAUUAUUCAUCAUAAUUUGAUAUCUUUCUUAAUUUAUUUCAGAGUCAGAUUUUUAUUUUUUAGAUUUAUUUCUUGAAACGUGUCAUUGACAGCCUGUAUAGUUUUAUUUAUUUUGUACGUUUAUUUGACUAAUUUAUUUUUUUGGCCAUUGCAGAGGCCUGCCUAAUUCAGACCUUUUGUUUUCACUAAAUUAUUGUAAUUUUGAAUUAUAAAAAGAAAAAAAAAUAGAUUUUGAGAUUAGAGACGUUGAUAGGACGGGUCGGGUUGAGUCCAUGCAAAGUUUUUAGAUCAAGUUUCUAAGCCUUGGUUCGAUUCGAUCUGAAAAAUGGGUUUAUUUAUUUGCUCUCAAGCCCAGCCGAAUUGGAAAAAGGUAAACCCGAGCACGACCCAGUCCGUCCAUAUUUGAUUUUUUAGAUUAGUUUUUACUUAAAAAUAAUUUUUUUAAAUAUAAUACACUAAAUGCAUUAAAAAAGCUAAAAUAAAAGUUUUCUAACACAUUGAAAAGUAUUUAUAUAACACAAAAAAAUAUAAUAAAUGUUUUUAUUGUAUUAAAUAUAAUUUUUAAAAUUCUAUAUUUUGGGUUGAGUUAUUUAUUUGGGUAAGUUAUUUUUUAGAUUUUGGGUAAUGGGUUUAAUUGUUAUUAGAUUAGUGAUUUAAUAUAAAUAUAAAAAUAUAUAAUUAUUAUUUAACAUAUAUAAUUAAUAUAAUGUUUUUUAUAACAUAAUAUAUUUGGGCAUGGCUACGCUUAGGCUAAAAAAAAAUCUUGCCCAAGGCCCGACCAUAGAAAGCGGACCUUAAAUUUUACCCAAGCUCAUUUUCCGAUCCUCGUAUUUUUAUCUAAACCCUCUCAUUUUUCGAGUGGGCCUUUGAAACUAAGCAAGUAAACCGGCCCUGAACAAGUGUAAUUGAGAUAAAGUUCAAUUCUAAAAAAAUAUAAGCUUGAGUUUGAGUCUGGCUCAAGUAAGUUCGUUUAAAAGGCUUGUUUUACUAUUUAAAAAAUCAUAAAAAAAAAUAUUUUUAUUUAACAUUAAUUAUAUAAACAAUAAAAUAGAUCAAGUCGAUAUUGAAAAUAUAAACUCAAGCCUAGGUCAAUGUGAGUUGGAUCGGGCCACUCGACUCAUGAACACAUUUACAAGUGUUCAAAUCUCUUAUUUUUAAUAGAAUUGUGAAAGAAUUUGAAGUCCAAUCAUUUGGUGAUGAUGAUUUUUUUGGGUAUAAUCAAUGUAUAUUUAUGUCCAUUUUACGGUCCAUGAGAUUAACUUUUUUAGGACUCGUGGUUAUCCCUUUCAACAGUAUUAUCUUUAAGCUUUGAAUCUACAUUCCCCCCAUUGAAAUUGCAAUAUGUCUUACAACUGCACUCAAUGUUUGUUGGUAGUGAUGAUAUGAUUUUGUGUUCAUUUCGAUAAUUAUAAUUGUCGAGAUCCUAAUGCAUUUUUAGAAUUAUACAAAAAAUCUUAUACUUAAUUGCCACAAAAUUGAUUCGAGAUAAUACAAUCUCUAUAUUUGUUGAGGUCAGAGGUGACGUCAGGGGAGAGGGGGUUGGUAGUAACCUUGGCCCCUCCUAAGAAUGAAAAAAGAAUCAAUUUAGUCCCAUUAGAAGUAUUAAGAUUGUAACAAAUUAAUCUAUAGUAAAAUUGUACUUUAAUUCUUAAAAUAUAAAUAAAAAAUUUGUUUAAUCCUUUCAAAAAUAAUAAAAUUAUAUAUUAAUAUAUGAUAAAAUUUUAUUUUAAUCUCUCAAAAAAAUUAUAAUUCAAUUACGAUCUCUUUUAGAGUUAGAAGAUUGUGAAAUCACCUUUACCUGAUAUAGCUUGACGUACCAAAUUGUACAAACUCCAAAUCAAUUCCAAUUAUAAAUGUGAAAGUACUUACUUCCAAAGUUGUCUUUUUUUUCUUUUUCUUUUUAUGGCAUUUAUUUUUGUCUGAAAUUGUAACUCACGAUGAAUGGAGGGGUAAUAAAUUUGUAUUUUAGUACUAUUCAUCAUGUGUUUAAUCUUUGAAUUUAUAAUUAUUUUAUUUAAAGAUGAUAUAAAAAUAUAAAAUGAUAAAAGCAAAAAUGUUGAUAGGGGUAGGAUAUUUAUAUAAAAUAAACAUUUUAUAUAAAAAUAUAUUAAUAAUAUUUUAUUAAAAGAAAAUAAUUUUAGUAAAUAAAAUUACAUUUGUAUAUUUUAUUAAAAUACAAUCUAAAAUCUUACUAAUUAAUAAUAGGGUAAACUAUAGAAUCAAUCACCUAAGUAUUAGCGUAUUUCUGUUUUGGUCACUCGACUAUGGAAAUUUUCAAUUUAGUCGCCAACAUUUUAGAUGGUUUUUAUUUUGGUCACUCUUCGUUAAAUAGUUAAUAGAAGUGAUGAUGUAGCCUUUUUCUAAUUGGUAUAAUGACACAUUUAAUCCUCAAUACUUACACAUUUUAUCAAUUUGAUCCUAAUUCUAAAUAAUUUAAUCCUCCAUAUUUACAAAUUCUAUCAAUUUGAUCCUCAAAUACAUAUAUUUAAAUAUAAUUAUAAUUAUAUGUAAACAGAUAUAAUAAAUCUGGAUAAACUUAUAUGUAAAUUUGUGAUUUUAAUAAACCAAAAACUCAGAACCCCUAAAGGUCAAUAAAUUUGUGAUUUUUAUAAACUUCAUUCAUGAUCGUGCUGAUAGCAUUCUCAACAAAGGAGCGUAAUUUUUCCUAUGAAACCUAACAAAUAAAAAAGAGAAACGAAAAAGCUUCCUAUAAGCAUUUUUCAAAUCAUUAUCUUUUACAUUAUUGUCAACUUGAAGAAUCGUGUAAUAAUUUGCACCUAUAUAUCUAAGAAUAAAAUUUAUUGAAAAACUUAUCUUAAUCUAAUUUGUUUGCAUUUUAUUUAGAAAAUGAUGUAAAUUGUUGGGGUUUUCGAUUUUCCUAACUUGAAUUUACAUUUUUUUAAUGUUUUUUUAUUUUUUAGAUACAUAUUUUUUUAUAAUUUACAAUUUCUUUUAUAUUUUUGAAAAAAUAUAAAAUUAUAUAAAAUUUUAAUUUUUUAAUAUUUUUAUAAAAAAUAGAUUAUGGCAUCAUUAGUCACAACAUCAGAGUACCAUGUGUCCUAUAUUUAACAUCGUUACAAAAAAAUUACCAAAACACUUGAUGAAAUGAAAUUUUAGGUACCAACUUGGAAAAAAAAAUCAUAAGUACCAACUUGGGAGAAUGUAUCAAGUUUGAGGGGCUAAAUGCAUAUUUGAGUCUUAUAAUUAUAAUUAAAUAUAAACACAUAUAAUAUUAUAUUUUGUACUUUUCCAUAAUAUAUAAUUUAUAUUUAAUUAUAUGUACUUGAGAAUCAAAUUGAUAGAAUUUGUAAAUAUGAAGAGUUAAAUUUAUUGAAGUAUUUAGAAUUAGAAUCAGGUCGAUAGAAUGUAUGAGUAUUAAUGGCUAAAUGUGAUAUUAUACAAAUUAGAAAAAGGUCACAUCGGCACUUUCGUUAACCAUUUAAGCAAGAGUCACCAAAAUAAAAAUGAUCUGCCCAAUCAAACUCUUAAAUAAUUAUAUAAAUAUAUAUUUUAUAUUAAAAUCAAGUGAGCCUUUAGUUGAAAUGAUUAAAUGAAAAUAUUUUGUCUCGCUUUGGUACUUUCUCAACUGAAUCGGUCUCCGGUUGAUUUGUGUCACAAAUGGUAACAUUAUAAAUUUGUGGAUAAUAAUGGAUAACUCUAAUAUUUUAGUAUUUAUGUCAAUUUAGUCCAAAAUGAAAAUUGAAAAGUAACUAAGCAACAAGAAAUGAUUUAUCAUUCAAUCUAAAUCAAAUCAAAUAUAGGUUUACUUUGAAAAUUAAUUACUUUAAAACAAAAUUGAAAAUAGAGAAAAAAGAGAAGUGUCUUUUUGUCUUUCACGCGCCAAUAUGACGAGUAGACAAAGACGAUCAAACCAUUUGAAACCAGAUAUUAAUAUCUAAUCAAAUAAAGAUCCCCUCGUCGCCUAUAAUAUUUUGGGUAAAUAUCAAUAUUACUCGCUAGAUUAUGAGUAGGUUUUUGUUUUGGUCAUUUAACUAAUAAAAAUUACAAUUUAUUAAUAUUCUUUAUUUUUUGGUCACUAACACAUUUCUAGUUUGUAUAAUAAUAAUUUUAGUCCUCAAUUUUUAUACUUAAUUAUCAAUUUGACCUGAUUAUUUAUAAAAUGAUAAAAUUGAAAUUCUUUUUUAAAAUUUAGAAAUUUCUAAAAAAUUAAAUAAAAGUAGAUAAAAUUUUCAAAAUAUACAAAGCGAGAGAAAACGGGGGAAAUUUAUUUUUAAACCCUGCAAAAUUUCUUUCUGUAUUAUUUGUAUAGAAAUAUCCAAUACUCAUUCUUUAAAAAACUAUAGAAAAAAUAAAAAACAUUAAGCAAAAUUAUUAGGUCUCUGUUUUUUGCCAAUUUUGUUUCUUGACAUAGCUUUUUCUUUAGAAGAAAAGAAAAAUAUUAGAAUAUAAAUUGUUUUUACAAUUUAGGUUUUGAAAAAAAAUGAAUGGAUUGAAAAUUUGUAUUGAGUUUGAAAAAAGAAAAUUUUGUGAUAUAUUUUAUAUAUUUUGGCUGAAAAUGACAUUAGUUCGAUUUAACAAACCUCUAUAAUAUCAAUUCUGGAUGUUUUUCAAGGGCAUGGAACUCAACUUGAUGAGAUUACUAAUUUGGUUCGAGAAACACUAAAGAAACAUGUAAUGAUCUAACAUUUUUUGGGGUUUUGUUCUAUUUUUAAUUUGUUAUUGGAUUCUAUUGAAUGAUAAUUUUUUUAUUUCCUUUACAUAUUAGUUCUUCAACAACAACAUGUUCAAGAUUUUAUUUUUCUACAAUUUUUCAUAUAAAAUUUUCUACUUUUAAAUAAUUUUGAGUUUUUUUUAUAAUUUUUAUAUAGAAUCAAAGUAAAUUUGACAGAAAAUAUAAAAGCUGAGGACUAAAAUUAUUAUACCAACUAAAAAUAUGUCACUUAACACUCGUGUGACAAAAAAAACCAAUUUUAAAAACAUUAGUGACCAAAUUGUAACCUUUUUAGUUAAGUGACCAAAGCAAAAAUUUACCCAUAGUUUAGAGAUUAAUGGUGUAGUUUACCAAAAUAUUUUUUGGUAUGGUACAAUUAAGGGGGUUAGUACUUAUACACACGGUGGAGACAUAUUCACAUCAAACAUGCACACACUAUGUUCAAAGGGAGUUUUUCCCUUUUUUCAACAUUAGCGACCACAAUGUUUAGGUUGGUUCAAAAACCACAACCUGAGGUCGAAAUGGGUAAGAAUGAUGUCUUUAUAUUGUUGCCCAGAAUGAGUUUGUUGCAUUUGAGGUUGUGCUUAAAGUCGAGCAUGAUUGAGGCUAUAUAGAUGAGGGUGAGGUCUUGGGGACCCAGUAGGUGGAAGAUCAUGUUGUCAACUCCACAACCGACUCCUAGUUCAAUGACGCAAUGAUGGAGGAUAUGAAAAUUGAGGAGUUUGGGAGUAAGGGUUAUUGGUGUCGAUGUUUGUGGGCAAAGGCGGAGCCCAAUGCUCAGCAAAUAUGGCGAGAACUAAGGAAAGCUAGAAGUAUAAUAAAUAAAUUAUUAUUUAUAAAAUAAAAUUAAAAAUAAGGAAAGGUUGAAUUUGGUUUAAGUCUUGUUUGUGGUCUUUAAAUAGUUUAUUUGUAAAAUUAUCAUUUUAAUAAAUAUAUCAUGAUACAAAAAGAGGAAAAUGGAUGUUCAUUCAUUUAUAAUUUUGCAUGCAUUUUUACAAAAUUUUAUUUUUAUCAAAAAAUGAAAUUUUAACUUUUUUUAAAUUUUAAAAUUUUAAAAUCAAGAUUAAGUUGACAUAAUAUGUAAAGUUGAGGGUUAAAUUUGUUGAUUUUUUAGAAUUAGGACCAAAUUGAUAAAACAUGUAAAUAUUAGAGCACUAAAUUUGUUAUUAUGCUAAUGAAAAACGGUCACGUCAGCACUCCAGUAGUGAUCAAAAUAUUAAAAUUUGAUAACAGUAGUGACUAAAAUAGAAAAUUUUAAAUUUGUAUGACCAAAAUAAAAAUUGGUGAUUAUUUACACAAUUUACCAAUUAUAAUUAAAGUUUAUUUUAUUCAGAAAAGGACAAAAAGAAAGUGAGGGAGGUUGGGUUCUUUAUUUAUGUACAUAUACAGACAGAGAAGAAAAGGGACGGUUUUAGAGAGGCUUUCAUGGUUGAGUGAUGAAAAUUAAAUUAGGGGUAUGGUUUCAAGAAAAAAAAAAGUAAGCAAAAAGAGGAGAGUCUCUCUUAAAAGUAAAUUCGGAUCGAGUCUUAAUUCAAUUGAUAUUAUUGUUAUUUCAUCAAUAACGAGAACAUGAGUUUCAGUAUGUUUUUCUUCUUUUAUUUAAGGGCCAAAAAAGUUUUAGUUCAAUUAGUACGAUUGGUAUUACAGAAAUAAUGAGGACGUGGGUUUAAACAUGUUUUCUUCGAUUCAAGGGUUGAAAAUGUCUUAGUUCGGUUGGUACUAGAGGACGUGGAUUUGAGCAUAUUUUUUUCUUUAAUUUAAAGAUUAAAAGAGAGAUUAUGAGAAAUUUUAUCAUACACAUAUACAUGUGAAAACCACGUAUUUAAAACAAAGAAGUGUGUUAAAAAAUAACAUACAAUAAAAAAUGAAACGCAUGAUUUGGAACUAAUUAAUAAUAUCACAUGAGAUAUGUACGAUAUUAAAAUGAAAAAAAAAAGAUUAAAUUGUGACUAAAACGAAAUUUAAAAAUAAAAAUACAUCAAAUUAAAAAUACUACAUGAAUAUAAUUAUUUGAACCAGUUUUCUCUAUAUUUAAAAUAUUUUUAUUUCAUUUCAUAAAAUUUUAAUAAUUUAUUUAAUUGAAACGGACGAAUCGAUAAAAAUAGGUUAAGUAGUACUUAUAUACAUGAUUAUACGUGUUAAGUUGAGGUUUAAUAUGAAAUGUUUAAGUUGAUGCAUAAGUGAGAGUGAUAUAGACAAAUUUAGGUUGAAAUUGGUAUGAAUUUAGAAUUGGCUUAAAUGGUGUUUUAUUUUAUUGUUUUGAUAAUAUAUGUGAAGUACCUAUGAGGGUACAUUGGUUAGGAAACUAGGAUGAUUGUUUUGACAUGUUUUAAAGGUAUUAAAUCGUGUUUUAAAGUGAUUGAACGAUUGGUUUUUGAGUUGCUUGGUGUUCAAGGUUGCAAGGAAGGUAAACUUGAUGUUUAAGGUUCAUUUUGAGUCCACACAGCCAGACACACGGUCGUGUGAAUGGAUCGUGUGAGACACACGGCUAACACAUGGGCGUGUGUCCCCUGCACCUAGGAAAAUUUUUGAAAUUUUGCGAAAAAUUCUUGGAGUACCGGAUUUAUUUCUAACACAUAUUUUGGGCCUCGAGGGCUCAUAAAAGGGACAAUAUGAUUAAAUUAUGGUGUGUAUGCUAGAUGAUUAUAUAAUGUUCAUAUUUGAUCUGAAAAGUUCGAUAAUGCUCCGUAACUCUAUUUUGACGACGGAUAAGGGUUAGGGGGUGUUACAUUUUCAAGCUUAUCUUCAUAUAUUUUGUAUUUGUUGUUCAUCACUAGUUUAUAUCAUACCGAUUAUUAUGUACAAAAAAAUAGAUUGGUUAUUCAUUUCUUCUAUGAUUCAUUUGUACUAUUUUUCUUGAGAUUUAAGAUUUUAAUUGCAAUAAUCAAUGGAAAAGAGAAAACUUCUUUAGUUUGUAUAAAAAAAAGAAAAUAAAUCAUGGGAGAAAUUUAUAAUUUUUAAUAUUUUUUUGAAAAAUUUUAUUAUAAGUUCUGGUCAUAUAUGCUUUUUUUUGACACAAUGUCUAGAACUACCCAUAGCUCCUCCUCAACCCAUAAAGAGGAGGAUAGUGCACUUCAGUGCACUCAAACCCAUGUCCUCCUACAUUGACAACAAUAUCCAUGCCAAUCGAGCUAAGACUCAAUCUGCAUUUUGAAUAUUUUUAAAAUAGGAGGAUAUUUUUUAAAAUUUUAAAUAUUUUUUGGAUUUUUAUAAUUUUUUUAAAAUAAUUUUUUUACUUUUUUUGAAUUUUUUAAAAUUAAUUAAUUGCUCAUGUGACAUACACGUGGAUUGCAGUUGAUAACUUUUCCUUCCAUUUUGAGAUAAUUUAACAAAAACACAAAUUCAAGACUUAAAAAGACAAUUUAAAUAAAGAGCUAAAAUAAUUUUUUUUAAAAGUUGGAGGACCAAAUAAAUCAUUAUACCUUUUUUCUUUUAUAAAAUGGAGAUAAAUGUUGGAUUUCUAGAAACAUUAACUUAAAAAAAUAGUUUUAAGUACAAAUUAUAAUAAAAAAAAGUUUAGAUACUAAAAUAAAAAAAUAUUUAAUUUAAGUACCAAUCAGUAAAUUAAACCAAAAAAUAAAAAGUCACGAGCGGGAAAGUGAUUGUUUUUAUAUCUAUAAUGAUAAUAUAUAAAAUUUGGCGUUAUAUUUAUCUAUGAGAUGUGAUGACAUAAUGCCAUUAUUUUAUAAGAUCCUGUUUCGGCCAUUUAUAUAAAAUGUAUUACAUUAAUAAUUUAUAUUACAUCAAAACUUGAGAUACUGGUGCAUAUGAAAUAUUAAUAAAAAAAUUUACGGAUCAAAUUGCAAAAAGUUGCUAACUUCAGGAACUAAAUCUUGCUAUAUCCCGAGUUACUAUUUUACUAGUUUUCUAACUUUAUAAAAUAAAGUUUAGUAUUUAGUACACUGACUGUGUACUUUUUUUCUUCCACAAGUAAUUUUAAGAUAUUAUCACAAUGUUGAAUUUAAGUUAUAAAAUUUGUUUGGUAUAUUAUUAAUUAUAUUGUUUGAUAAAGCAUAAUAUACUUUUUUUCCUCUCUUUUUUUUAAAUAUUUAUUUUUUUAACAUUUUAUUAGAUCUUAUAGGGUACUUGUCAACCCGCUAACCCUGCUUGUGAAGUCUAAAAACUUCAAUAAUAAUAUACUAAAUACUUUCUCAUAAAACAAAUUACCAUUGUAAAAUAAAUGUAUUACCAUUUAAUAUUUAAGUAUUUUUCAUUCUAUUAGUAACAAGAAAAAAGAGUUUAAAUUAAUAUUAUAUUAUAAAGUGUUGAAAAAAAUCAAUCAACUGAAAACCCACAAUGGAAACUACUAGUCACUAGAUAGAAUUUUUCAUUAAAUAGCAAUGGCAAAUCCAAGGGGGCUGGCAGAGCCCAACCCUCAUAAAAUUUAGGCCUUUAAAAUUUUUUGCACCUUAGCUUUCUUAAAAAUAAUAACAUUUUGAUUUAAUUUUUUAAAAAUUAUAAUUUAUUUUAUAAUUUACUUUCGGCCAUUCCUAAAAAAAUUUUCUGGCUUCGCCUCUGUUAAAUAGUGUAGAAAAUGAUAAGUAGAUAGGAUUUACUUAUCACUUAAUAAAGAAUAAAUUCAAUUGUAUUUUAAUUCAUUAAAGAUUAUAUUAUGCUUUAUCAAACAAUAUAAUUAAUAAUAUACCAAACAAAUUUUAUAACUUAAAUUCAACAUUGUAUUUUUCUGUACUUAUUUUUUUCAGCACAUAAUUUUUCAUUUUAUCAAAAUAGCCUAACUCAAACUUUUACUAUGGUUUAAAAUAUUUUAUUGUUAAGACUUAAUCGUCAUAAAUAUUGUUGUCAAUAUAAGAAAAUGUGAGUUUGAGUGCGUUAAAGCAUACUAAUAAACUCUAAUUUUCCAUGUGUUUUAUUGAAGAAACUACACUUUCCGAGAGAAAUAUUAAGAGAAAAAAUAAUUUUCCAUGUGUUUUAUUGAAGAAACUACACUUUCCGAGAGAAAUAUUAAGAGAAAAAAGGAGCCCUUAUUUCCAUAAGAAAGAAAUUUUAAUUGCAGGAGCAUUAGAAGCUCAUUGGAACUUUACUUACCUACUAAUUAACAAUACGUUACAUAAAAGUUAUCAAUAUGGCUGAGAUUCCCUCUUAUAAAUAUUGCCCUUUCAUCUCUUUCUUUCUAUUCACUUAACAGUUCCUUUCAGUAUCCUGUUUUCCCAGAAAACUUUUCCUGGGUUUGGCUCUUGAUCCAACCCAUAAGUCUUUAGGGUUGGUACUGCUUUUUCAUGUCUCUUUCAUCUAUUUCAAGUUCUGGGUAGCUUUCUUUUCUUUUUUUACUGAAUCGUGGGAUUUAAUGUGUUUGUUGACAGUUUCAAAGAUAUGGCUGGAAAGGAGUUCACUGUUAAUCUGAACAAACCCCUUGUCUUCCAGGUUUCUUUUUUUUUUUCUUUUUACAACUUUCGGUUUUGCUUUUCGUAUAUUUUGGUACAAACAUGAUGACAAAGGAAACAUAAGCUAAUAACAUCUUCACAUGUUGAUUAUAAAUUGGUAAUGGCAGGUUGGUCACCUUGGAGAAGCUUACCAGGAAUGGGUUCAUACGCCUAUUGUGACAGAUGAAAGUCCUCGCUUUUUCAAGAGUGAUUUCAUGGAGGUAUUUUUACCAAUCUUUCCCCUUUGAAAUACCAUGGAGUAUCUUGUAAUGGGAGUUAAAUUGUAUUUUUUUUCUCUCUAAGCAAAUUAAGAGUAAAUUAGUUGUUUUUGUAGACGUACAAGCCAUUUGAUUAUUCUGUCAAUCACAUCAGUUUUUAACAAAAAUAAAGUCCUCGCUUUUUCAAGAGUGAUUUCAUGGAGGUAUUUUUACCAAUCUUUCCCCUUUGAAAUACCAUGGAGUAUCUUGUAAUGGGAGUUAAAUUGUAUUUUUUUUCUCUCUAAGCAAAUUAAGAGUAAAUUAGUUGUUUUUGUAGACGUACAAGCCAUUUGAUUAUUCUGUCAAUCACACCAGUUUUUAACCUGUUUGAUCUAAUGUAUAAAAAUUAAUUUACUUAACCUUUUUCAGUAAAAAAAGUAAAAUAUAAUUUAUUUUCACACUUUGAAAUACUUUAAUGAUUGCAUUACCCAAAUUCAAUUGGGUUCGAAUUAUUUUGAGUUUGGUCAUAAUUUGUGGUUGAAAUAGAUCCUGACUCGGACAGUGUGGUGGGUAGUACCAUUGAUAUGGGUGCCGGUUGCAAUGUGGUUCAUCUCAGUCUCGUACACAAUGGGUCAUACACUUCCCCAAGUUGUUUUAAUGUCUGUUGUUGGAAGUUUCAUUUGGACAUUCUUGGAAUACUGUUUCCACCGUUUCCUUUUCCACAUUGAAACAAAGAGUUACUGGUUAGUGUUUUCUUUUUCUCUUGGACUUACUUAUAACGCACAUACAUAUUUUAUGAGAGGAUGUAGUAAUUCAUUGACAACAUUGGUGAAGGGCAAACACUUUUCACUAUCUAAUCCAUGGCUGCCACCAUAAGCACCCUAUGGAUGGGCUAAGGCUUGUGAUUCCACCUGCAGAAGCUGCUAUACUAGCUAUAAUGGUAUGUAUAUAUUUAUAUGCAUUACUUUAUUUUUUGUUUUUCAUAUAUGGGUUGAUUAAGAAAAAUUAUUAUUAUUUAGAAAUAUUUACAAAAAAACUUUUAAAAUUUUGUCAAAUAAUAUUUAAAAGCAAUAACAUAAAGUUAAUUUUAUCAAAAUAAGUCUAAAACUCUAAAACUAAAAAUUAAUAUGAAAAAACCAAAAAUGGAACCGAGUGAAUUCAGAAAUUCUAAAAAAUCCAACCGAAUCAUCCCUACAUACAUUGCAUGGGUUUAGGGCUCUCACCUCUAUAAUUAGUAAUUUAAAAUUUUUAAAAAAAAUUCUUAUUGAGUUGGUGUUACGGGUCAACUAGACACCAUCUUUACUGAUAAUUUAUUGAAAUAUUAGUACUGACUACACUGAAUUAGACCAAUGGGGGUAGCAAUUUAAUGAGAGGUAUAAAUUCAGUUGAUUCGUGAACUGGUUGAGUCGAGUUAAAAAAAUCAAUUGAACUAAUUUUUACUAUAUAUUUUUUUAUUUUUACUUAAUUUUUAACAAUUUAUUUACCUUGAAUCUACCUUACAAAAUAUUUUUUUUAUAUAUGCAAAAUAACAAAUACUAAUACAAAGAUAAAUUUUACCAACAAAUAUAAUUUAAAAAUAAUGAAAUUUAAAAACAAGUUGGUCCCAUAUUAAUUAUUUCUAACAAAACAUUGGGAUAAGUAAAGUUUGAUAAAAUAUUAGUUAUUUGAUCUUCACGUGUCAAGUAGUGUUAAAAAAUAUAUAAUAAAAAAUUUAACGGUGAAAUUUAUAUUUCCAACUAAUAAAUGGGAAUACGUGGCCCAAAAUAGUGACCAACUUUUUAAGGGUAAAAAGAGGAAAAAAUUUAAAAGUUUCAAAAAGAUAAUUUAAGUCGCAUUGAUUGAGACUUUUAGGUUAAAAUCUUAGUUGAAUUAUGGUAGUUGAUAAAAUUUGUCAUUAUAUUUAUUUCUUAUUAAUUAUAUAUUAUGUUCCAGGGGUGAAGUUAGAAACAGAAAUUAAAUUGUAAUUUUACUAUUUUAAUAAUUUAUAUCUUUAUAUUUUUAAAAUGAUUAAAUAAAAAAAAAUUAUUUUAGGGGGGCCGGAGGCCUACUAGCUCCCCUAGCUAUGCCCCUGUCAUGUUCUAUGAAGACAACUUAAUUAGCGUGCCAAAUUGAUAAAUUAACAGUAAAUACAAAUAAUGCUAAUCGUUGGGUUGAGAUUAUUAAAUUAGAAAAAUAAGAUUACUUAAUUUUUAAAAUUUUAAAGUAUAUAUAUGAAAUUUCAAAUCUUAAACGAGAUUUAAUGUGUUUGUACCAGUUUUGGAACUUGUAUGGGAUUUUAUUCACUAUCUCCACAAGACCUGCAUUAUUUGGAGGUGGACUAAUUGGAUAUGUGAUAUAUGAUAUGAUACAUUACUAUGUGCACCAUGGCCAGCCUACCAAACAAUCUAUCAAAAAACUUAAGGUAUGAGACUCCUUUUGAAUUGCUAAUUUAUCCUUCCUCAAUCAUUAUCUAUAAAAAUUCAAUUAAAUUAUUGUUUUAGAUUUUUUUUCCCUUAAAUUUGAGGUUUAAUUUUUCACUUGACUUAAUUUAGUUUUUUAUGUUUAUAACGAUAUUAUUUAGUUCAAAUAGUUAGCAUUGUUGAUUAUUCUAGUUAAAAUGUUAAUGUAAUUUUUUUUCUUAAAAAUUCUCCUUUCGAAUUGUUUUUGGUGCUGAAUAGUGUGUUUUUAAGAAAAAUCUACAUUAGUUGGAAUAUAUAAUAAUAUUAACUAUUUGAGCUAACUAAAUAAAAGUAAAGGGAAUAGGGAUUAAAUCCCAAAUUUGAGUAUAAUAAAAGGAUCAAAAAGAGAUUAAUAUAUUAUUUGGUAUUCAAAUUUGGUUUCAAUGUUUAAUUCAGUAUUUGAGUUUAACUUCAAUAUUCAGAUUAGUACUUAAUUUUUUUCCUUUAUCCCAAUUAAGCAUUUAAGUUUGGCUUAAAUGUUCAAUUUGAUAUCCAAAAUUUUCUUUUGGUCCCAAUUACGUACUUAUGUAUUUUUUCACUAGAGCACAUGUGUCAAAUAUUCAUUAGCUGCUGUUUGAUUUUGACAUGAAAACUAAAAUCAGAUACCCAAAAACAGAUUUUAUAAGAGGCUAAACAAAUAGAUGCUUGGUUUGAUUGCAGAAAUAUCACUUGAACCAUCACUUUAGGAUUCAAAACAAGGGCUUUGGCAUAACUACAACAUUGUGGGACAAAGUUUUUGGAACCCUUCCAAAGACCAAAGCAGACACGAAGAGUGGAUAGAUGAUGAUGAUGAGGCUGACAAGCAUCACAUGAUUGCACCCUGUCAUGGCCUUGUCAAUGUUUAAAUAAUGAUUUUGCCCUCUUUACUUUUAUUGUGCUCAAUAAUGGUGGUUGGGAUUGUGAGGGAGGAUCUUAGCUAAGCAACUCACUUCAUGUCUCCUGUUGUACUGUGUUUUCCCUAUAAAUAGAUGAAAUGGAUAGUGUAGUUGUAAUGGUUUAUAAAACUUUAUGAAGGUAAUAAAUUUUAUAAAAUUUUAAAAAUUAUAUUUUUAAAUAAUUUAAUCAUAUUUUUAUUUAAUUUUAAGAAUUAUAUUAAUUGAUUUUUCAAUUUAUCAAACAAUACUGAAUUUAUCAAAUAGGUUUUUCACCUUAUUUAUUGUAAUUAAUUUUAAAUACAAUUAAUUUCAUGAUAUUCAAGAAAACAUGAAAACUUUUCAGUUCAAAUAAUAGGCAUUUCAGUCUAAUUUAUAAUAAAAAAUCAAGUGAAUAUUAACGUGUUAGUAUAAAACACAUAAUAAUUGAAAUAGAUAUUUCUUGAAAAGAAAAAAUAAUAAUAAUAUAAUUUAAAACCUGAUAUAUGAUGUUUAAGAAGCCCUUAUUUGAGCAUUUUCGAAAAUGUUUGGCCCUUAUUUGAACACUUUUAAAAAGGUUUAUCUUUCAUUUGAACACUGUAGUAAAAGUUAAGCCCUUAUACGAUAUUUUGAAAAUUUUAACCUUUUUGUGAGUACCCCUAAAAGAUUGGACCUAAUUUGAACAUUUAAUCUUUAAUACCCAAAAUCAUACGAUAUUGUGUGUAUGUGUCACAUCCCAAAAAUAAGGUUAGAAGAAUCGGAUUUGUGACAACUAAAAGUGGUCACGCCUCGAUUUAUAAGGUUAUCUUUGUGUGUUGUAAAUAAACUGAGGGUUUGAAACGGAUACCGAAAUUAGGGUCAUAAGUAAUUAAUUAAAGUAUUAAAAUGAUAUAAUUAUGUAUUAUUAUAUUAAUUAAUCUAAAACAAAACUUGAUUACAAGGUUUAAUUUGAAAACAGUGUGUUUUAAUUGAGUUAGGAUCUAACUGGAAAAGGGGUAAAAUGAAUUAAAAUAUUAAUAAUGAGACUUGACUAUGAGUAUUAAUUAUUGUAUAUAAACUAAAAUACGAAUGUGUUAAAAACUAUAAAGUUAAAUAAGUUAAUAACAAAAAAUUGAGUAAAUGUAUAAGCUAAUAAAUAAUAGGUAAGUUGAGUCCGAAAUAAAUAUAUACAAUUAAGAAAUAAAAUUAAGUAAGAAAUGAGCCUUAAGUUUGGUGGUUAAGUGCUAUUCCCCGAUCAAGAGGUCCUAAGUUCAAGCUUCUUUCUCUCAUCCCAUCAAGAGAACAAAUAUUAUUUGAGGUAAAAACUAAACAAGAAAUAGACUUAAGUCUAAUGGUUAGCACACUAAUUUCCUUCUCAAUUGACUCUAGUUUCCUUUUUAUUUCGUAAUUUCGCCAAAGAAGAGAUUCGAACCUGGAUCAAUUGGGAAAGAAACUAGCAUAAAUAAAUUAAACAUUUAACUGUUAAUACCCAAAGUCAUAUAUGUGGCUCCACCAUUGUUCGUAGACUUACCAAUUCGGAAAAGAAAAGAAAAAACCCUUAUUUAAGAGUUUCAACUUAGGGUGAGUUUGGAUGGGCGAUAGAGUGCGGUGCGGUGCAUUUAGCCUACUUUUUGACUCACGCUAUAAUAUCACUAUUGUAUCUAAUUUUACCGUCAUCGUUGUUUUUACACUAACUGCAAGUAAAUACACUACCUAUCCAAACCCAUCCUUAGUUAUGACAAUACAAAAAUACAUUAUUUUUACAAAGAAAAAUAUAUUAUUUUGAGAAUAUGUUUACCUUUUAUAUUUUUUUACAUAAAUCUAGAAAUUACAUACGCAUGAUAACCUAAAACAUUGUGAUUUUUAUUAUUUGAACUUUACCAUUUUAACCAAAGUCACAUUUGAUAUUUAUAUCAAUUUUUUAUAAAUAUCUUACAUAAAAUUUUCACCCACGUUGUAAAUAUACUAUAAUCUGAUGUUUAUAAAUUGUUCCAUAUUUAUAAAACUAUGCUAACAAAGUAAAAAAGGACAUGGGUCUCACUUAAUUAUUUUAAUUUUUUUUUAAAAAAAUUUAAGUACAGUUCAAAAGACAAAAUAUGGUUAGUAUGGGCAAAAUGUGAGGUUCUCAAGUUCCAUUAUACGUGGAUAUCAUGUGCAGAUUUUCAAUCUAGAUUUUAUUCUAAUUUAAGUCUCACUACGUACGAAUCUUUUUUUAAAAUUUAUUCCAAACACGUAUAUAUCAAAUAUAAUUAUAAUUUCAUUAAUACAUUAUUAUGAUUAAUUCUCGUUAUAGUUAUACGGGUAUAUUUAUUGUAACUGCCUAAAACUAGCAACCAAACACAAAAUACACCAGAUAAAAAGGAGAGAUGUUUAAGCCCACCCAAUCAACACCACCAAUUCCCACUACAAAUGCUCUUUCAUCUUCAACCACCAAACAUACCUAGAAUUAUGAAGAAACUUACCGAAUCUUCUAAAAUUCAUGUAAAUUUAUUUAAAGCCUUGACAAGGACAUCAUUAGAUGCAAAUAUGUUUGAUGUAUUGUCUUAUCCAAUCUUCUCAGUUGAUUUGGUCUUUGGAAGGGUACCAAAAACUCUGUCCCACAAUGUUGUAGUUAAGCCAAAGACCUUGUUUUGAAUCCUAAAGUGAUGGUUCAAGUGAUAUUUCUGCAUCCAACCAUAAAUAUAAGCCCAUUGUAAAAAAAAAAUUGGUUUUUGGAAUUUAUUAUAGCGUUUGUACCUGGGUUUAGUGUUUCUGACACUGUCUGCACUAGCUACAGAUGUAGCCUGGGAUCUUGGAUUGGAGCAUGAUAUACCUCUAUCUUUCCCAAAAUACCCCAAAGAAGUAGUGGAAUGGUCAUGAUAUUUCUUGAAUUUCUUUGAGGAAGACUGAUAUGACUUUCUGGUAAAUAUUUUACUUGAAGUUCGGGAUUCAAUCACAGUUUGUCUCUUUUCUUUACUCAAUUCUUCAGCUUUAUGUGCUCGGUCAAUCAGUUCAACAAAUUCUUUUAAUUUAAGAAUCCCAACCAAUAACUUUAUGUCUUCAUUUAAAUAUUCUUCAAACCGCUUACACAUUACCAUUUCAAUCGGGACACAUUCUCUAGCAUAUUUGCUUAGUCGAACAAAUUCUCUUUCAUAUUCAGAUACUGUUCUAUUCCCCUGCUUAAGUUCUAAAAAUUCUUUCCUUUUCUGAUCAAGGAAUCUUUGGCUAAUAUACUUCUUUUUGAAUUCGGUUUGGAAAAAUUCCCAAGUAACCUGUUCUUUUAGCACAACAAAAAUUAACGUGUUCCACCAAUGGUAGGUUGAGUCUUUUAACAAAGAUACAACACAUUUUAGACAUUCGGCCGGUGUGCAAGACAGUUCGUCCAAAACCCUGAUAGUAUUUUCUAACCAGAAUUUGGCCCUUUCAAGAUCAUCUUCAGUUGUUGCUAUGAAUCCUUCUGCCCCAUAUUUACGGAUUUUAUCUACAAGAGGCUUACCAGUUUUAACAAGUUCUGUACUUUGUGACAUAUCAGGAAUCGGUUGAGAAAUAGGAGGGGUGGAGGUUGUUGUACAGCCGAGUUUGUUCUUAAAAACUCUGUAAAUCACUCGUUCAUCAUUUAGAAUAAGGUUUCUUUUGCCUCUCCUCCUCGACGCUCAGAUACGGGCCUUCUACUACUAGAUACUGCUCUUUGUACUGAAGCUUGAGCAUUGCUCUCAGCUUCUUCGGAUUCAACUCGGUUGGAUGAAAUUAUUCUAUGAAAAAUAUAUUUAAAAUGGUCAGGAGAUAUCACACUAUCAUAAAUUAUAUAAUGGCAUGUAUAGCUAGACUCGUAUACGUUAUGUUAGCCCGAGAAUCAGCUAAACUGUAGCUCUGAUACCAAUAAAUGUAACACCCCUAACCCAUAUCCUUCGUCGAAACAGGGUUACAGAGCAUUUUUAGAGUUUACAGAACAAAUACAAUUAAUUAAUAUCAUUUACUAUUCAUAUCCGAAAUCAAUCAUAUUGUCCCUUAAAUGGUCUUUCGAGGUCCAAAAUAUACAUUUAAAACAAGUUGGGACUAAACCGGGAACUCAGAGAAUUUUUCGCAAAAUCGUAAAAAAUUUCCAAGGUGUAAGAAACACACGCCCGUGUAGCUAGGUCGUGUGUCUUACACGAUCAAGAGACACGCCUGUGUCUCAGGCCGUGUGGACAUUCGAAAUAGGGACACACAGUCGUGUCCCAGCUCGUGUUAAAAUUAGGGUGGUUACUGACUUGGGUCACACGGUCAAGCCACACACUUGUGUGCUAAGCCGUGUGAACAUUUUAAUUUACAUUAAUUAGGUACAGGGGCCACACGACCAAGUCAUACACUCGUGUGCCAGGUCGUGUGCCACACACAGCUGAGACACACACUCGUGUCUCUGCCUGCGUGAAAAUACUUGAGCAUUCUGUUUUGCAAUUUUAAAGAUGCAGGGGACACACGGCCAAACCACAUACCCGUGCGUAUGGCUGUGUGUCACACACUGCUGAGACACGCGCCCGUGUCUCUACUCGUGUGGACAAAAUAAGGCCAUUUCCAAGCCUUAUUUCUCACCCAAUUGGUCUUCCACUUACAUUAACAUUUUAAUACAUUCACAAUCCAAUUUUUAAUAUACUUACAAGAUUUCCAUCAUUCAACCAUUUCAAGAACAUAUCAAACAUAUUAAGGCCAUAUAUAUACACAUCAAAACAUACUAAAUUACAAGCCAGAUCAAAUGGCUAAUUUCAACCAAACACAUACAUACUAUCCAUGACCACUUUAGCCUAUACAUGCCAUUAUAACCAAAAUGUAUUUACUAUAUAUGCCGAAAUAAGCUGAUGGAUAGUGUGAUGAUAUCUUUGUCAAGCCUCCAACCCAACGAGCUUCUGAAUUACUAUAAAACAGAGGAAAUAGAACAAAGUAAGCAUGUAAUGCUUAGUAAGUUUGUAUAACGGAAAUUAACUUACCAUUUAAUUGCAUUUAAGGUAAAUAUACAUAAUAUAUUCAAAGCAAGUUGGCCAAUAGCCUAUACACAUGUAAGGGCCCAAUUUUGUCUGUGCCUUAAACAGAAACCAAAAAUAAAAAAAAUAGUUCAUUUACAAAACAUCAGGCCCAAAUUACAAGCCCAAAUUUAAAACCUAUUACCUAAAUUACAAAGCCCAAAAAUUCAAAAAACCCUAACAGCCCAAAUGUCCCAAACACCUAAACUAUUCAGUGUACAGAAACCCUAACCCUAGCCUUUUACGCCGCACCCUACCUAGCCGCCGCUGCUCCUUCCCAUGUCAGUACCACACCAACUCGUCUGCCACCGUCAUUAACCACCACCUGCAAAAAACAGCAAAGAACAUGCAAGGAACAGUAGAGAAAAAAUAAAAAAUGUAACGAACAGUGAAACAUAUGGGUAUAAAAGCCAUAACCAGAUCGUAAAGUUUUUUUUACUGAGAAAUAUACCAAAAAAAACAAUAUACAAAAAAGCAGAGAGUUUGAAAUAGAUUCAAAUAUCAAAAGGUGCUGUUUUUUAUUUUUAUUUUUUUGAAAUAGAUAAAUAAAAAAUAAUAAAAACUUACCUAUCAAUUUGUCUCCCCUCGCCAUCGAACAUUGCUGGUGUCUAAUGAGGCCAUUUUUUAUUCUCACGUAUUAUUUUCUUUUCUUGAUUUCUAAACCAAAAAUCUGAUUUAAAAGUUUUAAAAAUGGGAGGGCUGAAAAGGCCCAUUUUUGUGUAGCUCCGGCUACCGGCCACGGCGGAGUUGCGGCAGAGGCUCGCCGGUCUCCAUGGCCAAAUUUUGGGAUACCCAGAAAGAAAAGAAAGGAAGAAUUUUUUUUAAAGUUAUUCAAAUGAUUUUUUGUUCUGUUUUUAUUAUUUAUAAUAGGACAAAUACGACGUCGUUUUGAGCCUAAGCUUCAGGCGCUAAAACGGCAUCAUUUUAACAUUAACUCGUGACCCGACUCGAUAGCAUUUAAGAUCCUCGUGUUUUUAAACAAAAUGGUCUAUUUUCUUUAUGGGUCCUUCCGCUUUUGGACUCCUUUUCAAUCUGGUCCUAUCUGUUUUAUAUAUUUAAAAUUUUUCCACAUAAUUUUAUUUUUGUUUCAUUUUGGUCCAUAUUGAAACGACGCACUCUAAGGACUGGGAAUAAUUUCCCAUCUAAUCCCUGUACCUUUGCGCGCAUUUUACUUUGGACCAUCCUUCUGCCUUUUCUUUUUUUUUACAAUCUAUCCCUAAAAUUCGUUUAAAUGGCGACUUAAUCCUUGGUUAUUUAAUUUCAACCCUUGAUAUAUUUUUUAUAUAUGUUUUGUUUAUUUAUUUAUCUAUUUAUUAUCUUAUAUUCUUUAUAUAUAUAUUAAAAAUUAUAAUGUUUAUAUUUUCUUUAUUUAAAUACUUGUUGUUCGUAUUAUUUUAUCCUUACUACUAUUAUUUAUUUAUUAAUCCAUUUAUAUUAUUAUUAUAUUUUGUAUAUGUUUAAAGUGAGAUUAUUACAUUUUUCUACUUGCACAUUUUUACUUAUUUAUUAUUGUUACUAUAUUACUUUUUUUAUCUCGUUUUUACUAUUUUGUCAUUUCUUUUAGCAUCCUCGCAUUAUUUAUGGUUAUAUUCGUCAUGAGGCAUCUAACAUUUUAUUUCUUUUGUUCGUAUUACUUUAUUUAUUUUAUUAGUAAUGACACGAAUUAAUAUCCUUAUUAUGGUUAUAAUUAUAUUAUUAGUAUUAUAGUAUUAUUUUAUUUACCCAUUGUUUAUCGUCUUACCCAAACAAGCUUUUAAAUUAUUUCAUUAUCAUUAUAUCAUACAUUAGGCUUAAAUAUUUAUUCAUUUAUAUAUAUGCCCGAAUAAGUUAAAAUGCCCAUCUCUGUAAGCAUCAUGUUCGUUUUUUUGCACAAUGAAUAAAAAGAAAAUUUUAAAUCAAAACGACGUUCAUUAUUUUUGGAAUUAGAAAAGUCGUGUUCCUAACUUACGGAAUAUGUAUUCUUUCUAAAACCGACAUAAUCGAAUAUAUUUUAAAAUAAAUAAAAUUUUUAACGUUUAUUCUCGUUUUCGGGGAUUUAAGGCAUUGUGUCCUAACUUACGGGACGUGAUCCUUUUUCUCGAUUAACUUGAAACAAACCCCUUUUCGUGCAAAUGAACUUAGUUAAGUAAUGUUUUAAUAAAAGAUCAUAUUUUAAAAUCUCUUCAAAAUUUCAAUUUUUAACACUAAAGACACCAAAUAAUCAACUAGGUACCAAUUUUGGGUGUAACGAGGGUGCUAAUCGUUCCUCGUGCGUAACCGACUCCUGAACUCAUUUUCUGGAUUUUUUGUAGACUGAAAAACAUUGUUUUAAUAAAUCAAACAUCUUGUUAAAACGAUCAAAUUACGAGGUGACCCGAUCACGCCUCAUAAAAGAAUGAUUGGUGGCGACUCCAUUUUUGUUUUUAAAUAAAAAGUCAAUUUCGAAAAAGGGUCUCGACACACAUAUCCUCAUAAAAAUGUUAGUCAUUUAUUUCACUUGAAUAUCAAUAAACAAGUAUGACUUAUCAUUAAUCAAGUUUCCUUAUUCAUGUACCUUCCAUAUCAUGUAUUCAAACUUCAUAUACAAGUCAUGUUCAUGUAGUCAAAUAUAUGUCCAUAAUCUUUUAUCACAAAUUCAUAUUGUUAUUUAUCAUAACUUUACUCGUUGAACCACUUAUAAUAUCGAUGGAUACAUGGUUAGCACACACAAAGUGUACAUACUAUAUUCCGUCAAUUCAUAUUCAGGAAUGCUCAUUGAGCAUUUAAACGGGAAGCUCUUCCAAUCCAAAUAACAGAAAGCUCAGGUGAGCUUGUAACGGGAAAGCUUAUCCGAGCUUAAUAACAAGAAACUCACAAGAGCUUAAAUCAGAAAGCUCAUGCGAGCUUAACGGGUAACUCUGAAAAGCUAUUAUCAGGAAGCUCAUGAAAGAGCUUUUAAUCGGGAAGCUCCGGAUAGCCAUAUAUCAGGACACUCACAAGAGCUGCGGUGUGUCCGCAACAUAUGCAAGAUCACUACCGAUCAAAAUGCUCAUAGGAGCAUAUAAACGGGAAGCUUGGAAGAACCAUAUAUCGGAAAGCUCAAGAGAGCUUAUAUCGGGAUGCUCAUGCGAGUUAUAGCGGGACGCUCUUGCGAGCUAUGGUGUGUUCGCAACAUAUGCAGAACCACAACCACUUCAGGAACCCUAUAUCCAUCUAAUUUCAUUUGUUCAAAUGGGAUUUAUUUCUAGUUGGACAUUAUCGGAUAUGUGAUUUAUUUUCAUACUUAACAAUUAUACAAAUUACAUACAUAUAAAUCAAGCAUAUCGCAUAAAUAUACAAUUUAGUUACACGAACUUACCUCGACAAUGUUGGUGUUUGUAGGGUACUAAUCCGAUACUUUUUGUUUUCCUCGAUCCAAUUCCGUACUAGGUCUAUCCGGAUCUAUAUGAGUAAAUUUAACUCAAUUUAAUAAAAUUCACAUUCAAUUCACAUCUUAGGAAAAAUUAUCAUUUUGCCCAUAUACUUUUAAUUAAUUUUGAUUUCAUCCCUAGGCUCGAAAAAUGAAAUUCAUGCAAUUUAAUCCUUAUUCCAAGCCUAGUCGAUUUUUACAUAUCACAAUAUCAACCCAUGUAUUUCACAAAAAUCAUAAUUAUUCCAUAAAUUUCACAUCUUUACAAUUUAGUCCCUAAAACACAAUUUCAUCAAAAUUCACUUUAUAAAAGUUGUUUACCUAUCAAAAACCUUCCAUUUUCUACCAUAAAUUUCAUAAUUCAUACUAAUCCAUGGAAAAACCCUAGUACUUUGAUAACUUUACAAAUUAAUUCCCAAGAUAGCUAAAUUAAGCUAUUACGAUAUGGGAAACAUAAAAAUUACUAAAAAUGGGACAAGAAUACUUACCCAAUUAAGCCAAAUAAGCUUGCUUGUACUCUUUUCUCUUAGCUAGAGUUUCUAUGUUUUAUUUGGGAAAGAUGAUGAUAAAUGAUGAUAUUUUUAUUAUUUUAUCAUUUAUCAUCUUUUAUUAUUUCACUUUCCAAUUUCAUCCUUUUCGUUAAUUAAUUUUCCAUUGAUGACUAAUCAUACUUAUCUACUAACUCCUCUUAAUGGUCUAAUUUCUAUAUAAUGACCUCAAAUUUUGAAUUCCAUAGCUAUUUGAUCCAUUUAACUACUAGAACUCAACUUUUACAUUUUAUGCAAUUUAGUCCUUUUUAUUGGAUUAGACAUAAAAUCAGUAAAAUUUCUUUACGAAAUUUGCAUUUUGACAUUUCUAUCAUAAUGCAGAGCAUGAUAUAAUAUUAAAAUAAAAUUUCUUCCAGACUCAAAUUUGUGGUCCCGAAACCACUGUUCUAAUUUCACUGAAAACGGGUUGUUACAGUCAAUAACAUGUAAAGAAUUACACAAAAAAGUACUAAUUUUUUAAAAUUGGUUGCACAAAAAUUAAAAAAAGUAUUAACUUAUUGAAAAAAAAAACAAAAUGAUAAAAAUUUGUAAAAGAAGAUAUUAGAUACAGACGAGUAUAUAAUAAUGCUUUGUUAUCUUUAAAAUUUAAUGUCGUGGCACUAUUUUAUUGGUGCAUAAAAACUAUUAUUUUUAGGAUGAUCUUAAUAUAAUUUAUUCCCUUAAAAAUAUUAGAGAUUAAUCUUAAAUAUUAUAAUUUUCAAUAUUAUUAAAUAUACAUAUUUUUAUUUUAAUAAAAGUAUUUAAUAUUAUAAUUUUAUUUCAUUAAUAAAAUUUAACAUUGAUAAUAAUUUCAAGUUCUAAUUAAUAUUUUUAAUAUUUUAUUACAAAAAAUUAUAUUAAUCUUUUAAUAAUAUAUUAAAUUUAUAAAUAUUUAGUAAUAAAUAUUUUAUAAUAUAAAACAUAAAUAUUUUAAUAAUACGAAUAUGAUCUUACUUAAAAUUUCAUUUCCCUUCCUACUAUAGUGUUUUACUAUGAUCUUGCUAUAGUAUUUGUUUCUAGGUUCUAUAGGUUAAUAGACAAACCCAUUUCCUGUUGGUUUCUACUGGCCCAAAUACGUUUGUUGGACAAAGUCUGGUUGUUAAUAUAGGGCUUUUUUCAUUUGUGGUGUUUUCUUCCUGCUCUUACUCGUUGACAUUUUUUUUAUUUUCAACAUCGGAGUUUUUUUUAAUCAUGGUGAAUCCUUCUGAAUCGAUUAUUGAUUUUAAUCAUCCCUUUUACCUGCAUCCAUCCGAUACUCCAGGUACCUUGUUGGUGUCUCACCAGUUGCUUGGAGUUGAGAAUUAUAAUGUUUGGAUCUGGACCAUGAAAAUCGCGUUGUCAGCCAAAAACAACUUGGGGUUUGUAGACGGUACUUGUUCUAAGGAUUCAUUACCAGAUGAGAUGGGCUAUCAAUGGGAGCGGUGUAAUGCCAUUGUCUUGUCUUGGAUUUUGAAUAUAGUUAGCAGAGAGCUCUCAGUAGGGAUUAUUUUUGCAUCUAGCACAGCAGCGGUGAGGAACGAUCAUGGUGAAUGGUUCCACAAGGUUGAUGGUUCUAGAUUAUUUUUUGCAUCAUGAAAUCACCUUCAUCUUCAAGGUACUGCUUCCAUCUUUGUGUAUUUUACUAAAUUACGAUUGUUCUAAGAUGAAUACGAUGCUCUUGUGCCCUUUUCUUCAUGUGGAUUUGUUCAGUUACAGCAAAAUGUUAAGCAUGUUUUGCAGCAGCAUCUAUUCCAAUUUCUAAUGGGAUUGAAUGAAACAUAUAAUGCGAUGCGUAGUCAAAUCUUGUUAAUGAACCCAUUACCAUCUGUCAAUCAAACGUACUCUAUGCUCGUGUAAGAGGAAUCAUAGAUGCAACAUAGUUCUAGUGUUGUUGGGUUCAAUCCAGUCUCUUUUCACUCAGCACACAUGGUACAAAAGAAACGUUUUACUGGAACUUGUGAUCAUUGCAAGAUUAAAGGGCAUAAAAGGGAAAGUUGCUAUAGGAUAAUUGGUUGCCCUGCAGAUUUUAAGUUCACUAAGAAGAAGGCAAACAAUGUUUUUGGAUCCGUAGUGAACAAUGUUUCUGUUAAUGAUAUUGUAAGUGGAAAUGAAAUGACUAGUGAUGUUGGUGUAUCUAGUCCACAAGCACAUGUGUUUACUCAAGCAUAAUAUCAGCUAAUCUUGAGUUUGUUGAACAAUGAGCCUAUAGUUGAAGCUACUGUAAGCCUAGCAGGUAUGGUUGAUGUAGGUCAAAAUUGGAUUAUGGAUACUGGAGUUACUGACCACAGCCUCUAUGAUUUCCAAUUCUUAGAAUCUCCUGUUGCAUGUGCAUCGCAUUCACAUUGUGUUCGAAUCCCAAAUGGCUAUUUUGUUUCAAUUACUCAUGUUGGCACCUGUACUGUUCAACCUAAUCUUCAUCUUACCAAAGUUCUCUAUGUUCCCAAUUUCCAUUAUAACCUUCUUUCUAUUUCUAAACUUACUAAUGAUCUUAAUUGCGUUGUUUCGUUUUGUCCUUAUUUUUUUGCCUCAUACAGUAUCUCUUAAGUGGAAAGAUGAGGGGGAUUGGUAGGGAGCGAGGUGGUCUUUACAUCCUAGAACCUUCUGGAUAGACUAGUGUAGCUGUGACUCCGUCUGUUGUAUCUGUUACAUCCAUUGAACCAUCAUUUUUUUGGCAUACUAGACUUGGCCAUGCUUCUGUUUCAAGAUUGAAUAAGGUGCUUAAUCUUCCCUGCACAAUUUUGAAUAGUGAUAGCAUACAACAAUGUCCUAUGUGUCCUCUUGCUAAACAAACUAGACUUCUAUUUCCCACAAGUACAUCUUGUGUCGAUACUAUUUUUUCUCUUAUUCAUAUAGAUUUGUUGGGGCCCUAUCGAGUUUCUACUCAUAGUGGCUAUAGGUAUUUUUUAACCAUUGUUGACGAUUACUCAAGAAUGACAUAAGUGUAUUUGUUAUGAUAUAAAAGUGAUGCUCUUGUAUAUCUCAAACAGUUCUUUGCCUUGGUUAAGAAUCAAUUUUCCACUAGCAUCAAAUUCGUUCGUAAUGAUAAUGGGUAUGAAUAUUUUAAGACUAAGUGCAACGAAUUUUUUAAUAUGUUAGGCGUUGUACAUCAAAGCUCGUGUGUUCACACUCCUCAGCAAAAUGGAGUUGCUGAGCGUAAACAUAGACAUUUGCUUGACAUUGCUAGGUCUCUCGAAUUUCAGUCUCAUAUGCCUAGUAAAUUUUGGGGUGAGUGUGUAUUAACUAUAUAUUUUUUUGAUAAAUCAACUACCUACUCCUCUCUUGCAUUAGAAGAGUGUUUUUGAACUUUUAUAGCGUAAACCUCCUUAUCUUUCUCGUAUAAAAGUGUUUGGAUGUCUUUGUUAUACUACCACACCCAAUUAUCAUGAUAAAUUUUCUCCUAAGGCUAUUCCUUCUGUGUUUAUGGGACAUUCUACUGUUCAGAAAGGUUACUUGUUAUUCAAUCUUGAAACCAAAAUUUUUUUUUGUUAAUUGCGAUGUUGUAUUUCAUGAGACCAUGUUUCCUUUUGUCUUUCCCACAAAACAUUUUUUUUUAUUUUUUCCUAUAGCUGAUAGCUCUACUUUUCAUAAUCUGGAGCAUUUGUCUUCCAUUCCUAUCCUUUUACGAUCACCUAUUUUGCCAAAAACUUCUUCUUCCCAAACCUUACCAACUGAUACUACUUUACCUACUUAAUUUUGCAUCCUUCCUGAACCAAUUUUUUUCCCAUCAAACCCCUUACGACGCACCACACUGUCUGUCAAGCCACCUGCCUGGAUGAGAGAUUAUGCCUGUUCCAACCAAUCUUUCGCUUCCCUUACUACAAGUUCAUAUCCUAUUUCUCAUGUUUAUUCCUCGUUGCAUUUACCUGUUCACAUCCAAUUGUUUGCAACCUAUAUUUCUUCCCUGACUAAACCCCAAACAUAUGCUGAGGCCAUCUCGGAUCCAAGAUGGGUCUAUGCUAUGCAACAAGAAAUUCGAGCUUUAGAAGACAAUGGUACGUGGGAGGUCAUUUCUUUACCUGCUAGUGUUGUUCCUAUUAGGUGCAAAUGGGUCUAUAAGAUCAAGUAUAACUCUGAUGGCUCUGUUGAACGGUUUAAAUCCCAAGUGGUAGGGAAAGGAUACAAUUAGCAGGCUGGUAUUGAUUUUCAGGAGACUUUUUCCCCUGUGGUUAAGCAUGUCACUGUUCGGACUAUUGUUAGUAUGGUUGCCAUGAAUGACUGGCCCUUUUUUCCAAAUGGAUGUUUACAAUGCUUUCAUGCAAGGAGAUUUGUGUGAAGAGGUUUAUAUGAUCAUUCCAGAUGGUUUUCACAACAGGGGGAGCACAAAGUGUGUCGUCUGCUCAAAUCAUUGUACGAUUUGAAACAAGCUUCUCGGCAAUGGAAUUUAAAGCUUACUAAGGCAUUGUUGCAAGGAGGUUACACACAAAGCAAAUAUAACUAUUCCUUGUUUUCCAAAAGAGAAGGGGGUAACAUAGUCAUCCUACUUGUUUAUAUUAAUGAUAUGCUAAUCACAGGAAGUGACAUUGGUAUAAUAAAUGAGCUUAAAAAGGUCUUGCACCAAAAUUUUAAUAUGAAAGACUUGUAACAACCCGAUUUUGGGCCUAAUCGGAACAGUGGUUUUGAGAUCACAAAUCUGACGAGGAAAAUUUUAUUUUAUUAUAUUUUUAUGGUCUACAAUUUCACAGAAUAAUUUUGUGAAAAUUUCAUUCGAAAAUUUCGACAUUUGAGCACUCAAUUUAGUAAAAAGGACUAAAUUGUAAAAAGUGCAAAAAUUGAGUUCUACAUGUUAGAACUGUACAAUUGUUAUGAAAUUUUAAAUUGGAGAUCCUUAUAUGGUAAUUAGACCAUUGGUUAAGUUGGUGGACAAAAAUGGACAUGGUUAGGCAUGUUUCCAAAGUUUUUCAUUAAGGGUAUUUUAGUCAUUUAGUAAUUAAAAUGAAUUAAAAAGAAAAUUAAAAUCCAAUUUUUGUCCAUAUUUAAGCUAGGGGCCGAAAUUUUCAUGGAGAAACCAUGGCUAGGGUUUUUCAAGCUUCCAAGCUCGAAUGUAAGUUCGUUCUAGCCCCGUUUUUAAUGAUUUUCACGUUUUUGAAAUCCUUGUAACAUGCUUUAUUUAUUCCUACCAUUUAUUUGAGAUAUGAUGAAGGUCUAGGUUUUGAACCAUGUUAGAAAUUUGUGUAUUUUGAUGGUUAAUGGUAGAUUAUGCAUGUUUAUGGUUAGAGAAACAACUUUUACUAAGUGAUUUUCGGUGAAAAUGCAUUAAAGGACUAGUUUGUAAAAAGAUUGUAAAAUGUGUAUAAGUGUGUGAAUAAGUGAAAAUUGUGGACUGCUAUAGUUAUGAAAAUGGUUCGGCUAGGCCUAAAAUGCAAGGAAAUUUAAUAAAAAUUAUUUUACGAGUCUAGGGGCAAAAUUGUAAUUUUGUGAAAUUUUAGGGGAAAAAUUUAAUUUUGCCAAAGUAUGAUUUUUGGACUAAAUUGAAUAAUGUGAGUGUUAAGUAAGUUUGUAUGUGAAUAAUGCAUUGUUUUAACUUUAUUUAAUAUAUUGUUGAGAUAUGAUUGAAUAUAGAAUAAAUAUUUGACGUAGAUUACAAAAAUGUGGUUAAAUUUGAAAAAGUUGGUAAAAUAUUGUAAAAUAAGGUUCCCGAUUAAACACUCGAAUUAGACCAAGAUUCAUUGAAUGUAAGGGGUUGUUAAGUGCAGAUUCCUCGAAUCACUAAUCAAAAAGGGGUUGCUAAGUGCAGAUUCCCCGAAUCACUGAUCGAAAAGGGGUUGCUAAGUGCAAAUUCCCCGAAUCAUUGAUCGAAAAAGGGUUGCUAAGUGCAAAUUCCCCAAAUCAUUGAUCGAAAAGGGGUUGCUAAGUGCAGAUUCCCCGAAUCACUGAUCAAAAAGGGGUUGCUAAGUGCAGAUUCCCCGAGGGGUUGCUAAGUGCUAAUUCCCCGAAUUAUUGAUUCUAAAGGUGGUUGCUAAGUGCUGAUUCAACCGUAUCCUUGAUUGUGAAAGGGGUUGCUAUGUGCUGAUUCCCCGUAUAACUGAAUAUAAGGUGGUUGCUAAGUGCUGAUUUCACCGAGUAACGGUUAAUAUUUCGAAGUGUUCAUCAGGGAAAUUGGACAAGUGAAAGUACAUGUGAAAUGAAUAAGAUUACGUGAUGAAUACUGAGUUCUAUAUUUAAUCAACCCUUGAGUAAGAUGAUAUGAAGAAAUGAAACUAUUAAAGAGUAAAUUUAGAAAUAAAAUAGUUUUGAACAACAGUAGUUGUGUGACUUUGAAAAAUCACCAAAAAUGGUUGAAAUUGAAUUAGAGGUUGAAUAAUAUAUGCAAUUAAAGCUGAAUGAGCCUAUUUUCACAUAAAAGAGACAGAGAAAACAAAAGAGUUUUAUAUUAUGAGAUAUUUGAAUUUUAGUGAGACAGGGCCAGAAUGAUUUUGAAAUCCCCUGUUCUAACUUUGGAAAAUCAUUAACAAUUGUAAAAAAAUAAUUAUGGGCUAAAAUUUAUAUGUUUAGAAUACUGAAUGAGUCUAUUUUCAAAAGAAACAAACGAGAACAUUAUCCAAAUUCUUUACAAUGAGAUAAUUAAUUUUUAGUGAAGAGGGGUUGGAACUGUCAAGUAGUGAAAUAGGGGAAACUUUAAAGAAUAAAUUGUACUUAUUAGCUAAGCCAAAAAUUCUGAAAAUUUUAUGGAAAAAAAGAUAUAUGAGUCUAGUUUUGGGAAAAAUUAACAUAUCUUAAUUUGGAGCUCUGUAGCUCGAGAUAUAAAUAAAUUAGUGACUCUGACUCAGACAGACAGCUUGAAUUUACAUACAGGAAAAUUGUGAAAGUAUGGAUAAUGUUGUUUAAGUGUGUUAUACACAUUAAGGAUGUGGAAUGGAGAGGAGGAGGAGGAAAAUUGGAAAAUAUAUGAAUUAUUUGUGUAUAAUUAGUCAUAUGUUCGGUUAUAAUUGAUAAACGAUGAAAUAGAAAUGACAUUUAUAUUUGUGCAAUUAUUGGUCAUGGUUUAAGCUCAUGUGGGAAAAUAAAGUUUCAUAGUGUGUGUGUAUGGUAUAUUGGGUAUAUGAUUUGACAUGAAGUAAUGUUAUGAAUGUUUUAUGAAUUAACUCAUGUUGGUAAGUUUGAUACAUGAACAAAUAUUGUGCUCAUCAUUGCUUAUAAUGCUUAUGCUAUAUGUUUAUUUGGCUAACAUAUUUGGAUAUAUGCUUAGGCUUUGGCCAAUUUGUGGCUGGAUUAUGCCACGUUAAACUUAUAAGUUAUGCAUUGAAAUGGUAAGUGCCUAAAUGAAAAUAUGUGUGUGAUCAAGAAAGGGGUGAUAAGAUUCAAAUUAUGUAAUCUCUAGUGAAAUAGUUUAUCAUGUGGUUAGUUCCAAAAAGAAUUAUGUUUAAAUACACUAGCUUGCGACUAUGGUUGAAUGAUAUGUUUAUGUCUUGUGUGAUAUGCAUAGGAAACGGGUAUAGAAAGGUAAUGAAAUAGUAAGUUCAUACUUGAAGUGUAAAAUAACGAAAAAGGGGAUAAUGAGUUGAAUUGAUGUUAUUUAAGCUAAAGUGAUAUUUUCAUUGCAAAAUUGAGAAUUUCAUAGAUGUGUUAAUGAAUGGUAUAAUCGAUAAACAUUGAGUUAAAUGGUAAAUACGUAUUAGUAUUGAUCUUAAUGAUAUUGAAUUGUAAGUGAAUUAAAAGGAAAUUGCUAGUGAUAUGAUUUGAAUUGUAAGCAUGAGAAAUUGUGAAAUGAAUGAAAAGGAAAUGAAGCAUUGAAUUGCAUGAGUAUGUAUCGGGUCUAGUAGUCCCUAUUUAUUAUGAAUAUAAUAUUUUGAGGAUAUAUAGUGAAGAACUAUAAAAGUAUGUUAAUAAUUUGAAAUUUUUAAUUUAGAUGAAAUUUUAUAACUAGGUUCAAUACGUUUACAAGUGUAUGUGUUCUGGUAAUGCCUCGUACCCUAUUCCGAUGUCAAAUACGGGUAAGGGGUGUUACAAGACUUGGGUGCAUUGAAAUAUUUUCUUGGAAUAGAGGUUUUGAGAUUAAGUGGAGGAAUUGUGUUGAAUCAAAGGAAAUAUGCGUUGGAGUUGAUAGCUGAUGUUGGGUUAGGAGAAGCAAAACCAGUGAGUACGCCCUUUGAACAAAAUCAGAAACUCACUUCGAUUGAGUAUGAUGAAUCUGUACAUAUGAGGGUUGAUGGCGAUGAAUUGAUUACUGAUGUUGCAGUAUAUUAACGACUUCUAGGAAGGUUGCUAUAUUUGACCAAUACACAACCAGACAUAUCGUUUGCAGUCCAACACUUAAGCUAGUUCAUGCACAAACCAAAAAAAUCUCAUUGGAGGCUGUUUUCUGGGUGGUUCGAUAUAUAAAAAAAAUCCUGGUCAAGGUAUCCUGUUGGCUGCAUCUAGUAAACCACAACUUAUUGCAUUUUGUGAUUUUGAUUGGGCUUCAUGUCCCAUGUCCAGACGAUCCGUCACUGGUUUUUGUGUUAAGCUUGGAGAUUCUCUCGUUUCAUGGAAAUAAAAAAAAUAAACUAUUGUUUCUCGAUCGUUAGUAGUGGCUGAAUAUAGAAGCAUGGUAGCAGUAGUAACAGAGGUUAUUUGGUUGGAUGGCUUGUUGAAAGAAGUCUGCCUUAGUUAGCUUGACAAGUCUUUACUUUUUUCAGAUAGUCGGGCAGCAUUACAGAUUGCAACAAAUCAUAUCUUUUAUGAACGCACUAAACAUAUAGAAAUUGAUUGUCAUUUUGUACGAGAUAAAAUUGGAGAAGGUUUGAUUCAAAUGUAACAUAUUGGGACAACUGAACAGCUUGCAAAUUUGAUGACUAAAGCUUUUGGAAUCAAGCAGCAUGAAUAUUUGGUGUCUAAGUUGGGAGUUAAAGAUUUUUAUCACCCCUCAACUAGAAGGAAAGUGUUGAGAAGAAAGUAGACAGUUAGCUGAGUAAUUAGACUCAGAUAGUAUAAUUAGUUUGUUAGUCAGUUAGCAGGCAGUUUAUAAAACUAAUGAGUUUCUUACUUAAUAUACUAUUAGUUUUUUCCAUUCAUCAAUAAAUUCUUGGUAGCUUUUCAACACAAUCAUCAUUCUGACUCAUCGUUCCAAGUGACAUUAAAUGAUUUGUUCUUUGCAGGCUUUUACUAAAAGUGCCAAAAGCAUUCAUAUUUAUGGCAUUUAUUUCCUUUUUCGUUUCGUCGGAAUUUGUGUCAUUGAAAGCAACUCUCCUUCUGCCUUUGCUAUUAUUGCUUUUUAAAGCUCAUUACUAAGAGAGCAAGUUGUUCUUAUAACUCUCCUACUGUCAUAGUUGUGUCAUUUGUGGUGCCUUUGGAGGUAUCAACUCCAACUUUCACACUUAGAGCUAUAUUAUUGCCUUGCUUAACUCUAUCUUUCUGUUCAUUUCAAAUCUCCAUAAUGAACCAAUUAGUUCGUUAAUGCUAUUACCUUCUUCAACAGCGGCCACAUUAGUCCCAAACUUUUCUCGAAAACGAAUAUUUUACGUGAAAAACUCUUAUUAAGAAAAUUACGAGCAGAGAAAGAAAAUUUCACUAAUGUUAAAAAAUAAUAAUACUAGAACUACCCAUAGCUCCUCCUCAACCCAUAAAGAGGAGGAUAGUGCACUUCAGUGCACUCAAACCCAUGUCCUCCUACAUUGACAACAAUAUCCAUGCCAAUCGAGUUAAGACUCAAUCUGCAUUUUGAAUAUUUUUAAAAUAGGAGGAUAUUUUUUAAAAUUUUAAAUAUUUUUUGGAUUUUUAUAAUUUUUUUAAAAUAAUUUUUUUACUUUUUUUGAAUUUUUUAAAAUUAAUUAAUUGCUCAUGUGACAUACACGUGGAUUGCAGUUGAUAACUUUUCCUUCCAUUUUGAGAUAAUUUAACAAAAACACAAAUUCAAGACUUAAAAAGACAAUUUAAAUAAAGAGCUAAAAUAAUUUUUUUUAAAAGUUGGAGGACCAAAUAAAUCAUUAUACCUUUUUUCUUUUAUAAAAUGGAGAUAAAUGUUGGAUUUCUAGAAACAUUAACUUAAAAAAAUAGUUUUAAGUACAAAUUAUAAUAAAAAAAAGUUUAGAUACUAAAAUAAAAAAAAAUAUUUAAUUUAAGUACCAAUCAGUAAAUUAAACCAAAAAAUAAAAAGUCACGAGCGGGAAAGUGAUUGUUUUUAUAUCUAUAAUGAUAAUAUAUAAAAUUUGGCGUUAUAUUUAUCUAUGAGAUGUGAUGACAUAAUGCCAUUAUUUUAUAAGAUCCUGUUUCGGCCAUUUAUAUAAAAUGUAUUACAUUAAUAAUUUAUAUUACAUCAAAACUUGAGAUACUGGUGCAUAUGAAAUAUUAAUAAAAAAAUUUACGGAUCAAAUUGCAAAAAGUUGCUAACUUCAGGAACUAAAUCUUGCUAUAUCCCGAGUUACUAUUUUACUAGUUUUCUAACUUUAUAAAAUAAAGUUUAGUAUUUAGUACACUGACUGUGUACUUUUUUUCUUCCACAAGUAAUUUUAAGAUAUUAAUACAAUGUUGAAUUUAAGUUAUAAAAUUUGUUUGGUAUAUUAUUAAUUAUAUUGUUUGAUAAAGCAUAAUAUACUUUUUUUCCUCUCUUUUUUUUUAAAUAUUUAUUUUUUUAACAUUUUAUUAGAUCUUAUAGGGUACUUGUCAACCCGCUAACCCUGCUUGUGAAGUCUAAAAACUUCAAUAAUAAUAUACUAAAUACUUUCUCAUAAAACAAAUUACCAUUGUAAAAUAAAUGUAUUACCAUUUAAUAUUUAAGUAUUUUUCAUUCUAUUAGUAACAAGAAAAAAGAGUUUAAAUUAAUAUUAUAUUAUAAAGUGUUGAAAAAAAUCAAUCAACUGAAAACCCACAAUGGAAACUACUAGUCACUAGAUAGAAUUUUUCAUUAAAUAGCAAUGGCAAAUCCAAGGGGGCUGGCAGAGCCCAUCCCUCAUAAAAUUUAGGCCUUUAAAAUUUUUUGCACCUUAGCUUUCUUAAAAAUAAUAACAUUUUGAUUUAAUUUUUUAAAAAUUAUAAUUUAUUUUAUAAUUUACUUUCGGCCAUUCCUAAAAAAAUUUUCUGGCUUCGCCUCUGUUAAAUAGUGUAGAAAAUGAUAAGUAGAUAGGAUUUACUUAUCACUUAAUAAAGAAUAAAUUCAAUUGUAUUUUAAUUCAUUAAAGAUUAUAUUAUGCUUUAUCAAACAAUAUAAUUAAUAAUAUACCAAACAAAUUUUAUAACUUAAAUUCAACAUUGUAUUUUUCUGUACUUAUUUUUUUCAGCACAUAAUUUUUCAUUUUAUCAAAAUAGCCUAACUCAAACUUUUACUAUGGUUUAAAAUAUUUUAUUGUUAAGACUUAAUCGUCAUAAAUAUUGUUGUCAAUAUAAGAAAAUGUGAGUUUGAGUGCGUUAAAGCAUACUAAUAAACUCUAAUUUUCCAUGUGUUUUAUUGAAGAAACUACACUUUCCGAGAGAAAUAUUAAGAGAAAAAAGGAGCCCUUAUUUCCAUAAGAAAGAAAUUUUAAUUGCAGGAGCAUUAGAAGCUCAUUGGAACUUUACUUACCUACUAAUUAACAAUACGUUACAUAAAAGUUAUCAAUAUGGCUGAGAUUCCCUCUUAUAAAUAUUGCCCUUUCAUCUCUUUCUUUCUAUUCACUUAACAGUUCCUUUCAGUAUCCUGUUUUCCCAGAAAACUUUUCCUGGGUUUGGCUCUUGAUCCAACCCAUAAGUCUUUAGGGUUGGUACUGCUUUUUCAUGUCUCUUUCAUCUAUUUCAAGUUCUGGGUAACUUUCUUUUCUUUUUUUACUGAAUCGUGGGAUUUAAUGUGUUUGUUGACAGUUUCAAAGAUAUGGCUGGAAAGGAGUUCACUGUUAAUCUGAACAAACCCCUUGUCUUCCAGGUUUCUUUUUUUUUUUCUUUUUACAACUUUCGGUUUUGCUUUUCGUAUAUUUUGGUACAAACAUGAUGACAAAGGAAACAUAAGCUAAUAACAUCUUCACAUGUUGAUUAUAAAUUGGUAAUGGCAGGUUGGUCACCUUGGAGAAGCUUACCAGGAAUGGGUUCAUACGCCUAUUGUGACAGAUGAAAGUCCUCGCUUUUUCAAGAGUGAUUUCAUGGAGGUAUUUUUACCAAUCUUUCCCCUUUGAAAUACCAUGGAGUAUCUUGGGAGUUAAAUUGUAUUUUUUUUCUCUCUAAGCAAAUUAAGAGUAAAUUAGUUGUUUUUGUAGACGUACAAGCCAUUUGAUUAUUCUGUCAAUCACACCAGUUUUUAACAAAAAUAAUCAAUUUACUGUUUGAUCUAAUGUAUAAAAAUUAAUUUACUUAACCUUUUUCAGUAAAAAAAGUAAAAUAUAAUUUAUUUUCACACUUUGAAAUACUUUAAUGAUUGCAUUACCCAAAUUCAAUUGGGUUCGAAUUAUUUUGAGUUUGGUCAUAAUUUGUGGUUGAAAUAGAUCCUGACUCGGACAGUGUGGUGGGUAGUACCAUUGAUAUGGGUGCCGGUUGCAAUGUGGUUCAUCUCAGUCUCGUACACAAUGGGUCAUACACUUCCCCAAGUUGUUUUAAUGUCUGUUGUUGGAAGUUUCAUUUGGACAUUCUUGGAAUACUGUUUCCACCGUUUCCUUUUCCACAUUGAAACAAAGAGUUACUGGUUAGUGUUUUCUUUUUCUCUUGGACUUACUUAUAACGCACAUACAUAUUUUAUGAGAGGAUGUAGUAAUUCAUUGACAACAUUGGUGAAGGGCAAACACUUUUCACUAUCUAAUCCAUGGCUGCCACCAUAAGCACCCUAUGGAUGGGCUAAGGCUUGUGAUUCCACCUGCAGAAGCUGCUAUACUAGCUAUAAUGGUAUGUAUAUAUUUAUAUGCAUUACUUUAUUUUUUGUUUUUCAUAUAUGGGUUGAUUAAGAAAAAUUAUUAUUAUUUAGAAAUAUUUACAAAAAAACUUUUAAAAUUUUGUCAAAUAAUAUUUAAAAGCAAUAACAUAAAGUUAAUUUUAUCAAAAUAAGUCUAAAACUCUAAAACUAAAAAUUAAUAUGAAAAAACCAAAAAUGGAACCGAGUGAAUUCAGAAAUUCUAAAAAAUCCAACCGAAUCAUCCCUACAUACAUUGCAUGGGUUUAGGGCUCUCACCUCUAUAAUUAGUAAUUUAAAAUUUUUAAAAAAAAUUCUUAUUGAGUUGGUGUUACGGGUCAACUAGACACCAUCUUUACUGAUAAUUUAUUGAAAUAUUAGUACUGACUACACUGAAUUAGACCAAUGGGGGUAGCAAUUUAAUGAGAGGUAUAAAUUCAGUUGAUUCGUGAACUGGUUGAGUCGAGUUAAAAAAAUCAAUUGAACUAAUUUUUACUAUAUAUUUUUUUAUUUUUACUUAAUUUUUAACAAUUUAUUUACCUUGAAUCUACCUUACAAAAUAUUUUUUUUAUAUAUGCAAAAUAACAAAUACUAAUACAAAGAUAAAUUUUACCAACAAAUAUAAUUUAAAAAUAAUGAAAUUUAAAAACAAGUUGGUCCCAUAUUAAUUAUUUCUAACAAAACAUUGGGAUAAGUAAAGUUUGAUAAAAUAUUAGUUAUUUGAUCUUCACGUGUCAAGUAGUGUUAAAAAAUAUAUAAUAAAAAAUUUAACGGUGAAAUUUAUAUUUCCAACUAAUAAAUGGGAAUACGUGGCCCAAAAUAGUGACCAACUUUUUAAGGGUAAAAAGAGGAAAAAAUUUAAAAGUUUCAAAAAGAUAAUUUAAGUCGCAUUGAUUGAGACUUUUAGGUUAAAAUCUUAGUUGAAUUAUGGUAGUUGAUAAAAUUUGUCAUUAUAUUUAUUUCUUAUUAAUUAUAUAUUAUGUUCCAGGGGUGAAGUUAGAAACAGAAAUUAAAUUGUAAUUUUACUAUUUUAAUAAUUUAUAUCUUUAUAUUUUUAAAAUGAUUAAAUAAAAAAAAAUUAUUUUAGGGGGGCCGGAGGCCUACUAGCUCCCCUAGCUAUGCCCCUGUCAUGUUCUAUGAAGACAACUUAAUUAGCGUGCCAAAUUGAUAAAUUAACAGUAAAUACAAAUAAUGCUAAUCGUUGGGUUGAGAUUAUUAAAUUAGAAAAAUAAGAUUACUUAAUUUUUAAAAUUUUAAAGUAUAUAUAUGAAAUUUCAAAUCUUAAACGAGAUUUAAUGUGUUUGUACCAGUUUUGGAACUUGUAUGGGAUUUUAUUCACUAUCUCCACAAGACCUGCAUUAUUUGGAGGUGGACUAAUUGGAUAUGUGAUAUAUGAUAUGAUACAUUACUAUGUGCACCAUGGCCAGCCUACCAAACAAUCUAUCAAAAAACUUAAGGUAUGAGACUCCUUUUGAAUUGCUAAUUUAUCCUUCCUCAAUCAUUAUCUAUAAAAAUUCAAUUAAAUUAUUGUUUUAGAUUUUUUUUCCCUUAAAUUUGAGGUUUAAUUUUUCACUUGACUUAAUUUAGUUUUUUAUGUUUAUAACGAUAUUAUUUAGUUCAAAUAGUUAGCAUUGUUGAUUAUUCUAGUUAAAAUGUUAAUGUAAUUUUUUUUCUUAAAAAUUCUCCUUUCGAAUUGUUUUUGGUGCUGAAUAGUGUGUUUUUAAGAAAAAUCUACAUUAGUUGGAAUAUAUAAUAAUAUUAACUAUUUGAGCUAACUAAAUAAAAGUAAAGGGAAUAGGGAUUAAAUCCCAAAUUUGAGUAUAAUAAAAGGAUCAAAAAGAGAUUAAUAUAUUAUUUGGUAUUCAAAUUUGGUUUCAAUGUUUAAUUCAGUAUUUGAGUUUAACUUCAAUAUUCAGAUUAGUACUUAAUUUUUUUCCUUUAUCCCAAUUAAGCAUUUAAGUUUGGCUUAAAUGUUCAAUUUGAUAUCCAAAAUUUUCUUUUGGUCCCAAUUACGUACUUAUGUAUUUUUUCACUAGAGCACAUGUGUCAAAUAUUCAUUAGCUGCUGUUUGAUUUUGACAUGAAAACUAAAAUCAGAUACCCAAAAACAGAUUUUAUAAGAGGCUAAACAAAUAGAUGCUUGGUUUGAUUGCAGAAAUAUCACUUGAACCAUCACUUUAGGAUUCAAAACAAGGGCUUUGGCAUAACUACAACAUUGUGGGACAAAGUUUUUGGAACCCUUCCAAAGACCAAAGCAGACACGAAGAGUGGAUAGAUGAUGAUGAUGAGGCUGACAAGCAUCACAUGAUUGCACCCUGUCAUGGCCUUGUCAAUGUUUAAAUAAUGAUUUUGCCCUCUUUACUUUUAUUGUGCUCAAUAAUGGUGGUUGGGAUUGUGAGGGAGGAUCUUAGCUAAGCAACUCACUUCAUGUCUCCUGUUGUACUGUGUUUUCCCUAUAAAUAGAUGAAAUGGA
RNAcentral lists this long non-coding RNA (92329 nucleotides) under Gossypium barbadense (sea-island cotton). RNAcentral describes it as "long non-coding RNA (GBAR_LNC017440)". The stretch from base 51619 to 51763 matches the Rfam family "MIR7502 microRNA precursor family". Lineage: Eukaryota; Viridiplantae; Streptophyta; Magnoliopsida; Malvales; Malvaceae. The record is from RNAcentral.